UAACAGGACUCAGCCAUCCGUGAGGAAUUUCAAAGCAAAAUCCGAUUAUGUCAAAGAACCAAUGCCUGAAACUGCACUGGAAGGCAUAUGGGAGAGGCUCUCCGAAGUGGACGUCGGUGCAGGUCAACUGAUAUUUAGCCCGUACGGAGGAAGAAUGAGCGAGAUUUCAGAAUCCAGCAUUCCAUUUCCACACAGGGCUGGAAAUCUUUACAAGAUUCAGCACCUGGCGUAUUGGGACGAGGAAGGAUUGUAGCAACAAGAAAGCAUAUAAGCUGGAUCANNNNNNNNNNNNNNNNNNNNNNNNNNNNNNNNNNNNNNNNNNNNNNNNNNNNNNNNNNNNNNNNNNNNNNNNNNNNNNNNNNNNNNNNNNNNNNNNNNNNNNNNNNNNNNNNNNNNNNNNNNNNNNNNNNNNNNNNNNNNNNNNNNNNNNNNNNNNNNNNNNNNNNNNNNNNNNNNNNNNNNNNNNNNNNNNNNNNNNNNNNNNNNNNNNNNNNNNNNNNNNNNNNNNNNNNNNNNNNNNNNNNNNNNNNNNNNNNNNNNNNNNNNNNNNNNNNNNNNNNNNNNNNNNNNNNNNNNNNNNNNNNNNNNNNNNNNNNNNNNNNNNNNNNNNNNNNNNNNNNNNNNNNNNNNNNNNNNNNNNNNNNNNNNNNNNNNNNNNNNNNNNNNNNNNNNNNNNNNNNNNNNNNNNNNNNNNNNNNNNNNNNNNNNNNNNNNNNNNNNNNNNNNNNNNNNNNNNNNNNNNNNNNNNNNNNNNNNNNNNNNNNNNNNNNNNNNNNNNNNNNNNNNNNNNNNNNNNNNNNNNNNNNNNNNNNNNNNNNNNNNNNNNNNNNNNNNNNNNNNUUUGUACUUCUGAUAUUGCCAUUGAAUUUAUGAGUCCUUGUACUAUUUUUUAUUGGUUUGAAAAAAGAAAUUUCCUUUAUUUAUUUACUUUAAUUUACUUUUUGUUAUUUAUUUUUCCUAUAUGGUUUUGUCGUUAUUAUGUACUUUGAGUUCAUGAAUAUUAUACAAUUCAACUAAGUGCAGAAAUUUUAAUAUUAGUCAAGCAGUCGAAUUAAUUAGGUACAAAGACUUUUCAUCUUUAAUUCCAAAGGUCUGCCUUGCGAAGAUGUUGUUUUCCCAAAGUAAUAUUUGAUGAAAUUUAACUCUAUGUGAUCAAUCCGCUAGGAAAUUAACCUAUUGAGGAUCCAUUAGUCUCAGAACAUUAGAAUCUUCCUAACACUUGGGUGCUUUUGAUAUUAAAAUUUGACUAGGAAAGACAAUAAUUCUUUUGUUUAAUGGACUGAAAUCUAUUAAUAUUCAUUAUUUAAUAAAAAUAAAAUUUCUUUUAUUGAAAUCUGUUAAAAAGAUUAAAAACAAAUUUAAUCUGUAAAUGAAUUUUAUAUUUAAUAUAUUAUAUAAUAAUUACAAAAUUUACAUUAAAUGAAAUAAAUACUUUAUGAAUAGGUCAAACGAAGUAUCUGAAAUUACAAUAAACAGGAAUUAAUUACUAGAUGGAAUAAUAUCCAUUAAUUGUGUUUGAUGGCAGGUACCGCUGGCCUUACCCGAAGUGAGGCCCUAGACGUGAUUAUAGGAAAAAGAUAUAGAUUAGUAACUAAACCGAUACAUAGAUGAGUAUGAUAUAUUUAUUAUUUUUUAAUAAUAAAAAAUAUAUAUAUAUAUUAAUUAUUUAAUAUUAAAUUAUAAAAUAUUUAUAUAUACAUGUUAUAUUUUUAUUUAUUAUGAUUUAUACGUCUUUAUGUAAAUAAGAAUUUCAUAUAUAGAUAAAUACUGUUAAAUCGCAAUUACAUACUUUAGACCCUAAAUACUUGAAGAACAAUUUAAUUAAACCACUUCAGUUAACAGCAAUUUUAAAGUUAGGUAAACUGUUUUUCAAAUGCUAGGGUUUUAAGUGAGACAUCUUAAAUAUUAAAUAUAUAAAAUUAAAAUUGGAAAAAAGUGCAUUAACAUCCCUCAUACAAAAGAAAACAUCCUUCAAUUCAUGUAACAUUAAUAAUUAAUUGUAUUACCAUUUUUAUUAACUAUUUUUCUUUUUUGGUGAAGUAUUGACUCUUCUUUCAAUAGAAUACAAGAUUCUUCUUGACACAUUAUUAUAAUUUAUCAGUACAAUUCAGAGAUAACUUAUUGUUGUAAAAUUGCAUUUUUUUUUUCUUACAAUGUAUUCAAAGCUUUAGGACUUGAAAUGGAUCUUGAAAAAUUAAAAUUAACAUAGAUAAGAUUUUUUUAUCAAGAAACAGACCUAUCCUAAAACUAUCCCAUAAUUGAAUAUAUAGUAUAUGAAGAAAAUAUAACUUGUCAAAAGUCAGAUGUUCUUGUUCUUCAUUUAUUGAUUUGAACUUUCCAUGGACCCACUCUAAAUCCAUUUCUUUUUCAAGAAAACCCAAUAUGGAUGUGUUUGAAAUGUUCUCACAAGAAAAGCUUGCCAUUCUCAUUCACAUUUUUCUUUUCAUCUUCAUCACAAAUAAUCACCCUUUUCCAUUUGCCCUAGUAUAAAUAAGGGGUGCACAUGAACAUUAACAUGCAGAAAACAAACCCUAAGCAAUGAGUAAGCAAGGCUGCCUCAAUACUCUUUGUGGCCCAAGCCGAGAUUCAAUUUGAAGCCUCUACAAUAUAAAUAUAUUAUAAUAGUUAUUUAAUAGUUAUUUCUCUAAUAUAUUAUAAAGAUUAUUUAAUAAUUAUUUUUCUUUUUGAGAUGCAAUCAGUAAUUAAAUUUUUAUAUUCAAAUUUAAAAAUAAAUAUUUUUUAAUUGAUAAUAUAGCUAAAUUAGUUUUUCUUAUGAGAUGGUUGAACACAAAUAAUCUUAAUUUUGAGAAACUUCUUUUCGCCAAAGAUAUCGUGCAGAAUAGGAAUAAUGAAUAGUAUUCUAUAAACUAUUCAUGUAUUUGAAAAAUAUUUUUUUAUAAAAUUCAGUGUCUCAAAUAGUAUUUUUAUUUUUCCAUUUAUAAUUUCUUUUAAAAUUUUUAAUUCUGAAAAUAAAUCAAAAUCAUCAAUAUUACAAAGCAUAUUAUGUUUUAGAAAACUUUUCAAAUUUAAACAAUUUUUCAUCAUAUUAUCAUCACCAAGCAAUUUUAACUUAGAUGCAUUAUAAAAGGAACCAAAACUAUUUUCAUAUAUUUUAAAUUGUUCACAUCUACUUUCAAUUGAAAAUAUAGUAUGAUUAACUAAAUAUGUGAAAUUUUUUAUUCAAAAAUAUUAAUAUGAACAAUGAUACUAAAUUAUCUUACCUGUUGCCUUGAAUCAAUCUAGUAAAUUUUGAUUUAAUGAAUUUUAUAAUUUUGUGAAAGCACACUUUAGAGUAGAAGACAGAGAGAAUGAGGGAAGAGAGAAGAUUAAAGAAUUAAGAAAAAAAAAAAAGGAGAUGAAUAGAAAUUUGAUGUUGUUUAUAUUAUUUUUUUAGCCCAAUAAAUAAAGAAAUCGAGCCCAAAAAUUAAUGAAGCCCAGUCCAAAAUUAAGCUCAAUCUGUGAAAGUUAUUAAUUAAAGAACUUAAUUAAAAUAAUUAUUUUAGUUAUUUUAAUUAAAAUAUGAACAACAAUUAUUUUUGACACAAGGUGAGCAAAGAGAGAUUCAAUUAGAAAGUUAUUUGAAACUCUCUCCAUACAGUUACUCUUGAAAUUUUAACUCAUGGAAUACAUGUUGACAAAAGAGGAAAAAUGACGACAGUUAUUCAAUUCAGACGGAUAGUUUAUCACUUGCAGAUUUACUUGAUGGAAGUUACGGCAGGAAACCAGAAAAAAAAAAAAAGGAAAAGCAAACAAUCAAUGGACAUCCAAUAAUCACAAAAAAAAAAAAAAAUCAAACUCAAGAAUAACAAAAUUCUUUGAAUUUUUUCACUAAGCAAUGAAACUUUUUUGUAUUUGAACUUUUACAAUCAAUUUUACUCUAGCAAUUCACAUUUACAAUUUACAAUUAUUUUAUUGCCAAAUUAGUAGAACAUCGAAAAAAAUUUGGCUGAAAGGAGUUUGAAAUCCAUAAACACAGUUCAUGAUGGUUCGUGUACCACAUACAUAUGGCACGCCUGUAAAUUCAUUUUGCAAUCAACAUAAUUUGACACCCCAGUAGGACACUGUUAUAUAAUGGUCCUAAGAAUAAGAAAUAGUAUGGAAAAGAACCAAUGGAGUCUCAAGGAAGCUAGGUUGCUGCUGAUGAAGCAGAACGUGAACCUGAAGUUUCUGUUCCUCACAUGGUGGAGUAGUUAGAGAAGAAGAUUGUGCCGCAAGGCACAUUUCAGCACGCUGAAGCGCUACCACCUAUUGAAAGAGUUAUGUGCACCACCUAUUGUCGAUGUAUUUGGAUGUCUAUGUAUUAAUAUGUCUAAUCCUUUUACUGAACCUUUGUUAGAAUUUUUAAUAGUGUUUUGAAGAAAUCUAAAAUAAGUAUCUUAAGAAAUAAAUGAAAAAUUAACUGUUGGUCGUCCUACUAGUCCUAGGAGUAAGAAUUUAAAUGUCAAUGACAGAGAGAAACAUACCUAAAAGGAACUCGGGGAACAAUCUUCUACUAAUAAUGAUAGAAUUCCUAAGAAUAAUGUGGAGGUUACUAGUGUGGUUUAAUCGCAUGCCUUCCGGGCUGAGGAAAGAUAUGCACAUCCACAAAAUAAGGAGAAUGUUAGGAUGGCAAUCCCAAAUGGCCAUAAUAAUGACAUGCCAUAUUUGUCUCACCAGAUCUAUGUUAAUCAACUUACUAUGUAUGAUGUGGCAGGUAAGGGUUUGAAUAUAUGGGGAGACCCGAGGGCAAUCCUUUAAUAGUUACUCAAUAUAGGAUUACAUUGAACCAACCUUUUCACCCACAAAGACAACAAUGAGUAGAUAAAUAGAGGCUGUAAGAGAUGUAGGGCAAGAGUUGUAGUCUUGGCUUGAGAUAAAUAGAUUGACCAGAUUUUCACAAGCCUUACUCAAGUUUUAUUGACAUUGACAACCCUUACCCUAUAUGUUAUUGGAUUCUUAGCCAUUAUACUUUAGAACAUAUUAUUAAAUAUGAAUAUAGUGAAUUGGCUAAUUUAGUUGUUAAUUUUAAGUUGAGGCUUUUUUUCUAAAUAUUUAACACGAUCAAUCUUCACUUAGCAUGCUACUUUGCUAAGAAAUUUCAUAUUCACAUGGCAAGAGAUAUAGAGGCAUAUCCAGUUUUUCAGGGCUAGGCAAAAAAAGAUUAAUGCAAAUACCUGAAAAAAUAUUAUCCUACCAUGUAGGAAAAUGGUUAAGUAAGAAAUAAAAGUAUGAGGCCAAUGAAGUGGCCGCUAGUAGUUGGUAGGAUUUAUGUUGUUUUCUAUAUUUUCUUUUACAUUUUCUAUGUUACAUAUAUUUUUUAAGGAUGUUUUGCUUUAUACGAAGCCAAAUAUAAGGCUAGUAUUAUGUUAUUUUAUUUUGAAAAGAAAGCUUGAUUUUAAUAAAAGUAGGCUUUAUGGUCAUUUUUAAAUCUUGAGUGAUCUGUGUUGUUUUUGUUUCUGAUUUCUAGUAAAUACCAUACGGCUAAAAGCACAAAUUUUUAACUAAAAUGCAGACAAGUACAAAUAAAUACAUAGAUAGAAUGAGUAAUGUGCAAAGUGUUGAGUGAAUUGGUUGUAUACAUGUAAAGCAUGGCUAUAUUAUAAAGUCAAAGUAAUAGCCAAACAUAGUAUGUCAAAGCCAUAUCACAUCUAAAAUAAAGUUAGUACCGAGUGAAAAUAGCUCUCAUGGGUGAAGUCAUAACAAAAACAACCAUAAAAUAUAAUUGGAGGACUUGAGCAAAAGAUACAUAUGCAGCAGCUACAUCAGUGACAAGUUGGCUGGAGAAAGAGGAACUAGAAGUUCAUACGGAGUCUAUGACAACAUCUACAUCUAAAUAAACCAAGUUAAAAGGUCCACAUAUUCAUUCUUAUUUCUUAUAAAUUUAAUAGCCUUUAAAUAUGAAAACAAAUGAAAAGUAAAAUUAGUAGAUCAAGGAUAAAAUACAAAUAUGGCAAAAUAAGGCAAUUGGCAUUUUAUUUCAAUUUCGCAUAAUUAAUACAUGCAUGUAAAUUUAUCAAAUGAUGCAUGCAAAUAUAUUUAUAUGUGUUCUUAUUAAUUAGGAUAAACCUUUAAUAUAUGGAAUCAUAAAACAAUGAUUUUAUAUUGAAGUUGUAAAUUCUGAGGUGAACAGGUUCUUAAAAUUAUUUCUUAUUUGAAGCUCUAAAUCCUCGAAUUCAAGAUAAAAUGAGGCUCCAGGGCUUCAAUUUAUCAAUAUUUGAUUCUUUUAUCGGCAUAACUUUAAAAUUAUCACAAAAUUAAGACUUCCACCUAGCAAGAUUUUAAAAAUAACACGUUUAGGUCUUUUAGGGGCUUAAAUUCACAUCAUAAGUUACCAAUACACAUGGUUCAAAUGUUUAUAAUCUCAAAGACAUAAUAGUACCGUAAUUUCUAAAUUGGCCAAUUUUCACUGCUUCAUAAAUAAAUAUUUGUGUAUAUUUAAAUUCAAUAUCACCAUAAAUCCACAAAAAAAUAUAAAAUAAAAGUAAAAGUGAUAUGACCGUAAAUCCACAAAAAAAUAUAAAAUAAAAGUAAAAGUAAUAUGAGUACCUUUUUUCUUUCUCCUUAUUUGAUAGAUAAUAAAAUUUCUGAUUUAUCAACAAAGGAGAAGGAAAUAUGUAAGAAACCUCCCAAAAGAUAUUUCCUUUCAUAUUUCUUGUACGGUGUAUCUUGAGCUAAAGAAGGUGAGAUUUCUUUUUUUUUUUUUUUGGUUUUGUAUUUUAGUUGGUGGAAGUUAGGACAGGAAAUAAAAAGGGAAAAACAAACAAUCAACGGAUAUUCAAUAAUCACAUAUAAAAGUCAGAAAAACUCAAAAAAGAAAAAAAAACUCUCUAUAAUUUAUUUUUGAAAUUAAAAAUUAUAAAAGACAAUUAUAAAUAAAAAAAAUAAAAAUACUAGUUAAAAUAUUAGAUUUUAUAAAAUAAUUAUUUUUUUAAAUAUACGGAUAACUUAUAUAAAUACUAUUAAUCAUUUUCAUUAUGGUAUCUUUAAUGGAAAUUUCUUUUUUUUUUAAAUUAAAAUUAAUAACUCUUUUAUAUUCAACCAUGUUACAAAAAAAAUAAUAUAAUUUAAUUGUAUCUAGAUUUAAAUAUAAAAAUUUAAUUAAUAAUUUUACAUUUCAAUAGAUAAAAAACAUAAUAAUUUUUAAAAUAUAUUUAUAUUAACAAAACUAUAAAUUAAGAAAUUACCUAGAGCCACAAACCAGAUUGAGCCGGGCCUGAUUCAAUAAUUAUAUAAAUACCCCAAAUGUUUUAGGGCCCCUAUUUCUUAGAGCAUAGGCAUAGUAUAGCCUAUGCCUUAAACCGGGCCUAUGAGUAAGAAUAGAAGAUCAGAAACUAUGUCAUUUAUCCGUGGACUCUAAUUUAACAAAAUAUUUACAUGUAAUCAGUAAUUAAUUAAGAGAGAAAAAGAUCAUACACGUUCGGAUUGGUUAUGAAUUAGCAGCAGCCCUACUCCUUUUAGUUGAAACUGAUGAUUAGCCGUUCGCUUUUUGCUUGUCCUGCCUCCCUCUUUUGAACCACAGUUGAGAAAGAAAGAAACCAAAUUGCACAAUUUUAGUACCUAAUUUAGAUAGUAAGACAAAUUCAUUACGUGAAUGAAAAAAUAGUAACUAAAGGUCAAUGAAAAACUAUGCCUGGUGUUUACUGUGGCAAACUGAGUCAUUCUCAUUCACAUUUUUCUUUUCAUCUUGAUCGCAAAAGCAAUCCCCUUUUUCAAUCUGCCCUAGUAUAAAUAGGGGUUGCACAUGAACAUUAACAUGCACAAAACAAACCCUAAGCAAGUAAGCCAAUGACAGACAUGAAUUUUCCAAGCUAUAUCCUUCCAAUUCUUGUUUUUUCUCAUUUGUCAUUCUCAUGGGCAACUUCAACUCACACCCAUGAAGAUUUUCUUGAAUGUCUUCACCUUCAAUCUCAAGACUCCACUUCCAUCUCCAGAGUCAUAUACACCCCCAAUCAACUCUUCCUAUUCAUCUGUUGAGCAAUUUUCCAUACAGAACCAAGGUUCAAUACAAGUACCACUCCAAAACCUCUAGUUAUUGUUACCCCUUUGAAUAUAUCCCACGUUCAAGCCACAAUAUGUUCUAAAAGAUAUGGCAUGCACAUUAGAGUUCGAAGUGGUGGCCAUGACUACGAAGGGCUUUCUUAUGUUUCUGCUCUUCCAUUUUUCAUUAUUGAUCUGAUCAAUCUUCAAUCCGUCACUGUUGAUGCGGCAAAGAACACUGCAUGGGUUCAAGCUGGUGCAACUAUAGGCAAAUUAUAUUAUAGUAUGCCGAGAGAAGCAGAACUCUAGCUUUUCCAGCAGGUGUUUGUCCUACCGUCGGUAUUGGUGGGCACUUCAGCGGCGGAGGGUAUGGCAUGUUGUUGCGAAAAUAUGGGCUUGCUGCGGAUAAUAUAAUUGAUGCAGUAUUGAUUGAUGUUAAUGGUAGAGUUCUUGACAGAGCUUCAAUGGGUGAGGAUCUUUUCUGGGCAAUUCGAGGAGGUGGAGGAAAUACCUUUGGAAUCGUUAUUUCAUGGAAGAUUAACUUGGUACCAGUUCCAGCUACUGUCACUGUAUUUACGGUGGAAAAAACCUUGAAACAAAAUGCAACUCAACUUGUCAAUGGGUGGCAAUAUAUAGCAGAAAAGCUUCAUGAAGAUCUAUUCAUUAGAGUAAUUAUAGAGAGAGUUAAUUCAACCAGUCAACAAGGAAAAACAACAGUACGAGCAGCAUUUAACUCCUUGUUUCUCGGUGGAGUCGACAGGCUUCUUCCUUUGAUGCAAGAGAGCUUCCCUGAACUAGGUUUGGUGAGAGAAGAUUGCAUCAACAUGAGCUGGAUCGAGUCCAUCCUCUACUUUGCUGGAUUUUCAAAUUCACCCUUGGAUAUUUUGCUUAGCAGAACUCAGCCAUCCGUGAGGAAUUUCAAAGCAAAAUCCGAUUAUGUCAAAGAACCAAUGCCUGAAACUGCACUGGAAGGCAUAUGGGAGAGGCUCUCCGAAAUGGAUGUCGGUGCAGGUCAACUGAUAUUUAGCCCGUACGGAGGAAGAAUGAGCGAGAUUUCAGAAUCCAGCAUUCCAUUUCCACACAGGGCUGGAAAUCUGUACAAGAUUCAGCACCUGGCGUAUUGGGACGAGGAAGGAAUUGUAGCAACAAGAAAGCAUAUAAGCUGGAUCAGAAGGCUCUACAGUUUCUUGGCUCCCUAUGUUUCAAAGAAUCCAAGAGCAGCAUAUAUCAACUACAGGGAUCUUGACAUUGGGAUAAACAACUUGGGCAACACAAGUUACAAGCAAGCAAGCAUUUGGGGAAUAAAGUAUUUCAAGAUUAACUUCGACAGGCUGGUGCAUGUCAAGACUACAGUUGAUCCUGCCAACUUUUUCAGGAACGAACAGAGCAUCCAGCCUCUCUCUUCUUGGUAAAAUUAGAUAUUAGAUGGAUAAUUUGAUUAGCUAAAAGAAUUGAUAAUAAGGAUGUUUGUAUUCUCUACACUGGGUCAUCCAUGCAUUUAGGGUCUCUUAAGUUGGUAUGUUUUUGUGUGGAAUUGGGUUAUUCCAUGCAUAAUCAAAUAAAGUUAUACUGUAAAAAAAAAGAAAAAAAGAUUAACGUGCAUGUUAAAUAUAUUCAUUGUGUAAAAAUAAAAAUUCAUUUUGUAACUUCUGAUAUUGCCAAUAGAGGAUUUUUCUUUUUAGGAAUUUACACGGAUUAUAUUAUUUUUUAUAAUCAUGAUAUUUUUACGUAUUUUUCUCUUCUACAAUUUUACGUUUUUUCUUUAACAUUUAUGCCUGAUAUAUGUGCGAGGAGAGGGAUUUUUCUGAAAUGGAAAAAUCCUGUUAGUUCCAUAAAUGAAAAUUAAUGCUAUAAUGAAAUCUGGUUUUUAAUAUUUUGUUUUAAAGAAUUAAUUAUAAUCAAAACUAAUUAACACUAGUCUAGCCUCAUUAAUAAUAAAAAAUAUAAUAAUUGAUACAAAUUUAAGUCGAAAGACAUAUUUUCAUAUAUAAAUAAGGUUAAAUUAAAUUUAAAAUUACAAAAUUAUCUUUAAUCAAUAGAAUUUACACAGCACACGAUUAAUUUGAGAAAGUAAGAAAAAAUAAUUAGUAAUGAGGACUGAUUAGUUAAAUUUCUUUUAAUCUUCGAAAUCCUCACUGAUAAUACUAAUUUGCUAAGAUGUCCUUAAAAUCUUAAUAUUUUAUUUUUAUUAGUAUAUGAAUAUUGUCUAGCCAUGUUGAAUUAGUAAUUUCAAACAGUUGAUGCUUCAUUUAAAAUUUAUUGCUUCUACUGAGUCAUCUAAUGAAAUUUUUGCAUAAUUUGUUAUUGUCUGAUUUAGUAUAUUGAGAUUCGUAAAAAAAAAUUAGUAUUUGUACAAGCAUUGAGGCUUUUUUUUCUCUAUAAUACGAUAGCUACGUAAAUUAAAAUAGAAAUAAAAAUAAGAUGCAAUAUUAAAAUAAAAUAAUUUAAGAGGAACAAAAUAACUCAAAUAUAAUUAAUAAAAAAUAAAUUAGCACGUCUAAACAAUACCUUGAAACAUUUCAUAUGUUCCAAAAUAUUAAAUUGAUAAACUAUCUUUUAAAAAUAAUAUCAAAUAAAAUAAAAAUUUAUAUUAUUACAACAAAUAAUAAGAAUUUAACCAUAUUCAAUAUAUAUAUUUCCAUAAAAGCAACUUUAAAUAAUCUAUUUUCUUUUUCUUCAAUAAUACAUAUACAUAAUAAAGUUGAAAAAAGAAAUAUAAAUGAUAUUGACAAGUUGAUUUGCAUUUAUUCUUUUGUAUGAAGAAAAAAAUUAAUCCAAAAAAAUACAUUAUAUAAACAUGAAGAAAAAGAAAUUAAAUUUAAGUGCUUUUUGUAAUGUAGAAGUAGUUACUUUGAAUGAUUUUGUUGAUAUUUUUUUCUAUUUGGUUGAUUUUUAGAGAAAUAUAUAUAUAUAUAUAUAUAUAUAUAUAUAUAUAUAUAUAUAUAUAUAUAUAUAUAUAUAAUAUUAAUUUCUAAGAUUUAUAAUUUUUUGAUACAUAUGCUUAAUUUCUGACACAUAAAAUUUUUAUUUUGACAUGUUUACUUACUUAUGACAUAUGAAAUUCAAGCUUAGGUGUAAUUUUUAGUUUUUUAUUAAUUUACUGAUUCAUAAAUUAUAUUCAUAAUUAAAUACUAACUCUAAUACUAAAAAAAAUAUAUUAAUUAUAUUUUAAUAUUAUAUUCAAUAAUAAAUAGUUUCAUAAUCAAAUAAUGAUACUGAUUCUAUCCUAAGAAAUAACAUAUUAAGUAUAUUUUAAUUUUAUAUUAACUAAUAAAUUAGUUUUAUAAUUAGAUAAUAAUUCUAAUUCUAGAAAAUAACAUCUUAAAUUAUAUUUUUAAUAUUAUACUCAAUAAUAAAUUAUUUUUUAAUUAUAUAAUAAAUUUCUAGAAAAUCAUAAUAUCAAUUAUUAAUUUAUAUAAUAUUAAAAUUAAUUAAUAGAUAAUUUUUAAAAUAAUUUUAUAUUCUUGCAUUAAUAAAAUUUAAAACUUUGAAAAUAUUAAGAACAUUUAAAAAUAGUUAGCUUGCUACUUUUCAAAAAUUUUAUAAUUAAUAUUAAAUAUUGAUAAUUUUAUUAAAUUAUAUCUAUCAACUUGAUUUUAUAAUUAAAAUAAUAACCACAACCGUGCAACAUAUGGGUAAACUACUAGUUGUCUUUAAUUUCUUUUCUUGAACUGUUAUUCUUUUUCUUUGGAUUCCAACUUCUUUUUUUUAUCUUUCUCAUUUUAGUUCUUUUUAUUAUAUAAAAUAAAAAAUAUUAUCAUCUUGACUUUUUUAAAAUUUAUUGAAUUUUAUUUUAAAAAAACUCACCUUUUUCAAAAUUUAUUAUAAGAAAUUAUUUUGAUUUAUAGAUACAUAUAUUUGUGAUUUGAAGUCUUCUGAUUAAAAUAGAAGUGGAAGUGCAUGUGAAAUGGACUAGAAUUGUUAAAACUGUAUUUUUAUAAAAAAAAUAUUUUAUUUUUUUUUAAACCAACAAAAGUUUUUAUCUUCAAAGGAAAUUCUUGUGAGUUUUUAUUUUGAUUGUAAAAAUGUUAUUCACUUCGUAAAAACAAUUUUUGUGACUCUCCUUUGUAUAAACAAUUUUUCUUGGAUCUAUGGCUACACUCUCUGUCCUUUUAAUACAAAUUUAAUUUCUCAUAAAAUAGAUUUAUUUAUAUUUAUAUGGCCUAAUUACAUGAAGUUUUUUAAUUUUGGACGUUUUAAUAAUUUUAAUCAGUACUAUUAAUAUUAUUAUAGAAAGCAUUAAAUUUUGAUUUUUUUUUUCUAAAAUACUACCCGACUACUAAAAAUGGUAGUUUUUGCUGACUAUAUCAUUUUUUAAUUGAAAAGAAAAUACAAAAAGAGAUGAGUCAACAAUAGAUGCUGACUCAAUUGGUCUUACUCCUUUAGUGCUAUUUUCUCAUCCUUCAACAAUAGCUACUCCUCUUACUCUCCUGACCUUAACCUUAGCCCUACCACUACCCUUUAUUCCAACUUCCAUUUCUUUCCUUCUAGAUCUUGCUUUUUGCCUUCUUUUUUUGCUCACAACACUAUAACUGCUAUGGCUCUUGCUCUUGUCCCUUAUGUUACUUUCCUCUUUGACCUCAGUGAUGCCUUCCUCCUUGACCUCGACAAUGCUUUCGUUGUUGCUAUUCUGACUCAUGGUGUGAUGAUUUCUUACAUCCUCAAUUCUUUCAACUUUAAGUCAGGUGCAAUCUUCAGUGUUUGGUUCUCUCUAAUCAUUACACAGAUUGUUUUUUUUAGCUUAUCCCUUAUCAACAAUUUAUAUUUUGUUUCUCUUGGUCUCUUGCAAUUAUGCCUAUGCUAAUUUUUAAUCAAUGUAUGGAAUUUUCUCCAAUUCAAGUGGAUUUAGCUUGAAAACCCUACCAUUGUGCUCGCUCUCGAGCAUCUCUUGUUCACUUGCCACCUUUCGUCGCUUCCUCCCUUUUCACAUGGGCUUGAAUCUCUACAAUUGAAAUGAAUAACGCUUGUUAUUAUCUCAUGAUCUUCAAUUGCAUCUUUUAUUGGCUAUUUGCGAUUCUUAGAGUUUCUUCCUUUAAAUCUAAACAGGAAGCUAAAUAUUACAGAGGAGAAGUUCAUGAUGAUAACUUCAAUGGUGUUAUUGAAAUAGCUAAUUCCUUAAGCUUAAGACUUAAGAGUUUACCAAGUCAUGCAUGCCGUUACUUGGUCUUUCAAUUCUAUUUAAUAACCAUUUUGUUCAGGGAUUAGUUUAGAGUUUGUUUUUCAAUUAAACAUGUUCGCUGCUUCUUAGGAAUUUCUAUUGAAUGUAUGGCUACAUAAGCCAAGGCUGUUGAAUAAAAUAGGAAUACUUUUCCCAUUUUAAAUCCAGUUGUUUAGUAUUGAGUUACAUAUUGUUCUUAACAUUAUCAAUUGGUAUCAGAGGCAUUACUAGGGGCUGAAUGAAAAAAAAAAGUUGCAGUUUUUAAAGAAAUGGGUGAAGAGAAGAUGAAGCUCCCUCACUUCGAUGGUCAUUACAACCACUGAAGCGAGUUGAUGGAGAACAUGCUGAGAGCCAAAGGACUAUGGAGCAUAGUGGAGAAUGAUUUCGAAGAGCCAUCUGCUGGAACGUUGCUAACUGAAGCACAGAGGGAGCAUCUUGAAACUGCCAGAGUUAUGGAUCACAAGGUAAAGCAUUACCUUUAUCAAGCUAUUGAUAGAGUAACCUUUGAGUAGAUUCUCGACAGACGUACAACCAAAAUAGUGUGGGAUUCCAUGAAGAGCAAGUUUGAAGGAAAUGCUCGUGUGAAGAAGUCACUCCUUCAAAGAUUGAGGAGAGACUUUGAGGUGCUGGAGAUGAAGUCUAGUGAAAGUAUUAUUGAAUACAUUGUAAGAGUUAUGGCAAUAACCAACCAAAUGAGAAGCAAUGGGGAGCAAAUGCCAGACUCAAAAGUGGUAGAUAAGGCUCUAAGGACACUCACACAGAAGUUAACGUAUAUUGUGGUGUCUAUAGAAGAACCUAAAGAUAUUGAGGACAUCUCAAUAGAUGAAUUACAAAGUUCUCUUGUAGUUCAUGAACAAAAAUUCAAGCGACAUGAUCAAGGAGAGGAUCAAGCACUAAAAGUAAGCAAUGAAGAUAGGACAGCAGUUAGGGGCAGAGGAAGGGCAAGUCUAAGAGGCCGAGGAGGUGGAAGAAGCAGGCAAACAUUCAACAAAGCAACUGUGGAGUGCUUCAAGUGUCACAACAUUGGACACUACCAAUAUGAAUGUCCAAAGUGGAAUAAACAAGCCUACUAUGCGGAGCUAGAGGAGGAGGAGGAACUACUAUUAAUGGCCUAUGUUGAGGAAUUAGAGGCAAAAAGAAAUGAUGUCUGUUCCUAGAUUCCGGCUGUUCCAAUCAUAUGAGCGGAGAUAAAAGUAUGUUUACAAACUUAAAUGAAAAAUUCAAGCAUUCAGUUAAGCUUGGAAACAAUACUAGAAUGGAAGUAGCCGGAAAAGGAUGUGUCAAGCUACCCUUGAACGGAGUGGUGUCGGUAGUCACUGAGGUUUACUACGUCCCUGAACUUAAGAACAACCUCUUAAGUAUAGGACAACUUUAAGAGAAAGGGUUGGCUAUUCUGAUUCAAGGAGGUAUGUGCAAAAUUUAUCAUCAUGAGAAAGGACUAUUGAUAGAAAGUAAGAUGAGUGUCAAUAGAAUGUUUGUACUCUUAACCAAAUCUAGACCAAAUUCAUGAACUGAUAAUUGCUUGCAAUUAAGCUGUGUAAAUUUGUCUCAAUUAUAGCAUGAGAGAUAUGGGGACUUAAGCUACAGAGGCUUGAAAACACUUCAAGAGAAGAAAAUGGUGAUAGGUUUGCCGCAACUUGAGGACCCAAAUAAGGCCUGUAUCGAUUGCUUUGCAGGGAAGCAACAAAGAAAGGCAAUCCCGAAACAGAGCACAUGGAGAGCAAAUGAGGUUUUAGGGUUGAUUCAUUCAGACAUCUGUGGACCGAUCAGCCCAAUCUCCAACAGCAGUAAGAAAUAUACUUUAUGCUUUAUUGAUGAUUUUAGCCGUAAAACAUCGGUAUACUUGUUGAAAGAUCUGAGGCACUAAGCUACUUCAAGAUUUUCAAAUGUUUUGUUGAAAAUGAGGCAGGAAAGCAGAUUAAGAGCUUCAGGACUGAUAGAGGUGGUGAAUUCACCUCACAUGAGUUUAAUAAUUUCUGUAAGGAGCAUGGUAUUCAAAGGCAACUCACCAUUGCUUUCACACCACAACAAAACAGCGUAGCUGAACGCAAGAAUCGGACAGUGAUGAACAUGGUGAGAUCGAUGCUCAUAGCAAAGAAGGCUCCAAAACCUUUUGGCCAGAAGCUGUAAAUUGGACAUUUCAUGUCCUCAACAGAUGCCCUACCUUGGCAGUUAGAGACAUGACACCUCAAGAAGCAUGGAACGAAGUAAAGCCUUCGGGAUUUUCGAGUUUGGGGAUGCCUUGCUCAUGUACACAUAAAGUUUCAUUUGUAUACUGUUGGGUUUGAGUGAGGAGUCUAAAGGGUAUAGGUUGUUUGAUCCCAAAACAAAAAGAGUCAUUGUUAGUAAGGAUGUUGAGUUUAAAGAAAAUAAACAGUGGGAAUGGGGAGAGAAUUAUGAAAAACAAAUAGGGGCUGAUCUUGUAUGUAGUGAUGAUGAAGAUGAGGGAGAUGAUCUGAGCGAGUACGAUAUAGGUACCACAAAUGAGAAUAGAUUAGAAAAGGAAGGAAUUGAAGAGCCUGUAAAUGUAACUAACAAUACAGGAGAUGUAACUAACAAUACAGGAGCAAGGGAAGGCAGAAUUAGAAGACCUCCAAUUUACCUUAGUGACUAUAUCACUAAUAAUGAACACUCAGAAGAAGAGGCUGAGCUGAACAUAGCAGAAAUUGAAACAAAUGAUCCAUCAACAUUCGAGGAAGCAAUGAUGAAUAAACAAUGGAGAUUAGCCAUGGAUGCAAUCAAAAGAAACCAAACAUGGGAGUUAACCAGCCUGCCAAAAGGAGCUAAAUGCAUUGGAGUCAAAUGGAUCUACAAGAACAAAUUCAAUGAACUCGGAGAAGUAGACAAGCUCAAGGCACGAUUAGUGGCAAAAGGAUACUCUCAAAAGCAUGGGGUGGACUAUACAGAGGUAUAUGCACCAGUCGCAAGAAUGGAUACGGUGAGGAUCAUAAUUGCCAUGGCUGCUCAAAAUGGUUGGGAAAUUUAUCAACUCGAUGUCAAAUUUGCAUUUUUACAUGGAGAAUUACAAGAUGAUGUGUAUGUGCAGCAACCAAAGGGAUAUGUGAUUAAGGGAAGUGAGCAAAAGGUCUACAAGCUGUACAAAGCAUUAUACGGUCUAAAACAAGCACCACAGACAUGGUUCAGUCGUAUCGAGACAUACUUUAUCCAUGAAGGCUUUCAAAAGAGUCAAAAUGAACAAACCUUGUUCAUAAAAAGGAGCAAAGAAGGUAAAGUACUCAUUAUUAGUGUUUAUGUAGAUGAUAUAAUCUAUACUAGUAAUGAUGCUUUAAUGAUGCAAGAGUUCAAAAGUUCUAUGCAAAGAGAAUUCGACAUGUCUGAUCUUGGAAAGAUGAGAUUCUUUCUCGAGAUAGAAGUGAUGCAAACUUUGUAUGGUAUUCAUAUCUCACAAUGCAAGUAUGCAACAGAAGUUUUGAGACGGUUUGGUAUGGAAGAUUGCAAUGCAGUGUGUAAUCCAAUUGUUCCAAGUAGCAAGAUGGAUAAAGAUGAAGAUGGAGAAAAGGGGGAUGAAACACUUUAUAAGCAGAUUAUUGGAAGUCUUACGAACAUCACCACCACACGACCUAAAUUACAAUUUGUUAUAAGUUUGAUGAGUCGCUAUAUGUCUAGGCCUACCAAACUGCAUUUUCAGGCAGCCAAAAGAGUGUUUAGAUACUUAAAGGGAACAUUAGACUAUGGUAUUUGGUAUAAACGAGGAGGAGGAGCUGAACUAAAAGUGUUCACAUAUAGUGAUUACGCAGGAGAUGUUGAUAGAAGAAGAAGCACUUCAAGUUAUACAUUCAUGAUGAGUGAAGGAGUAGUAGCAUGGUCAUCAAAGAAGCAAGCAAUGGUCACCCUUUCAACCACAGAGGCAGAGUAUAUUGCUGCUACUACGUGUGCAUGUCAAGUAAUCUGGAUGAGAAGAGUUCUACAAGAACUGGGAUAUAUAUUGGAAGAUAACACAAAAACCAUUUUGUGUGAUAACACUUUAGCCAUCAAGUUAUCCAAGAAUCAAGUUUUUCACAAGAGAAGCAAGCACAUUGAUGUACGAUAACACUUCUUGCGAGAUCUCGUCAAUGAUGGAGUUAUAAAGAUAGAGCAUUGUGAUACACAGGAUUAAUUGGCUGACAUUCUUACAAAACCUUUGAAGAAGGACUCAUUUCAGAAGCUUCGAGCAAUACUUGGUGUAUGUCCAGCAGUAGAUAAACUAACUUACGAAAGUAAGUGUAGUUUAAGGGAGAGAAUGAAAUAGCUAAUUCCUUAAGCUUAGGACUUAAGAGUUUACCAAGUCAUGCAUGCCAUUACUUGGUCUUUCAAUUCUAUUUAAUAACCCUUUUGUUCAAGGAUUAGUUUAAAGUUUGUUUUUCAAUUAAACACGUUCGCUGCUUCUUAGGAAUUUUUGUUGAAUGUAUGGCUAUAUAAGCCAAGGCUGUUGAAUAAAAUAGGAAUACUUUUCCCAUUUCAAAUCCAGUUGUUUAGUAUUGAGUUACAUAUUGUUCUCAACAUUACCAGUUAUUGCUUUGGUUAUCGUUGUGCUCUGUCUGGAGGUUAGAGUUAUUUACUAUUCCUUUGGGCGGUAUAUUGGGUUCCUCUCCUUUUGAAUUAUCUUCUGUUCACAUUGACUAUACUUGGAGAGGCUGAUGAAGCUGGUGCUUAUGCCCUUGGUUUGAUUUUUGAUGCUUUAAUCUCCAUUGCUUUUAUUGUUUUGGCUGUCAUUGUUAAUGCUACUAGAGCUACCAUUAUGGGAUUAGCCAUUAUGAGAUAUUAACUUAGUUUACAUCUUUCAAUUGCUCAUAGUAGAUGAGUCAGCAUUUAUUGCUGACUUAUUUUUUUAUUUUUCUUUUCUUUUAAUUAAAAAAAUUAUACAAUCAGCCAAAACCACCAUUUUUGGUGGUCGGAUAGUAUUUUAGAAAGAAAAUCAAAAUUUAGUGCUUUCUAUGAUAACAUUGAUAGUACUAGUUAAAAUUGUUAAAAACAUCCAAAAUCAAAAAAAAAGAAUUAAAUAAUAAUAACAGACUUUGAACAUAAACAUAUAAACAAUCUUUGAAAGCUUUAAAUAAACAUACAACUUUGUAAGACUUUGAAACAGAAGAAAAUAUAGACUUACAGGAGGAGUUACAAGAUUCUCUCUCUCUUACUCACUCUCUUUUACUCUAAUCUCUUCUGUGAGAUUUAGACUCAGGAAGAGCUUUCUUCUCUCUUCUAAAUUCUAAGUUCUAAAUUCUAGUAAAGCUGAGAGCUGUGGUCCAGACUUGUCUAGAAAGUUAUUUUGGUUUAGAUUAAAAUGAAUUUAGAACCUUUCUUCUGUAGAUCUUCUUCUUUCUCAAAUUCUUCUGCCUCUGAAUCAUCGAGGUACAAAGGUCUAGUAAAUAGUGAAGAAAUCACUAUUGAAGAUUUUUCAAAGCAUAUAGACGAUUGGGAAAUACCCAAAGUCCAAAAGAAACAAAUUUAUGAGUUUUCAAAGUUCCCUCUCUUCAAGACUGAUUUUACAAUCAAGACUGAAGAAAGAGAUAUCCAAAUUUCAAAACCUUUUGAAGAGAUUUAUCUCUUAAAUCCAAAGACCCUCCAAAAGCAUAUGGAAAAGGAUUAUAAGUAUAUCCACAUAGGUCUAGUCCAGGUAGGUAUUAAGCCCCUUACCAGAGAAGGUCUAGAUACUUCCAUAUUAGCCGUUCUUAGGGAUGCUAGGUUUACAAAUUUCUAUGAUUCCCUGUUAGGUACUGUUGAGUCGAGCCUCAAUAAAGGACCUAUUUCUUUCAAUUGUUUUCCAAAUAUCACGAUUUCUUUAAACGAUAAAAAUGUUUUAAAGAGCAUCGUUCUUCAAAUCAAAACUCACAAUUACAAAAUGCUUGAAGGAUCUAUUCCGAUAGCAUUGAUUUUCAAAAUUCAUUACAAAGCUAUGAUUUCUGCCUUUGGUUCCAAACACAAACUUCACUCACCAAAAGGAGAAACACUGUUCCUACAAACAGAUCUAUCCAAAUCCAACGCAACCAUUCCAAAGACCAUUCAAUGGAAAGACAUAACACUUCCAGAAGAAUGGAUCCUUGAAGGUGCAACCCGACCUACUUCUCCAAAGCAAACAGAACCAAACACAAACCUCAAACACAUAGCCCAAUAUCCAGAUGGAAAGGUAAAGAUCACAUUCAACAGAAAGUCAACUUCCUCUAGAUUUUCUGAUGAUGGUUCUUCAACCUCGACCAUAGAUAUUGGAAGGGUAUCCAAAAUUCCUUCUGUUAUCUAUGCCCCUUACAAAGAACCAAUUCCAUCCCAAACACAACCCAGAUUUUCAACAUAUGAUAUUCCAAAAACACUCCAGAAUGUUGAUUACCAAAGCAACAUCCCCAGACCAGUCUACACUGAUCCAAAGAAUGAUGACGAAGAUAUAGAGAUAACCUCUAUCCCAUCUUCACCAUCACCAUCAGCCAUUACCCAAAACCUUGAAGCAGAGAUCAACAUGAUUUCAAAAGAGUUUGAAAUUGAUAAAAAACUCUUGCAUGAAGAUUUCUAUUCAAAGAAAAACCAUCUUAAGAAACUUUGGUUUUUUAAGAAUUUUUUAAAAGAAAAAGAUAGUAUUUAGGAAAAAUACUAUCAAUUUUGCAUUCAAAACAAAGCCCAAAUCAAAUUUUUUGAUUGGUUUCAAAUUUAUUGCAAAGAGCAUGGUCACUCAUAUCCUUUUAAAGAUAAGAGUAUUAGUCCUGUCACAGUGAGGAACAAAGCCCCUGAGUGGAAGGUAGGAGAAAACCUAACUGUCCAGUCUGAACAUCCUCCCCUUAGGAAGAUAACCAUUCCUUAUGGAGAGAGUGAGAUAGAGGCAACACCUUACAAAUUGGUAGGCGAAGACCUUGAAAAGAAUGUCAAGAAUAUUGUUCAACAGAACAAUUAUUCGAACACCUGCCUAAACACUAUAGGAAAACAACUGGUUAGAAUAGAAAACCAGAUUCAAAAGCCCCCUAUAGUGGUGACAUCUCCAAUCCCUAGUACUGGUCAACCAAAAGAGUCGAACCAGUCAGAGAAGCUUAAAAACCCAGUUUUUAAGCCAUAUCAGCUUACAAAGCCGAGCCAAGACCAUUUCCAAAAGCAAACUGAGUUUGCCAAAGCAGUCAGAGAACAACUGAGUAGAUUAGCAAUCUCUGAGUCGUCCAAAAAUCUAGUACCAGAUACUCCUCAAAGCAGUAGGAAUAUCAGUGCAAUAGGACAAGCCCAAAGCGAUGAGUCAAGUGAUUCAGAGCUUGAAAGCCCCAUUCCAAAACCCUUCAAUAUCAACAGAUUGGGAAUCCAAGCCCCUAGAUUGACCUGGAAUACUCCUAGGAGUACUGCUCCAGAUCUAGGAAAUAGAAGGAAAUAAUAAGCAAUGGAGAUUUAGAUCUAAGUUCGUGGCGUUGUAACCAGAUUCACGCUUUAAGCAGCCUGUAGGAGCUUUAAAUGCUCUUGCAGAAUCUGUUUUCCAGCCUAUAAACUUAUAAAUCUGAAGAUAAAUUUAAACAGAAGCAAUCAGCAAGUUUCUGAUGUGCAGGAUCCUCUUACGAGACAAGCACAGAGCAUACGCUUGAUGAUGAGGAAAGAAGAAGAAGAUAGAUAAAGAAGAUAAACUUUGAAUUGCUUUAUUAAUAAUAAUAACAGACUUUGAACAUAAACAUAUAAACAAUCUUUGAAAGCUUUAAAUAAACAUACAACUUUGUAAGACUUUGAAACAGAAGAAAAUAUAGACUUACAGGAGGAGUUACAAGAUUCUCUCUCUCUUACUCACUCUCUUUUACUCUAAUCUCUUCUGUGAGAUUUAGACUCAGGAAGAGCUUUCUUCUCUCUUCUAAAUUCUAAGUUCUAAAUUCUGAGGGAUGAAGAAGGAGGACUCCUCUAUAUAUAGAGGUCUUGGAGCUUUGGAUACUUGUCACGGGCUUUGGAUGCUUUGUUUAGUGGAGUAGAAAUGAUUCCACUUGUCUUUGGAGUCUUGUGGAGAUUCUUCACAUGCUUUGGAGUCUUUUGAUAAUGCCAACCGCCUUUUGAGAAAGUUGUCGGCCAUGCUUUGAAAGAAUCUUUUGCUUUUUUUACUUUUGUUUUUUCUUUUGUCUUUUCUUUUCUUUUCUUUUUCUUUUUCUUUUUUCUUUUCUUUUCUUUUUCUUUUUCUUUUUCUUUUUCUUUUUCUUUUCUUUUUGUGGGCUUUAGUGUGGGCUUUUUGCUUAUUUGAAAAAUCGUUUUCAUAUGGCAAAUCUACCAUAUGUUGCUUUCGACUCCAAAAAGCAUUUGGAAGAUCAGAACAGAGUUCAUUCUCAAUCUUCAUUUGAAAAUCAGAAAUUUUUCUUUGAAUAAAAUCAUUUUGCAGUUGAUCUAGGAUUCUCUUCAAACCCACAUCUUGUUGAAGAUGAGAAAGAUGGGUCUGUUUUCCUUUGAUCAAAGCAUUGAUUUCAAAAUUGUAAAUGGAAUAGGCUUUGAUAAGAUUCAAAUUUCUCUUUUUUGGUUUUUCUAGAAAAGGAAAAACAAUCUUUGAAUCUUUAGCUUUGAAAAUGAUUCCAGCAGUUGUUACUUUAAAGGGAGUUAUCAAAUUGAUAAACGGAGUCCCUAAGAUAACAGUUUGCUGAAGAUCCUUUGUAAGAAUAAAAACAUUCUUUAAAGCAAUGUUAUUAUUAAGAAUUGCGGCUUCAGUUUUACCAGCAAUCUUAAUCUUUGAAGAAUUGGCUGAAGUCAGCCUUUCUUUGGUUUCUUGGUGAAACCUUUUAGGAACCAGUUCGCAGUUGAUACAAUUGAGGUCUGCUCCUGUAUCAAACAAGGCGAUGGUUUCUAUCUGAAAAUCACCAGGGAAAACAAUCUUUAUUUGAAUCAAAUAUUUUCUUGAAGUAAUUUCCUUUAAAACAUUGAUAAAGUUUUCAGGAACAUUUUCAGGAACUUCAAGGUUUUGAAAAUCAUUUUCCUCAUCAGAAUCAAAAUCACUAUUCUGCUUGAGGAUCAGGCUUUGAAGCAAAACAGAAUCAUUUUGUUGUUUUUCUUUCAACUCUUUGAGUUCUGUUUUGAUGGUUUUAAUCUCCUUCUGGAGUUCCUGAACAGUAGGAAGAGGGUUUUUCAACUUCUUUCCUUUGUCCAAAAUCAUAGUAAGAUCAUAAUUAUUCUUACUAGAUGAAGGAACCAGAGAUUCAGUUUUUAAAAUUUCUUUUAAAACUUGCUUUUGAAUAAGAGGAUCACUAAUAUGCUUUACAGCUUCAAGAAGAGCUUCUUGUUGCCUAGUGAGCAUAUUAAUGUUCUUUGAAGAGCUCUCUGAAUCUGUCUCAGAACAAUCAGUUGAGGUUUUGAUUUCAUCAAUUUGAAAUUCUUCCUCACUGUUUGAGAACUCUGAUUCAGAUGAAUCAACUAGAAGAGCAGAAAUCUUUUGCAAAACUUCUUCUUCUAUUUGAAGCUCAUGGAGUCUUUUGGAAAACUUACAAUACUUCGAAGUAUGGCCUUUCUUACCACAUUUGAAGCAUGUAAUUUUUGAAAAAUCCUUUUUUGAAUCAUUCUUUGGAAAUUUAGGAUGAAAUUUGGAAGAAGAUGGUUUUUUAUAGAAAUUCUCCUCGCUUUUAGAAGGCUUUCUAUAUUUUGAAAAUCGUUUCUUUUUGAAAGAUUUUGGAUAAGAAUCAACUUUGCAUUUCCCUUUGCAACUAGACACGGGCUCUAUUGGGUUAUAUUCAAACUGGUUACAGAAACUACCUAGUUCCUGCCUAGUCUUUUUCAUUUCCCAUUUGAGCUGUCUUUGAAGCUUAAGGUCAUGACAAAUCUUUAAACCUUCUUUCUGGGUUAGACUAACUAACUCACCAUAAGUGUAGAAAUCAUAAGGGAUUUGACCGUUAUGGGCUUCUCUUAUGGUAUUCCUAACUCUUUCACCUAGAAUCUUAGGUAAACCGGCUAAGAAUUUUUCUUUCCAGAAAGGUUGGCUAGAAUCUUCCCUAAGCAUGACUCUGGUUAGGAAAGUGUCUUUGUAACUUUGGAAGUUGCUAAGCUUCUUACAGGUAAGAUUGCUAAGGAGCUCGGCAUUCUGAAGAUAAAUUUAAACAGAAGCAAUCAGCAAGUUUCUGAUGUGCAGGAUCCUCUUACGAGGCAAGCACAGAGCAUACGCUUGAUGAUGAGGAAAGAAGAAGAAGAUAGAUAAAGAAGAUAAACUUUGAAUUGCUUCAUCUUUUCAAAGUUUGACAUGAAAUCAGGAUUUUGGCAAAUCCAGAUUGAUCCAAAAGAUCGUUACAAAACGGCAUUUACAGUCCCAUUCGGCCAAUAUGAGUGGAAAUUUUUCAAAGUUGAAUUCUUGUAAUUUUUAUAUUAAUUUAAAAUAUUCAUUUCAAUUGACUCAUAUUUUAUUUUAUUUAUAAAUAUUUUUAAUUAUGUAAGAUUUUCUUUAAAAUAGUAAAUCUCAUAACAUAUUAAAGAUAUUUCAUUAUAAAAUACAAAAUUUUGAUUUUAGUCGAUUCCGAUAAAAGAUUUCUUAUUCAAAAUCAAAUCGAAAUAAAAUAAUAAAAUUUUAAAAUUCUUAAAUAGAACUUAACUAAAUGUGAGAAAUAAUUAAGUGAAUUUGAUUCCAACUUAUAAUCGAUUUAAUUUAUAUUUUUAAUUUCGAUUCGAUUUUACUCACUAUUAAAUUUCAUCAAACGAUAAUAAAAAGAACUGACUUAUGCACAUGACAUUUAUUUAUAAAAUAAUAUAUAUAUAUAUAUAUAUAUAUAUAUAUAUAACAUGAAAGCUCAUUAUAAGAUAGCAGCAGACAAUUUUUGGAUUGACUAGUUUUAACUCAGACACCACGGAUAGAUACUAGUAAUGUUUUAGUCAUUAUUAUCCGAGUCAUCAUACAAAAAAUAUAAUAUAUUAUUAUAAUAUUGUAGCAUGAGAAGAUAUAUAAAAUUCUUCACAUAAGAACUCUGAUAUGUGGUUAACUUAUAAAACAUGCAAAUUAUUCACCAAAAUAGCACGUUAACUGAGUAAACAACAUAUAUAAUCGUUGGUCAAGAAUUCUAAGCAUUUGAAUGCCUUACGUUUUGCAAACCAAUAAAAAAUAUAUUUCAGUAAUGAACAAUCAUUGUUGGAUGCCAAAUCUUGAAAAGAUUGCUAUGCCAAAGUAAAGAAGUUCAAAUAUUAUUUGGUGUCAGGGAUUUAGGAUAAGCAUUUUAGGUAUCUCAGUUUCAACCUCUAUAAUCAGUUUUUAUACAAAUCAUGAUUGAAUGCGUGUGUAUAUAUACAUGAUGGUUGAAAUAUUACUUUAAAAAAUCAACAAUUAGUAAUUUGACGUAGUAUUCGCAUUCUUAAUCCGACAGUCAAGAUUUUAAAUUUAAAUUUUUUUUUUUCUAUUUGUAUUAAAAAUGCAAUUGAAUAUCAUUAAUGACAUGUUAAUAAUGACACGUUAAUUAUAAAUAGCAUGUGAAUUAUAUAUUAAUAUAAAUUACAAAACAUUUGUUUUCUUAUAUAUCUUUUCUAACCGGAUAAAGAGCAGUAUUUUCCUCCACUAUAAUCUUUUAUUAAGUAUUAGAAUAAUCGAGUGAAAAAUAAGUUUAUGCAAGUAGUGAUAAACUAUUAAUUUAGUUUCUAGAAAAUUUUUAUCUAAAUCUUAUAUUAAUAUUUUAUGUUUUCGUAUUGAAUGACUGAUGCAUACUCCAUCACUUAAAUUAAUGAAUAUAUUUUAAUUAUCUAUCAGUAUAAUAUAUAAAUAGAAAUAUAUCUUAGAAACAACAGAAAUUAAAAUAUAUUAUAAAUUUUCUGAAAGUUUUAUAUGUGUUUUUUGUGGCAACUUUUCUCCUUCGCAGCCCUUUUCUUCUGCUGGCUCUGUAUCCUCAUUUUCCUUUCUUUCUCUUGCAUUUCAUUUUCCAGGCUUUCCCUCUUCCCAAACAGACUGUCAGAUGAGUUGCGAAUUUAUUUGUUUUCUCUUCUGGGGUGUAUAGUCGUGAGUACAAGUUUGAGAUAUUCAUAUACGUUAAUGGAAUUUCAUAUGUUUCUAUGGGAAAAAAUAUAUAUAUGCCCACCAAGAAAGACCAAAGUUAAAAAAUCAGGACUGUUCUCAAAAUAAAAUAAGAAAAGGAAAAAUAUAUCCCAAUUUUGAUACAUUCUUAUUGGCUAAUGGAACUGUGCAGCACAUGCAUUCUUAAAGAUUAAACACAAUGUCAUUUAAAUUUAAUUUCAAUUUCAAAUCGGAUUCUGGCAAUAAAUUGUGUUCUAUUCUUUUAAACUUAAUAUUAAAUCAACUUAUAUAAUUCACUUUUAUAUAUAUAUAUAAUACAUAUUUUAAGAUCUUAUUAAUAAGAUAAAUAUAAAAACUAUUUUAAAUAUUCUUAAUUGAUUUAUUAAUUAUAUACGAAAUUAAUAAUAUAUAUAUAUAUAUAUAUAUAUAUAUAUAUAUAUAUACUAUUCUUUAAGAUCAGAAAUCAUUAUAUAACUAAUCUUCUAAUUAAUAUAGAAUUAAAAAUAUUAUUAAAAUAUUAUUUUUUAGGAUUAUUAUUAUUUAGUCACAAGAAAUAACCUAUUAGUCAAUACAUUAAUUAUAUAAAUAAAUAUAAAAUUAUAUAUCAGUAAUAUUUAUGAUUAAUUAUUAAAAAUGAAGAACCUAUUAUUGUAAUAUGAUUUGAAAUAUUAAAAUAAACUCGAGAUAAAAUAACUAACUCUAAAUCUUUUCUAUAAAGUAUCUUUUAACCAUUUUGACAAUUUUGAAAACUGUAUUUUCUUGAGAUGUACAAUGUAUAUUUAUAAUUAAAACUCUUAUCAUGUAUAAUAAAAAAUUAUUAAUAUUUUAUUAUAGAUUUUUUAAUUUUAAUAAAUGAGAAUGUAGGACACAUAAUAAAACUUCUUGUAUAUAUAAAUAAAUACAUUAGUUUUAUGAUAUAUUCUAAAUAUUAUAUGUUAAGAAUUGAUGUUUGAGAAUCUAUGAUAUUGAUGAAAGCCACUACAUUGAUGGUGUAGUAUUUUACAUUUUUUAUAAGAUUAUUUAAAUUAUUAAUAAAUUAGUUAAAAAAGAUAUCUUAAAAAAUAUCAAAAAAUAUUUAUAAGGAUUAUUAUACAUAGGUCAAGUGUUUAUACAUAAAAUAUUUUAUGAAAUAUUAAAAAGAUAUUUUAAAAGAAUCAAAAAAUAUUUCAUAAAAGUUAUGAGAAUUUAAAAAGAUAUUAUUUGAACGAUAUGUCAACUUCUUUUUAACAUUAUUCACUGUUUUCGAAUGUGUUACAUCGUAAUUAAAUGUUUAUAUGUUAUCUAUAUAAUAAAUAAAUCUGUCUAAUAAAUAGAUCGUAAAGUAUAGAAUGCCAUUAGAAUAUUUUAUAUAAUGAUGUAUUUUUUCUUGUAAAACAUAUUAAAUACUAUAUACAAUUAGAUGAAACUGAUAUACGUAUGAUUGAAUGAUGCUUAUAAUUGACAUGUAAUACGUAGUACUAUAUCCUAAUCCCUUUAAUUAAUUAAUUAAUUAGUUAAAACACUUGACAAUCUUGAUCACAGUACUCCAGAAAAAAGAUUAUGAAAAUUCUUAAAUAUCAAAUAACAUUAUCAGAUUCCACUAAUAAAAAAGAAAUAACAUGAUCAGACAGUUGACUUUUUAAUAGAAGCCAAUUAAUAGUCAAAACACCCAGAAUUUGCUGCUUCCAGAAGUGUAAAGGUUAACCCUUACACUCCAUUAAUUUGUUGACAAUCCUCAUUUGGUCAAACUUGUAUCCUUUUAGCUUUUGCAGACACGAAUUGCGGGCGGCCUGUGCUUCUGCACCUGAAUCUAACGCUACCCACCAAUAACAGCCGCAGGUAUCUUCAAAACUAAUUCAGUUUGAUAUUCUAGGGUUACCUCAGUUCACAUUAUGACUGAAUUUGCUUCAUGCUACUGGGAUUAAUAUGGAUUCCUUUUUAUAAAAUCACAAAUGUACAUUUAUAAUUAAAAGAAAUUAGAGAAAAAGUAAUUUUUAAAAUGAUAAAAUGUGCGCAUUUUAUUUAUUUGACUUUUGUAUCAUAUAUGUAUAACAAAAAAGUUCGUUAACAAGUAAGGUUUUAAGUUUGGAUCUUUUCAUAGUAGCUAUAAAUUUAUAUAUAUUUUUUUUAAAAAUAAUUUUAAAGAUAAAACACCGGUUAUCGAAAAAUUGUAUUGUAAAUAAGAUCUUUUAUGGCAACGCUUGACAUAAAAUAAUAAUUUAUUAAUAUAUCCAGAAAAAUAAAAUAAAAAUUCAAUCACUGAGUUGUGAAUAAUAAUAAAAAAAGUUAACUACCAUUGAUUAUCUACCUUUAUGCAGAAUAAGAUUUUAUUUAUUUAAUUAUCAUUUCCAUAUAAAAUACUGCAUAAAAAAUCUGAUCCACAUCAUAGUUUUUCCUGCCAUCUUUCUAGUUAACCCAUGUAAAUCAUUGCUAGAGGAAAACAGUACACUUAAAAAUGGCCAACGUAUUUCAUCAGAAAAAGAAAGAAAAACGAAGAUACAGGCCAACGUAUGCAUGACAAUUGAAUAUUAGUUCCAGAUAGAAAAUCAAAUGGAGCUAUCAUAAUAAUUGAAAUGUCAAUGGCCAAUUGUGCUACGUUCUUAUUUGUACUUUGAAUUUUUCUGGUCAAAAAUUAUUGGUAGAUGACCUGCAUUAUCCUCAUUAUCUUAUUCUUUUCUACUAUAAUUCUUCAAUCCCCAUUAAUUAUAAGUCUAACAAUCUAUCACUAUAAAUCUCCAUGACCUCCUGCAAGAUUACCAAUAUCAAACACACAAAAAAGAAAAGAAAAAUGACAGCAUUAAGAUCACUACUAAACGUUUCAUUGUUACUUCCAGUUCUUCUGCUCUCCCUUCCAUGGAUGCCAACUUCAGCAUCUUCUUCAGGUUAUGAAGAUAAUUUCUUUCAAUGUCUGUUGAACCUUUCUCAGCCUUCACAUCCAAUUACUUCUGCAAUUUUUGCUCCAGACAAUGCUUCAUACUCAUCUGUCUUGCAAUCUUAUAUUCGAAACCUUCGAUUUAACAUGUCCUCAACCCCGAAACCACUCCUUAUCGUUACUGCAUUGCAUGAAUCUCAUGUUCAAGCAUCCGUCGUUUGCGCCUGGAAACAUGGUCUGCAAAUGAAGAUCCGAAGCGGAGGCCAUGACUACGAGGGCGUUUCGUAUGUCUCCGAUGUGCCUUUCUUCGUCCUCGACAUGUUCAAUCUUCGAGCUGUAGAUGUUGAUGUAGAAACCGAGACUGCUUGGGUUCAGGCUGGAGCAAUCCUUGGUGAAGUUUACUACAGAAUUGCUGAGAAAAGUAAGGUUCAUGGCUUUCCAGCUGGUAUUUGCCCUACAGUUGGUGUUGGAGGUCAUUUGAGUGGGGGUGGUUACGGUAACAUGAUGAGAAAGUAUGGACUUUCUGCCGAUAACAUAAUCGAUGCCCAACUCGUUGAUGUCAAUGGCAGGCUUCUUGAUAGAAAAUCCAUGGGAGAAGAUCUUUUCUGGGCUAUCAGAGGCGGCGGAGGAGCUAGCUUCGGAGUAGUAAUAUCAUACAAAAUAAACAUUGUCCGCGUUCCAGAAGUGGUAACUGUGUUUCGAGUACAAAGAACUCUGGAACAGAAUGCAACUGACAUUGUCGAUAAAUGGCAACAUGUUGCCUAUAAUCUGGACGAUGAUAUCUUCAUCAGGCUUACUUUAGAAGUCGUUAAUGCAACUCAGGGCAAUGGAAAAACAGUCAGGGCCACGUUCAGAUGUAUGUUUCUUGGAGACUCUGCACGACUUCUUGCAACCAUGAAGGAAAGUUUUCCUGAAAUGGGUUUGGUUCAAUCUGAUUGUUUGGAAAUGAGUUGGCUUGAGUCGGUCCUGUUCUGGACAGACUUCGCAGUGGGAACUCCAACUACUGCUUUGCUUAGACGAACUCCACCAUCAAUUACCUACUUGAAGAGGAAAUCAGAUUAUGUGAAGAAACCAAUUCCGAGAGACGGGUUGGAGAAGCUUUGGCAGAAAAUGGUGGAGCUUCAAGUGCCAUCGUUAGCAUUCAAUCCUUAUGGUGGCAAAAUGGGUGAAAUUCCAUCUACAGCACUUCCAUUUCCACACAGAGCUGGUAAUUUAUGGAAGAUUCAGUAUGCAACAAACUGGAAUGUGGAAGGAACUGAAGCAGCAAAUCACUACAUAGAUUUAACAAGGCAACUAUAUGACUUCAUGACUCCUUAUGUGUCAAAGGAUCCAAGGGAAGCCUUCCUGAAUUACAGAGAUCUUGAUCUGGGUAUUAACCAUAAUGAUGGUAAGAAGAAAAGCUACUUAGAAGGGAGAACUUACGGAAUCCAAUAUUUUAAAGAAAACUUUGACAGGUUGGUCCAGGUCAAGACCAAAGUUGAUCCUGGUAAUUUCUUUAGAAAUGAACAAAGCAUUCCUACUUUUCCUUACUGGAAGUAGAAGGAAUCUAUAGGUUUAUAUUUAGCUACCUGAUUGCUUGGAUAUAGAAUAAUUAUGCCUUGUUUUGUGUUUGAAACUUGUAAACAAUUUAUGCCUUUAUGAUUAUUUGGAAAUAUUCAUCUUUGUUGUAGAUUGUUUUAUUAAUUUUACAUUGUUUUCUAUAUUUCCUUAAGACUUAACAGAGCCCACUUGUGUAGAAUAUAAUAGCCNNNNNNNNNNNNNNNNNNNNNNNNNNNNNNNNNNNNNNNNNNNNNNNNNNNNNNNNNNNNNNNNNNNNNNNNNNNNNNNNNNNNNNNNNNNNNNNNNNNNNNNNNNNNNNNNNNNNNNNNNNNNNNNNNNNNNNNNNNNNNNNNNNNNNNNNNNNNNNNNNNNNNNNNNNNNNNNNNNNNNNNNNNNNNNNNNNNNNNNNNNNNNNNNNNNNNNNNNNNNNNNNNNNNNNNNNNNNNNNNNNNNNNNNNNNNNNNNNNNNNNNNNNNNNNNNNNNNNNNNNNNNNNNNNNNNNNNNNNNNNNNNNNNNNNNNNNNNNNNNNNNNNNNNNNNNNNNNNNNNNNNNNNNNNNNNNNNNNNNNNNNNNNNNNNNNNNNNNNNNNNNNNNNNNNNNNNNNNNNNNNNNNNNNNNNNNNNNNNNNNNNNNNNNNNNNNNNNNNNNNNNNNNNNNNNNNNNNNNNNNNNNNNNNNNNNNNNNNNNNNNNNNNNNNNNNNNNNNNNNNNNNNNNNNNNNNNNNNNNNNNNNNNNNNNNNNNNNNNNNNNNNNNNNNNNNNNNNNNNNNNNNNNNNNNNNNNNNNNNNNNNNNNNNNNNNNNNNNNNNNNNNNNNNNNNNNNNNNNNNNNNNNNNNNNNNNNNNNNNNNNNNNNNNNNNNNNNNNNNNNNNNNNNNNNNNNNNNNNNNNNNNNNUAUUUACCACUCUUCUCUCUAAAACUUAAGAAUGAUAAAGAAUAUAUAAUAAUGUAUUUUAUAUAAUUUUAUAAAAUAUUUACUUUUAUUUUAUCUUUCUGAAAAAAUUCUAGUCUGGUUACGUUUAAUUAGGCUCAUGAAUAUACACUCAUUUAAUCAUUCUCAAGUCUAAAUUUUGGAUUCAACUAAUAUAUGAAUAAAACUGUUUUAGAAAAAAAAAAAAACAUAGGAAUACUUAUACUUUUAAUGCCUGAAUUUGUCAGAAAAUAACAAUCGAACGAUUAAAUUUUUAAAAUUAAUAAUUGAAUGUGACAAUUUGUAAAAAGAAUAACAAAUGGUGUUUUUAGCAAGUAACUUUCAGAUUUUUCUUGAAUUUUUGCGGAUAUAGAUGAGAGAGUAAAAAUUGUUGAACACGUAAAGAACUAAAGUGGUUACAUUAGUGUUUUUAGCAAGUGACAAUCUGGUUAAAUUUUAUCUUAUGUAACUUUCUUUUUUUAACAUCUAUUAAUCUUUAAUUUACUAGUCCUAAAUUUAUUUCUUACUUAUGAAUCUUAAUAUUUAUUGCGCCAUAAAACUCUAGUAAUUUGAUAAAAAUAUAUUUGUAUAUGAUAGAUACAUUUAUUAUUUUAUUCAUUUUACAACACAUCUUUACUACAUGUCUCUUAUUUUUUAUCUCAUUUAACAUUAAAAAAAUCAACAUCGUUAAAAAACACUAUUUUGUUAUUUUUCUUACAAGUUGCCAUACUUAAUUAUUAAUUUUAAAAAUUUAACCAGUAGAUUGUCAUUUUUUAGCAAAUUUAGACACCAAAAUAUAAUUAUCCAAAAAACANNNUGAAUUUUUUUUAAAGAUUUACUAAUUACUAAAUAACAAAAUUGAGUCAAUUGUAUUUCUUUAAUAAGCCAGUUCAAAGAACAAAAAGGUAAUUUCUUGAAUAAGUACAUAUCAUAAAUUAUUAUUUAUUUUGCCCUUUUCUUCAAAAUGAGAGCCUGAUAAGAAUAGGAGAGCCAUUACAAAACCAACUAAAGGAAAACUCCAUAACAUGAACAUAUAUAAACUAAAGGCCAAAGACAAGCUGGUUAGAAUCUUCAUCGGCAUGCAUUUUACGGCAGGAGCAGCAGCCGUCUUGCUCUAUCGCCGCCGCCCUGAUCCCCACAUUCACAGAUGGCACCGCCACCCUUUUAAUUAAUAUCAGAAUCUUCCACCAACGACUCGAACAACUGUUAAUAUAUCUGAUUCAAGUCACCUAGAAAAUAAGCAACACCAUUUUCAUAAUAAAUAAAUUACUCACUCAUAGGAAAAAGACCCUCUGAAAAAUAUAAUUAAAUUCAUAUCUAAAAUAGAUAAUAUGACUCUAAAACAGAUUCAUAUAAAGAGAAAAAGGGGAAGAAAGAGAGGCAUAGAUAGCUACCUUGAACUCUUUGAAUUUUAUACCUAAAGUGGUUGCAUAUAUGUGAUUUUUUAGGUAGGCAGUCCCAAAGAAGAGCCAUAUAUCCUUCUUUCUUUCUUUCUUUCUUUUCAAGGAUUAUUAAUAUUGUGGUCCAAAAUUUGCCAUUCUAAAAAAGUGAGGCAUAAAGUUGACAGGAUGCAAUUCAGUUAUCAAGGAAAACACUUAUUUUCUUACUAUACAUUCCCUUUAUAUUUUAAAAUUAAUUAAUAUAUAACACAUAAAUUAUGUAAUAUAUCCAGACAUAAAAUUGGCUUAUUCCAUUAUAUAUUAAAAACUAAUUAAGUUUGAUAUAUAAAGAGAGAUGUUACCAUAUUAAGAAAAUAUUUGUUCGUAAUUGUAUAUAUUUCUUUCGCUCAUGGUCGGACUAAUAGACAAUAUUAUAUAAUAGGGUAGUCAUUCCCUUAUAUUUGUUAUAACAACGAAAACUCAUUUAGUACAAAAAAAAAAUGACUCAAAUUCAACGUUAUAAACUCGUUUAUAUUGUCUUAUCUAACAAAUGUGAAAUAAUCUACACAUUCUUUAACACUCUUCUUCAAGUGCAAUUUGCACUUAACAAUAUUAUAUGAACCGGACUAGCUCAAAGACCAACAUAAAUUUAUAUUUAUGAACUAAUCAUAUAGUCCACAAAUUAAACGAGUUCAACAAUAAAUAUAUUCUCAAACUUUGAUAACAUGUAAAAGAUUUAUGGACCCAAAAAUAAAAAAUGAGAAGAAUGUAAUUUAAAUAAUCACUAUCAUAAUUUAAGUUAAAUUAAUAAAUUUAUUCUUUUAUAUUAUAAACUCCUUUAUAUUUUCUUAUUUUUAUGAUAUGUGAUAAUCCACGCACGCAUCCUUCAUCAUAAUUCAAUAGGGAAAUAUUUAUGGCCCAUAAUGUUUACCAACAAUUAAUAAAAUCCAAAUAUUUUUUGUUAUUAAAGUAAUUAUUCUUUCUUUUUUAAGUAGAUUUGUCUACAUCAUUUAUCAUAAUUAAUUAUCCACUAGUCGUUUAUUCGNNNNNNNNNNNNNNNNNNNNNNNNNNNNNNNNNNNNNNNNNNNNNNNNNNNNNNNNNNNNNNNNNNNNNNNNNNNNNNNNNNNNNNNNNNNNNNNNACCAUAUGAAACAAAAUACAUUUCAAAAGUAAAUACUAGGAUUACCCAUUAUAAUUUGAGUGCCACCCGACCAAUUUAGUAGCCAAUUGCAUUUGAAUCUUCACUUAAAUAUGAUAAAGUUGAAAUGUGUAUCUAUGUAUAUAAAACUUUAAGAAUUAACUGUUGACAAAAUCUUUUUUAUAGAAGAAUCUAGGCAGGAUAAUUACAUUAUUUAAAAUUUUGGGUUUUGAAUUUGGUGGAAAAUAAUUGAUUUUUAUACUAUAAAUCUAAGAAAUUUACUUUGUUUAGGGCUUCAGAUUUAGUUUGUUAAAAGAAAGGAAAAAAAAAGAAGAAGAUAUGGACUACUUUAUUUAGGAUUGGGUUUGUCAAAAUAAUAAAACCAGAAGAAGGAAAAGGAAAGGAGAAUUGAGGGAGAGAGAAGGGUAAAGAAAAGAUGAACAAGAAAACGAGGGGAGAGGGAGAGCGAGAGAGAGGAAAAAUAAAAGUACAUGUGCCUAAUUUUCUGAGCUUGCCACUUGCUUUCAUUGAUUGUGGAUUACACUCCCUUGUGUUUCACAAGAUUUGGAGCUAAUUGGCCAGAUUGGACAAAUUAUAGGAGUAAGAACACCAAAAGAUUAAUUUGAAUUAAUUUCUCAUCGACUCGGAUUUUAGGAGGCAAAUUGACCUUUAAGCAUUUAAAAAAAAACAUGGGAUAACAUUUGAACUUUAGUUUAAGUAGUAAUAAUAUUUAUUUUCCAGACACUUUAAAAAAAAAAAAAAGCAUAUAGGUGCCUAUUUUUUUUUUUAUAAAGAAGAAAUUCAAUCUGACAUUCAAACAAUUAGAUUCGUUAAAAAAUGCUUAUAAAGUUAAUAUAUAGCUUAGUAUCAUGGGGUAUUGAUGCUUUAGUACAUUAGUCUUUAUCUGAUAAUUCAUAGACUUUACAUAUCGGAAUCAUAGAUCAUUGUUUUUUUUUUUUUUCUGUUUGUUUCACCCUUCUAUUUAUCUGCAUAACUUUUAUUUUGACUUGGAGCUCCUAAUCAAAUCAUUGAGUAUUCUUUCUGUAAAAUUGCAAUUUACUAGUCCGUCAACAUAAUUAAUAAUUGUUAGGAGUAAAUUUCUUUAUAUGUUUUUCUUGAUGUUUGAUUCUUUUUUUAUAUUAAGAUGUACUAGUUAAUUCUCAUUAAUGGAAUAUCAAUAUUUCUUUUUAAGAAAUAAUAUUUAUUUUUAAAUGUAAGAUAUUUUAUAUUUUAUAUUUUCUUUUAUAUUUUCUUUUUUUCAUUGAGAGAAAAAGUGGAAGUUAUUUACUAUAUUUGAGUUCUAUUGUUAGAGUAAAUGUAAGAAAAUGAUUCUCCCAUUACAUAUAUGGUGCCUACAUUAUUGAAUCUUUAAUGAGAAAGAGAAAAAUGAAUAUACGAUUAAAUUCAACAAAAACAUUUAUUAUAAUUUAAGUCUGAUAUUUUCUAUAUUUAGUAUAACUCAAGUUUUAUCUUUAAAGAAUUCAAAUUUUAAAAUUAUUUUUUUGAUAUAUAUAUAUCUAGAGCUAAUUUAGAGUGCACCUGACUUGACUUUUACGGAUGAUAAAGUAUUAACUCAAGCAUUUUAAAACAACUGCAUACUUAAAAUUUGAACUUAGGACCUUAGUUAAUAACUAGUCGUUUACCCAUUCGUUACAUGGCUGUUAUUAUUAUUUUGAUUAUAAAAUCAAGUUGAUAGAUACAAUUUAAUAAAAAAUUUAAUUUUCAAUAUUAAUUUAUAUUAUUUUAAAAGAUUAUAGAAAAUUAACUAUUUUUAGAUGUUCUUUUUUAUUUUCUUAAAUUUCAAAAUUUUAUUAAUCAAAUAAUAUAAAAAUUAUUUUAAAAAUAUCUAUUAAUUAAUUUUAAUACUAUUUAAAUUAAUAUAAUUGAUAUUACUAUCUUUUAGGAUUAAGAAUUUAUCAUAUAAUUAAAAAUUAAUUUAUCAUUAAAUAUAAUAUUAAAAUAUAAUUUAAGAUGUAAUUUUUUAAAAUUAGAAUUGUUAUUUAAUUAGAAAACUAAUUUAUUAGUUAUAUAUAAUUAAUAUUUUAAUUUUUAAAAUAGAAUUAAUAUCAUUAUCUUAUUAGAUUUAUUAGUUAAUAUAAAAUUAAAAUAUAAUUAACAUGUUAUUUCUUAGAAUUAGAAUCAAUAUUUAAUUAGGAAUGUAACCUAUUAAUUGAUAAAUUAAUAAAAAUAUUAUAAAAUUAUACAUAAAUUUGAAUGUCAUGUAUUAAAAAUAAGAACAUAUGUUAAAACAAUCUAUGUUAAAAAUUAAGCAUUCAUGUUAAAAAAAUUUAGGUCAUUAUUUAGCAAUAAAUUAGUCGAAAAUUAUAAAAGUAUAAAUAAACUUAAUAUGUUAAAAAUAAAUAUUCAUAUUAAAAUAAAAAAUUUAUGUGUCAAAAAUUAAACACAUAUAUUAAAUAAAAUUUAAAUUUUAUAAAUUAAUAUAUAUAAAUAAUAUAAAUUAUUUUAAAUUAUCGCUAGAGUAUACUUAAAUUAAGAUAUUGGUUACUAAUACUAUUAAGAGCAUACAAGAUUAGCCAAGGUACACGUUCUCGUUGGCACUUCGCAUCACGUGGACAUAUCAACAUCUCAUAGGAAGUCAUGGAUCCUAUUUUUUGUUUUUCUAAUAUAGUAAUAUGGAGUAAUAUAAAAUGUGGUGGGAGGAUAAAAUAUUAUUUUAAAAGUUUUUUAAUAUAAAAUUUAAUAUUUUAUAAUUUUAUUUUAAAUAAUUUUUACCCUGUAUUUUUUUACUAAAAAAUUAGAAAAGAAAUAUUUUAUUGUCAAAAAAUUACAAUUUGUAAGGAUUUAUCGAUUCUCACUUUUAUGUUGUUCAUGUUUGGUAAGAUGGAUUUAGUACUUAACAACUCUUAAUUUUAUUGUUUAACCGUUAAAUCACUGAUUCAACGAGAUUAAUUUAACUAUUAAAUAAAUGUUAUGAAUUAUUAAGUUUUAAAAUUGUAUUUAGCAACACGAAAGACUUGAUAAAAAUAGUUGAUCGAUCGAACAUGAUUAAAUUCUUAUUAUAAAAUAAUACUAACUCAAUUUUUUACUAAAAUAUAGUUAAAAUAAAUAAAAUUUUAAUUGAUAAUCUCGCUUGACUAAAAACUAAUAUUAAUAUCAAAAUAUAUUUACUAAAAUUAAAAAAACUAAGAACUGCAUACUAACUUUUUUUAAAAAAAAAAACAAAAUUUAUUUAAUAAGUAAGGGUGAUGCAAAAUUAUCUUAUAACAUUUUUGUGGAGGUGAAUGUAUGACAAAGAAUGUGGAGUCACCAAUGCUCAACUAACUUUACUGUACGAAAUUGUGGAUAGAGUUUGAUUGGAUGUGGGUAACUUAUUGGUCCAAAUCGAUUUUCUGAACCAUCGAAUUGCUUCCGCUGGCGCUGGUCCAUUUGUAACGGAACCAAUAAAUUAUUAUCACAUUACUACCGUAAAACAAAUGUAUCACUUGAACUUUAAAUUACAUAUCAUAAUUAUUAAUGACUGUGUAUAUACAAGAAUGUUUUAUAUUUUAAAUUUAAAUAAUUAAUAAAUGUAACUAUUAUUAUUUAGAUUUUAAAUUUAAUAAAAAACGGUUGAAUAUUAUAAGAAAUCAAGAAUAUAAUAAUAUUCUACAAAGGUAUAUUCUUUAUUGACACGGUGCUUCUAGAAAGAUCCUGUCUUCGGAUUCCAAAUAUGAGCAGUUGAUUUCACAAGAAAAUCGGACUGCACUGCACUGCUAGGCCAAACAUGAUUUUAUGGACCAAAUAAACAGCGAGCUUUCUCUCAAAGAAAUAAUUUGAUAUUUCAUAAUCAUAUGUAAUAUUGUACGAAUUAAUUAAUUAAUUUUUUUAAUUAUGUAAUAAUUUAUAAUUUUAAAACAAUAGUACAAUAAUAAUAUUUUUUUUUAAUUUCUUUUGACAUAUAUAUUUAUUUAUGACGUGUAAAUUUCUUUUGUGAUAUAUGUAUUUAUUUUUUUAUUUAAGUAUUAUAUCGAUGUAUAAUUGUUAUGUUUAUUAUAUACUUAAUAUAUUAACUAAUAAAUUAUUUUUUAAUUAUAUGAGGACAAUAUUUUUUAUUAUAUUUGUUAUAUUAUUUUAACCAAUAAAUUAGUUUGCUAAUUGUAUAAUGAUUUUUAAUCCAAUAAAAUAACAUAUCAUGCUAUAUUUGUAAUAUUGAGUAUACAUAUAAUUAAUAGAUUUUAAAAUAAUUUAUAAUAUUAUUUAUAAUUAAGAUAAUAAUAAUGAUAUUCAUGCACUGCAUGAAUAAAUAAUAUUUUUUUAUUAUAGAUUGAUCCUACUAUAAUUAUAUUUAAGACUAAAAGAAUCAAACAUAAUUUUAACUAAUUUGAACUUGACUUGUUCAUUAUUGAGUCUCCCUUGAAUUGAGUUUGAAAAACUUACCCAUAACUUAGGAGUCUAAAUUAAUUUAAUCGAUUCUUUAUAGAUUUAUAAAUUUAUAUUACAAUUUAAACUGUUCAUCAAUUUACUUAAAAGAUAAAUUAUUUAUAAAAGAACUAAAAUAUAUUUAUCAAAAUUUUAUGUUUUAUUAUAACAAUUAAAAUUAAUAAAUAAAUUUAUAUCGGUAAUGAGUUAAAGCAUAAAAAUUAAUCAUUAAAUUAUUAAUAUUAUAUUAUAUGAAUUAGCUCACGAUCUUAUUGAUGAAUUAUUUCAAAAAUUUAAAGAAUAUGACUUUAUGUACUUUUAACUCGGCUCACUAUCAUAUGAGCUCAAGUGAGUUUUUAACAUAAUGGAUUUUAGGAAAAUUUUGAUUCAUUUUCUACCUAAUUAAGAUAUAAAUUUCACAAAAAAGGAAAAAUGUCAUAGGUUGUAUUACUCUUUUUUUUUUUUUAAAUUAUCCCAAUUAAUGAGCCAUUAAAUUUGCAGUCACAAUGAGAAAAUAUAAUUAAAUUGAAAUAAAAUUAAAAUUUAGCAUGACCUUCUAUCCAAUUUAACUGACUAUAAGCUGGCUUUAUAGGCUAUCUUCAGUAUAUGGCUACUCACCAAGCAUUACUGUGCUUAUCACUGCCUCAUUUUUCUUGUUCAAACCAUUGUUCCAUCCAGGCAACUCUUCUAUAAGUUCCCAUCCAAAGAGGCUAGGACACUAAAAAACAGAGGCUGAGACACUAAAUUCUCUGUUAUUAGAUUUGGAAAUUUGAAGGGUAAUAUGGGUGAAGCACCGUAUUCCUCUCAAGAAACCUUUCAUCAAUCACUCCUGAAUUUUUCUCACCCUUCUCACCCAAUCUCGAAUGCAAUUUACACUCCUCAACAUCCUUCCUACCCUUCCAUUCUCCAAGCCUAUAUUCGAAAUCUCCGAUUCAACACAUCGAAAACUCCUAAACCACUUCUCAUUCUUACUGCAUUGCAUGAAUCCCAUGUCCAAGCUGCUGUUCUUGCUGCCAAAAAGCAUGGUCUGCAGAUGAAAAUCCGGAGCGGAGGCCAUGACUAUGAGGGCACUUCUUAUGUUUCAGAUGUUCCAUUCUUUAUUCUUGACAUGUAUAAUCUUCGGUCCAUUGAUAUCGAUCUCGAAAAUGAGACUGCUUGGGUUCAGGCAGGUGCCACGCUUGGUGAACUCUUUUACGGAAUUGCUGAGCGAAGCAAGACACGUGGCUUCCCUGCUGGUGUCUGUCCGACAGUCGGUGUUGGAGGCCAUUUGGUUGGUGCUGGGUAUGGCAAUCUGAUGAGAAAGUACGGCCUGUCGGUUGAUAAUGUCAUCGAUGCAAAACUUGUUGAUGCUGAAGGAAGAAUUCUCGACAGAAAAUCUAUGGGAGAAAACCUAUUCUGGGCAAUUAAAGGUGGAGGAGCUAGCUUUGGAGUUGUUCUUGCAUACAAAAUCAACCUUGUUCGGGUUCCAGAAGUAGUUACUGUUUUCAGAGUUGAAAGAACAUUGGAACAAAAUGCAACUGAUAUUGUCUAUCAGUGGCAACAUGCUGCACCAGAAAUUGAUGAAGAUCUUUUUAUCAGGCUUGUCUUAGACGUACUAAAAAAUGAUCAAACCGGCCAAAAGACGGUAAGAGGUUCAUUUAUUGCCUUAUUUCUUGGAGAUUCUGAGAGACUUCUUUCAAUCAUGAAAGAAAGCUUCCCCGAAUUGGGUCUGCUGAAAUCUGACUGUAUAGAAAUGAGUUGGCUUGAAUCGGUCCUGUUCUGGACAAACUAUCCUAUCGGAACACCGACUGAUGUUUGUCUUAGUAGAGAGCCUCAAACACUGGUCUACCUGAAAAGAAAAUCAGAUUAUGUACAAGAACCAAUUUCCAAGCAAGGAUUGGAAGGAAUUUGGAAGAAAAUGAUGGAGCUAGAGGUGCCAAUGAUGGGAUUCAAUCCUUACGGUGGGAAAAUGAAAGAAAUUGCAGAAACAGAAACUCCAUUUCCACAUCGAGCUGGGAACUUAUGGAAGAUUCAGUAUCAAAUAAACUGGACACAGGAAGGGGAAGAAGCAGCAAAUCAUCACUUGGAUUUGGCCAGACAACUUUAUGAUUACAUGACUCCUUUUGUUUCCAAGAACCCAAGGGCAGCAUUCCUGAACUACAAGGAUCUCGAUUUGGGCAUCAACAAUCAUGAUAAAGAAAGCUACAAGGUAGGAAGUGCUUAUGGGAUCAAGUACUUCAAGAAUAAUUUCAACAGGUUGGUGCAAAUCAAAACCAAGUUUGAUCCUGAUAAUUUUUUCAGACACGAACAAAGUGUUCCGACUUUUCCUAGUUACUAACGUAAGCAGAAAUGGUAAUUUCAUUUUUUUUUUCUUUUACCCGCUUGGAGGACCUGUACCUUCAGAUAAUAAAUGUGGUUGUUCCAUUAUUGUAGGAAACUGUCAGUACAUGAUUGUCUGUGACAUGAAAUAGAAGCAACUUUUUCUCCUUUAAUGGACAACAAAAGACCACGGGCAAAAUAUAUGCUAUUGUCUUUAUUAUCAUCUACAAGGUUCUGUUGAAAAUUCAUUGCGAUUAUUAAUGCAAAUAUCAUAGUUUUUUUUUUUACUUUUUUUUCCUGUUUAAUAGAGAAAAAGGGACUAAUAUUUUCCAGAAUUAUGAAGUAUGCUUUAAUUUUCAUUUUUCAAUCUAAGAAAAUGAAUCACUUUUACAAAUGACGUAAAUCAAUGUCUUGUACUUGUAUGGGUAAAAUUUAUUUGUAGAUAUACAUUCAGCAUAAUAAAAAAGAGACCCAAAAAGAAUUGAAACUUUUACAUUUUUAAGCCCACCUACCUGACCUCUUAGUUCAACUGUUAUUUUUGAAUCGAUCUUUUUGAUAUGUGAUAUAAUGAAUGAAAAGGACUCUUCAACAACCAUAAAUGAGGUUUGAAAGGUUUUGAUUCAUUUGUCUAACAGAAAUUGCCUCCCAAACAUAUAGAUGCUGACAAAUGCUUGCCAUUCCCUGCAAAGUUGCAUUUAUGGGAAACACAGAAUACUGACAUUAUCAUUUCUCAUGGGUCAAGUAAAACCGAAUCGAAAUUCAAAAAUCAAAUUAAAUUGACUAGUUUGGUGCAGUUCGGUUCAGCUUAAAAUAGACAAUUUAAAUAAUAUUUUGGUUGGUUUCGCUUUUUAUUUAAAUUUUUUGAUUUAAUUGAACUAAUUGAAAUUUCUAUAAAUAUUUAAGAUAAUACAUUUAUUUAUUUAUAUAAAAAAUUAAUAUACUUAUGUAUAAAAAUAUAUUUAUUUAUAUAUAUACAAAUCCUUUUAUCACUCUUGAUAUUGAAUAAAUAUUAUAAUAUAUAUUGAAUUCCAAAAGAAAUAAAAAAAUUAAAAAUGCCAAACUAAUCAACCGAGCCGAAUUUUUUAGUUUGGUUCGGUUAUACUUAAUAUUUCAGUUCAGUUAAUAAAAAUUUAAAAAACUUUAGUUAGUCAAUUUUAGUCAAAAUCAAACCGACUAUCCUUACUUUCUCCUUUUUUUUCUUUCUAUAAAUAGAAAUUUGAUUUCAUAUGGGAGAAGCAACUAAACUUACUUGAGCAGCGGUGGGUAGGAUAGGUAGCUAGAUUUAUCACAGCCUUCUAAUUAUAAAGGCAUUAAUUGAAAUGUAUUAAAAAAAUUUAUUUUUUAAAAAAAAAUAGAAUAAUAAAGAUAAAAAAAUAUAUUAAUAUUAUAAAAUAUAUCGAUUUAUUAAUGUAGAAUUUAUUCGAAACUUUUACUUAUUUUGUUAAAAUUUUAUUUAGUUAUAAUUUAUUUCAUAUAAAUUUCAUUAUAUAGAAUUUAAAUUAAUUUUUAUUUUAUUCAAAAUAUAUAAAUUUUAAAUUUUUAAAUAAGUUUCAUAAAUUUUCAUAAAUUUCAACCAAACAUAAUAUAAAUAUAAAAGGAUAUUGAAUUCACAUGUUUUAUUACGUAAGAAUUAAUAUUUCAAUUUAUUUAUUAGUAUUAAAUAGCCCUUUUUUUAUCUGGUAGUCCUUAAUUAUUUUUUUUAUCUAUUAUUCCUUAUUUGUGUCAAUAUAUUAAUUUUAAAAUCAUCAGUGGAGAACAUCAAUCUAAAAAUAAAAGAACAGUGCAAUCUCAAAGUGGGAUCCUUAACCAAUAUCUCGUUGAUUAAGAAAAAAUAAAUUUAAAUUAAGAGGUAAUAGGCCAACUCAAAUAUUAAGCCGCGCCUCUAGUUACAGCUUAUUACAGAAAUUCUAUCAAAUCAGCUCACAAUUUAAAAAGAAAAAAGAAAAAAAAAAGGGUUUAACAGGAUAAUCUGUUAUUUGUUUGGGGUGAAAGACCUAAUAAAAUUAUAUAAAGAAAUUCAUAAAAAAAAAUUCAUUUUAUUUAAGAAAAAAAUAUAAAGAAAAUAAAAUAAAAUAAAUAAAGUUGAAAGAUAUAUUUUAGUGUUAUGAAAUAUAUUGACUUAAUAAUUUGGAAUUAAUUUAAAAAUUUUAUUUAUUUUGUUAGAAUUUAGUUUAGUUAUAACCAAUUCUAUAUAAAUUUAAUUACGUAUAAUAUUAAAUUAACUUUCACUUAAAAUAUAUAAAUUUUAUAAAUUUUAUUAAAGUUUAACCAAAUAUUAUAUAAGGAGAGCAAAAUGAGGCAUACGAAUUAUAUUUAAUACAGCCUGGACUUGGAACAGUCCAUUUUCUAACAGCUUGACCACUAGGCUGAGAGGCCCUUCUGACCAUGCAGGAUUUAAUAAGGUUGGCACGUCUGUUGAGGUUCCAAUAGGAUGUAGCUUGACCAAGAGUGCUCUUAGGAUCGAUUUCGACUGCAUUGAAAACAAAAUCAUUCCGAGCUUUUCAUACAGGCCAGCAAAUAUGCGCAAGCAGAGCCAAAGCUUCAACAUUGUCUCUUCCUUGAAAUAUCGAAGAUACCUCCUGCCGCCAAUCUUUGAAAGAGCAUAAAGGAAGAGCAUUAAACCUGAAACCAAAAGAAGAUAGAAACCAGGUUGCCCCGGAAUGAUUACAUCUAGUAAGCAUAUGCAUUAUGGAUUCGGGUUCUUGAUGACAAAUUGGGCACAAAUUAGAAAAGCCAUAUUUUUGACGAUACAAGGUUUUUGUCACUGGAAGAGCAUUUCUAGAACAUUUCCACAAGAAAGCUCUGAUCUUAGGGAGAACCUCCAACUUCCACAAAGAUUGCCAAUAGAUAGAAUCACCAUUAUUAUUGUAAAACCUCUGGACUGAUCCUUAAGCAGCUGCUUAUACCCUCUUCUUGCUGAAUAAAUGCCAUUUGGACUAUGGUGCCACACAACAGAAUCCUUCACCUCAGGACCUCCUGCUGGAAUGGCUUUAAUCUACUACUGGUCAACUUAACUGAAUAAACGGCCUAAAGAUUGAUGAUGCCAAGAAGCAUCCGACUGGUUAAUGAGGUAAAGCAACUAAAAGAGCUUCAUUAAGUGCAGAUCUUGGAGAAGACACUUUAAAGUCUUUAGCAGGGGGAACCCACUUAUCAUCCUAUAUACAAAUAUCUGCCAUUGCUCUACUUAUAUAUUAAAUUAAUAAAAAAAUGAUAAAUAAAUAUUUAUUUUAAUAAUUAAUUAUAUAUCAAUUAUUAAUAUUAAAAUAUAAAAUACUUAUAAUUAUUAAUUUAAAUAAUUAAUUAUAUACCAGUUAUAAUAUAUAUAUAUAUAUAUAUAUAUAUUUAUCCACUUAUUGUUAUGGGUCCAGCCUAUCUUACAAUAUUUUUAUUGCUUUUGGACACAUGUAUUAUGGGCUUUUAUGACGGACUUGUUAUGUUUUAUUUUUGGGUCCAUUUUGGCAUGGGUUUUGUGGCUUCCGAGAGAAUUUUGUAGAGGCUAUUGUGUAGACACUUAGUGUCAGCAACAAUUUUCAGAUUGAAAACAUACACAAAAGAGAGAGAAAACUAGAGAAUUCCAAAGGGUGUUGUCCUGCUCGUUUUUCUCAACACCAGUCCUAGUAUUUUGGUCGUCGGAGAAGAUCCCACCGUUAGAUUUUGCUGAAAUUUUGUCAGCUUGUUGAGGACACACGGGGCUAUAUUCUGACCGUUCGGAUAGUCAAUUGGAGCUCUGGUUCAUCAGGAAUUGUCUCUGGACAGAGCUGCUGUUUUUUGGUGAAUUUUACAUUUUUUGUUCUCUAUUUCAAUUCUCUUAUUGUUGGUGUUUGUUGGUGGGUUGUGAAUCCUUUGUAGACUGAUUUGGGGUUCUUUCUCCUUCAAUUUAUAAAUAAGAGAAGUUAAGGGUGGACUUCUCAAAAGAUCCUGUGGUUUUUACUCAUCACAUCGAAGAGGUUUUUCACGUAUAAAUCGUGUGUGUUGUUUGCUAUUAUUUUCUUUUGUUAUAGCUGGUUAUUUACUGCAUUUAGUUGCUGGUUUCCUUUGUUAAUUUGGUUGUGUGAUAAUUUCGGUUGAUUGGAUUGCAUAAUUGGUUGGUUGUCUUGAUUACGUGACAUUGUGGGCGUCGUUGUGACUCCUUCCGAUCCCUGCACUUAUUGUGUUGUAAAUAAAUGAUCUAUUACAUGGCUUUAUGUGUACUUCUAUAUUUACAUAAAUUAUUCACAAUAAAGUUCAAAUAGACGGUCAAAUAAGUCCCUCGCCUUUUUCCAAUAUAUUCAAUCAUUCCCUUAUAGUUCAUUCUAGCAUAAUUAGGUCCUUAACAUUUUAAGUUAAUGACUAGACCCAAAAUGUAGCUCCUUUUACCACCGUAUGACCAUGAAAUUUGUAUUAAAGUACUCUCAAAUAAAAGUGACUCAACGUUCCAAUUACUUUUGGACAAUUCUAUCACUUGACCAUUUAUACUUGUUAAUUAGUUAAUAGUCAUUCAGAUAUUGAAUAUAUAUAAUUAAAUCGAUCUAAUUAUAUUACUCUGAUAUUCAGAACUUUGAGAUUAAAUAUAUUUAAGGUCUAAUAAUUAAUUAUACAAAAAAAGAAGAUAUAAAAGUGAUCAUCAUAUCGAUAACCGAUGAUGAGUGAAAUAUCUCUAAUUCUAUCUUUUCCAAUUUUUGGGUAGUGAGAGACAAACUGAAUGCAGUCCCUAUCCCUACUAAAAUACUUUCAAUGGUGUUGCUCAGUGUUUGCAAAAUGCUUGUUCAUCAUAAACCUCUUUCUCUAUUACAUGCAUUUCCAAGAAUAUUUGGGAACACAAUAUAUAGCAUUAAACAUGUUUUAUAUUUGAUGAUAACUGUUUUCAGUAACUUAAUUAUGGAAAUACUAACAUAUAAGAUCAUAUAGUAUAUAUUUUAUUUAUUAAUAUAAAUAAAAGGUGGAAUGCUUUGUUCAUGCUUGAAGAAAUUAUCAGGAUCAACCCUAGCCUUCACCUUUGUCAGCCUUAAGAAGUUGUCCUUGAAAUACUUGGACCCAUAAACUUCAGCUACCUGAAAGUUUGUCGAAUUGCUUGGGUUGCUACCAAUGUCCAGAUCUCUGUAGUUCAGGAAUGCUUCCCUUGGAUCCUUACUGACAUAUGGAGUCAUCGAUUCGUGCAUUUCUCGUAACAUAUUUACUUGCUUUUCUAUAAUCCCUUCAUCUUGCCACACUAAAGUAUACUGAAUCAAGAAUCGGUAUCCUGCUCUAUGAGGGAAUGGCGUGUCGGUCUCUGGAAUCUCACUCAUUCUUCCUCCAUAAGGGUUCCAUUGCAUCCACAUUUUCCCUACUUUAAGCAUCAUCUUCCAUAUCUCUUCUAUUCCUGAUUUUGGAAUAAUAUCUUUCGCAUAAUCAGACUUAAGUUUGCUGAAGACAAUGGGCAUUGGAGGCCUAUCCAGCAACACCUCAGUGGAUGUUCCAUUAGGGAACUCGGCCCAGAAAAGUAUUGACUCUAUCCAACUCAUUUCGUGACAAUCUUGUCGCUGUAAACCCAAUUCAGGAAAGCUCCUGUUGAUCAACGGAAGAAGCCUAUCAGUUUGUCCAAGAAACUGUCCAAUGAAAAAAACUUCAAUGCUACCGUUAUCGGCUUUUGGCAUUGCUCGUAUGAAAAGAUCAGUAUCUAGAUUAGGAGCAAUUUCUUGCCACCGAUAGAGGAUAUCAGUUGCGCCUUGAUCCAAUGUUUUUCCUACCCUGAACACAGUAACUGUGCUAGGAAUUUGAACCAAGUUGAUCUUCCAUGCAAGAAUAACUCCAAAGCUUGCACCAUCACCACCUCUUAUUGCCCAAAACAGAUCUUCCCCCAUUGAUGCUCUAUCUAGGAUUUUACCAUUGACAUCAACUAUUUUUGCAUCAGCGAUAUUAUCAACCGACAGUCCAAAUUUUCUCAUCAAGUUUCCAUAUCCUCCUCCACUGAAGUGACCUCCAGCGCCAAGAGUAGUGCAAACCCCGGCAGGAAAAGCAAGUGUGCUGCUCUGAUUGGCAAUCUGAUAGUAAAGUUCACCAGUUGUCGCCCCUGCUUCAACCCAAGCAGAGCCUAUAUUUGCUUGAAUACUGAUAGCUCGAAGAUUGAACAUAUCAAGAACGAUGUAUGGCACUUUAGAUGUAUAAGAAAUAGCCUCAUAAUCAUGUCCACCACUUCGAAUCCUGAUUUGCAUGCCAUUAGACUUGGCGCAAAUAACAGUUGCUUGGACAUGAGAUUCAUGUUUUGCAGCAACAAUAGCGAGGGGUCUUGGGGUAGUAGGGGUCAGAAACCGAAGGUUUUUUAUGUAGGCUUGUAACGUGGAGUUGAAUAAGGAAUUAGUAGGCAAAAAAAUGGCUUCAGAAAUUGGGUAAGAGGAACUAACGUGAUUAGGUAAGCAUUGAAGAAAGUUUUCCAGGGCUGACUCGGAACUUGCCAAAGAAACUGAACACAAUAGUAUAAAAAAUCCUGAGAGUGGUAUAGUGCUUGAAGCUUUCUUCUUUUUGCAAGGUAAUGCUUUCUGUUAAUCUUUUUCCAUGUAUUUAUCGACAACUGAGCAACUCAGACUUUAUUAUGGUAAGAUUUAAUUGCCAUAACUUGCAAUUUAAAUAUUAAGUUAUUUGCAACAUUUAUUUGUAGUAACAGAUAAUGAAUUACGGCCAACAUCCAAUGCAUUUAAGAUUAUUCCACCUAUCUUGGAUUGUGGUUUUUCAAAUUAGUUGUUAGUUUAAUAUUAAAUAUCUACAAUAUCUUUUAUUAGUUAACAUAAAUAUCGACACUUAUAAUUAAUUUUGAAAUAUUUAUUAAUUUAGUAUUUUAAUUUUUUAAUUUAAAUUUUUAAAUUAUUUUGUUAUUCAAUCAAGAGUCUGAACCUACUAAUUUAUAUAAAUUAUAAUAUUUAUUAUAUAUUUUACAGGUUAAAAUAAUAAUUUAACUCAUUUUACACAUAAAAUAAUCUAAAUAACUUUACGCAUUGUUUACUCUUUUUUUUUUCUUCUUUCCUUUUUCUUUUAUAUAUUCUUUUUUUUAUUAAAUCUUCUUUUAGCACUAAAAAGCAAAAUAUUUUAUUAUAUUUUUUAUUUUUAAUCAAUUAUUUAUUUUUAAAGAAAACUACUUGCCAUUUCUUUAUUUCUAAAAAUUAUUUUCUUUUAAAAAAACUUAAUACUUUUCUUUUUCUCUCCUCUUAAUGUUUUGAGAUUUUUAUUUUCAUGAGAUGAAUACAUGAAAAUAGCAUUUACUUAUUUUAUUUUUUUCUUUACUUUCUUCAUAAACAAAUAAAAAUUUGAAAAAUAUAAUGACGAAAAUGGAUAAAGAAAAGAAGAAAAAAUAUGUAAUUAUUUUAAAGGAGAGUAGCUAACUCAAUUUACUAUUCGGAAUAAGUAUUUUAACCUAUAAAACCGGUUAGAGACACUAUACUUGAUAUUUUUAGCAUGUUCAAAUAAUUAAUUGAAUAAAAAAAUAAUUUAAACACUAAAAUAGAAAAUUCGAAAAACUUAAAAUAUCCCUUAUUCUAUACUAACUUUCUCUUUUUAAAUUAAAAAAUUUUCAAUUAUUUUCACUUUUAUAAAUGCAAUGCAACAUUAAUUUUUUUUUUCUAUUUUAUUCUUGUGUUGGAAUAUGUAUAAUAAAUUUUAUAAUAUUUAUAGAAAGAUAAUUUAGUCUAAUUUAGAUUUUUUUAUAAUUAAGUCUACUAAAUAUUUUCUUAAUUCAGGUGAAUUGCCAAAAAAACACGGUUAAUAUAGAAAGGAAAGAAUAACUUUUUAUUUAUUUUUAUUUAUUUGACUUUGAAAUUGUAAAUUACUGAUUGUCUUUUAAAUUUCAAUAUAAAAUUCUUAUUCUUAAUUUAUAUCUCAAAAAUCUUAGAUAAAUUGAAAAAUUAAUCAAUAUUUGAAUUACGGUACAUUAUCUUAUAAAAUUCAUUAAGAAUGUUUUAGUAAAAAAAUAUUUAAAUUUUUUAAUAUUUGUAAAAAUUAAAAUGGCUAUCAGUUUAGUAUCUUAUGAUUUAGGUUUGAAGUUUAGAUGAGGACCCUUGAUUUUAGUAAAGGGUAUCUUUUUCUUAUAUAAAGAUUUUCUAGUUUAUGAUGUGAAUGGUCCAGAAAGUAAACAAAAUUGGCUGUGAUAGCAUCUGACAAUGAAAACAAAAUAUAAUUUUAAUCAUAACUACCAGAUGACNNNNNNNNNNNNNNNNNNNNNNNNNNNNNNNNNNNNNNNNNNNNNNNNNNNNNNNNNNNNNNNNNNNNNNNNNNNNNNNNNNNNNNNNNNNNNNNNNNNNNNNNNNNNNNNNNNNNNNNNNNNNNNNNNNNNNNNNNNNNNNNNNNNNNNNNNNNNNNNNNNNNNNNNNNNNNNNNNNNNNNNNNNNNNNNNNNNNNNNNNNNNNNNNNNNNNNNNNNNNNNNNNNNNNNNNNNNNNNNAUUUAUCAUUUGGUAGAGUAAUUUGUUCCAAUAAUCAAUAUAAAAUUCCAAAUCCUGAUCAAAUUCAUAGACUGCAAAAGUAUAUGAUGGUUCAAGGCUGUAGUCUUUUGUCUCUUUAGGUUCACUACUCCUGCUGAGAGUGUUCUUCAGAUUCUCCAUGUCGAAAGUACAUGAGUGGUCUAAUCUUGGGAAAAUGUACUACUGUAGGUUUUUUUUUUUUUUUUUUUUUUACCAAAAUAAAAUAAAAAUAAAGAUAAUGAGGGUUAGAGUUAAUGAUUUAAAUUAAUUCUAAAAAUUUCAGCUUAAAUUCUUUCAGACAUUCAAAUCAUAACGUUUUACCCUGUAAUAACAUAAAUCUUAAUUACACUUGAUAGCUUAACUAACAUUUGUAUCUGCAAAUUCUAUAUGCAAUCCAUUGUCAUCAUGCAUAAUAUUUUUUCUUUUGUUUUGUGUUUUUGUGAUAAGUGUGUUCAGAACAUAACAUUGUAUUGUUCUUCUUUUAGAAUAUCAGAAUCUAACUAUUUUUCUCUCUUUUUAAUUUUAAACGCCUAUUCUCAUAUUGGUCCAUCCAUUUUGUCUAUAAAACUUUUAUUCUCUUUUAGACCUUGUCACAAUCAGUCAUGUCUAGAGUAGGCAUUAAAAGUUAAAAAUUUGCUCGAACACAACUUUAUCCCUUAUAAAUUCGGAGGAGAACUCUCGUCAUUCUUUUUAAAUCAAUUAUGGAAUUUCUCCCACAUGUAUGGAUGGGGGUUUCGCUCGUGCAUCGAAGUCGCCAUUUGAGUAAUCAUCGAGACACUUUUACUCAGAUUCUAUAAGGAAGUUUAAGCCACAGAGUUCAAAUAUGUAUUCGGAAGCUAACUUCCUUAUUUGUAUAUAUUAGUCUUUAAAUUUAUUGUUUAACAAAAUAUUUCCUAUAAAUGCAAGCAUUUUAUACACAGGUAUACUAAAAUAUCACACGAUACAUCUAAGUCUAGUCUAUUUUAUUCAAGCACAAUCCUUAUUUAAAAUUAUUAAUCAAAUUUACUAACCAAUUAUGCAUGAGGCCCACUUAUUCUAACCCAAAUAUGUGUUAUGCUCUUUGGAUUCCAGCCCUUAAGCUUAUUGGACUACUUAUUAUGAAAAUAUCAUCCAUUAUGAUUUUAGCCCUAACUAAACAUGUCAAAGCCCACGAAUCUAAUUGGAUUUUAAAUCUUAGGCCUAGUUAAAGUGGAUUAACCUAUUAGACUAUCAGAUUCGUAGUGGAUCAGUUUUCAGCCUCAAGUCUAAGUGGCCAAUUUUAUUCAAUCAAUCAUAUAAUCAUGUAUUGAGUUAACACACAAUAAUUAACAAAAUAAUAAUAAACGAAAUAAAGCAGAAAAUGAAACCCUAGCUAUUACAACCCGCCUACAACUAUGAUUACAAAACCAAAAAGUCCUAAAACUAAACAAGGGCCAAGAAUAAAUUAAAACUGCCAAAAAGGCAAAAAAUAUAGGGGCCAGCAUGGUUAGCUGAUCGGUUGUGCAUGAAGAGCCGAUCAGCUGAGUAUAGAGCCAAUUAGCUCUAUAGUCAGCCGAUCGGCUUUGGAGUCCAGGCGGGCACUUUAGACAGUUUUCUUCGAUUCUCCCUCGUUUGCCAAUCCAAUCCAACACUCUAGAGGCGAUUUUCAGAUGCAUAGAUGUUUAAACAAAAUUAGAAUAAGAUUAAAUAGCUAAAAAUUUAACAAAAUAAAAGCACAUGAGCUAAAAAACCUAGAUUGCCAAAGAAAACACUAAAAUUCUAUAAACUGACAGUAAGUUAUUAAAACGAAUAAUCAUGUUUUAAUUUAGACUUAAUUACCAAAUUAUAUUGACAAAAACUAAAUAAUAAUCAUAUGAUCAUGUUUUUAAGUAAAUCUAAAAUCUUAAUCGGCAAAAUAUCAUAUCUAAGAAAAAGCCCUAGUUUUUAUUAUCGGAUUUGAAACCCAAUUAAUAUGCAUAUUCAAAAAUCCUAAUCUAAUCAUACUAAUCAAAGAUAAAAAUCCUAAUCAUAUCUCUAAGAGAAAAGAAUAUUAGAAUAAAUAAAAAGACAAAAAAAGAACAAAAGAACCAGUUUUAAUAAUUGAUGCAGAUGUAUAAUGGUAGAAACCCUCAAGUCGUCACCAUGUAUGUUGGAUCUGUAUGUCUCGGGCGAUGAUGAAGCAGUUGAAUCAAAAAGUGAGUGGGAAUCUAGAGCUAGAUCUGAUUUGGAAAAAUCUUUUGUCGUUUAGAAAAAAGGUUUCCAAAAUUCUUCUUUCUUUAGUGACCAAUUUCCUAAAAUCCUUCUUUCUUUAGUGGCUUGAAUCUUUAAAUUCUGAUUAUGAUCGACAGUGCAAUUCCUUAUUUUUUCUUUUAAUUUUCUCUCUUUUCCUUCUUUCUGAGUGUUUCUUUUCUCUUAAUCUCACUUACGGUCGAAUUUCAAUUCUUGCCUCCUUCUUGAAACCCUAAACGCCUCUUUCUAUUUAUAGAGGUAGGGUUUCAAAGGAAAUCCUAGAGAAAGGGAUAAAUCUUAAAAAAUACCAACAAAUAUCCCAUUUAUAUAUUUAAAAUUUGAGUAAUUAUCGAUAAAAUAGUGAUUAUCAUCAAAAAUACCUUCUAGAAUCUGUAUCUGGACUUGAACCAUCCCAAAAAACGACAUCGGAGUGUUAAAAUCUCAAUCGGCACUAUAUAGAGCCGAUUAGCUUUAUAUACAGCUGAUUCAACUAUACAUACAGCCGAUCGGCUCUACCUACAGCUAAUUGGCUCUACAUAGCAAAAGUUUAUUGAAAAUUUACAAUUAGGUCUCUAAAUUUAUAAAAACUGUCGUUUUGACCUUCAACUUAAUUUUUUCUAAUAAUUAGAUCCAAAUUGAUUUUAAAAAUAUAAUUUCAGUUGGAUUAACCUUGACUCUAGCCUCGGAUUCGCCUGUUCUUCAUCUCCCGAGACUCGAGAAAGCAGUAACCCUCAUCAUAGGAUUUUCUGUUUUUUUUUUCCUUCGAUAUCUAGAUCCGGAAAAAGGAUGCUGACAACAUCAUAAGUCUUAUUUUCUACAAUGAAGGAGAUACAUUGUAAACAAUAUACUCUACUUCGACUACUAUAAAUAUAGGUAAAGAGCACCGAGAAAAAAGUAAUGUCAUUACACAGCUUUUUAAAUGCUUUGUCUUUAGUCUUCUCAAAAUACUAACUUAACUAUUAGAGUGGUUCCCUAGGCACAAUGUUUGGUACCAUAAUUUGUUGUUUUAUAUGAAUACAUCAAGAAUAGUUCACCUUGUAGGUCGAAAUACAAGUUGAGAAUAUUUUAGUUUGCAUCCGAAAUUGUUAAGAAAACAUCUAAUUCUUAUGAAACCAAAAACAAUUAUAUUUGUUGUGAAAGGAGCAGAGAAAAAUAGGAAGUUCACUAACUAUAAUAGUAAGUCUACAACCCACGUAGAGGAGCAGUCAAGAAGAAAAGAGAAGCUCCAAAUUGUUUAUAAUCCAAAUUCCAUAUUAACAUAUUAACAUAUAUCUCUAACUUAUACAAGUAAUAUAUAUUGGUCAUUAUUCAUAAUUAUUAGACUUUUUAUGAUUAAUAUCAACUAUAUAAAACUUAUUAAUUAAUUCUAUAAUAUUAAUAUGAUAAAAAAACUAAUAAAAAUGAUUAAUUCAUGAAAUAUAAUGUUUAAUUAUCUAAUAAGAAAUAUGAGAUAUAUAAAAUGUUGUGAUCAAAAUGAUAAAAAGACAUAAUAAAAAAGAACAAAAUAAAUCAAAAUUAAAAGAUUUACUAUUAAUAACAUACAUUGGAAGAGUGAAAUAAUAAGAAUAUUAGUAAGAUACAAAAAUCACUUAUUUUAUUUAUCUCAAAUAUUUCAAAAAUAAAAUAGGUGUUUUCAAGAUUAAAAUAUUUCAAUAAAUAUUUAUUGGCCACAAUUACUGAUUGUGAUUAAAAUUGUUUUUUCUUUUCAGUUUUCAGAUGCUAUCGCAGUCAAUCUUAUGUUCUGUACUAUUUACAUCGUAAACUAGAAAACUUUUAUAUAAGAAAAUACCCUUUAAAGUGAUACGCCAUAAACUUCAAACCUAUAUCAUAAAAUAUUAAAGUGAUUGGUAGUUUCUAAUUUGCACAAAAAAUUUAAAAAAUUAUUAUUUUUUCAUUAUUUUUAACUACUUUUUUAUUAAAAUAUUCUUAAUAAACUUUUUAAUACAAUGCACGGUAAUUCAAAUAUUGAUCAACUUGUCAACAUAUCUAAAGAUUUUGAGAUUUAAAUAAAAAAGAAUUAUUGAACUUCAAAAGUUUUGUUUAAUANNNUUCUCUAAAAAACGUAAAAAUAAAAUAUAUUUUUUCGUCUCAAAAAUUUAAGAAGAGAGAGAUAUUAAAUUAUUUUAAAAGAUAUUAAUUUUUAGAAUAAAUAACUCAAUAAUAGAUUUCUUUAUAAAAAUGAAUAAAAAUUGAUAAAAUAUUUUUACUUUUUAGUGUUAAAAGAAGAUUAAUAAAAUAUAGAAACAAGAUUUUUUUUUUUAAAAAAAAAGAGGAAAGAAGAAAUAGAAAAAUUGUAAAGUAUGAGUAAGGAUUUGUUUUUUUGUCAAAAUAAGUCAUGUGUAAAAUUAGUUAGUUAUUACUUUAAUUUAUAAAACUUAUAAGAGACACUAUAACAGACAUAAAUUAGUAGGUUUGGAUACUUGAUUGAAUAAAAAGAUAAUUAAAAAACUGAAAUAGAAAAAUAGAAAAAUUAAAAUAAAUUUAUAAUUAUUCUAAAAUUAAUUAUAGAUGUUGAUAUUUAUAUUAAUUAAUGAAGAAUAUUGUAGAUAUUUAAUAUUAAAUUAACAACUAAAAUCGGAAACGAUCUAUAUUUUUUAGACUUACUAAAAAAGAAAAAUAUUCUACCAAAAUUGGAGGGAGGGAGUAUAUAGUAACAAAUCCAAGAAACGUAUCAAGCAUGGAACAACUUUAAAUGUAUUGGAUGUUGGCCGUAAUUCAUAAUCUGUAACUACAAAUAAAUGUUGCAAAUAACUUAAUAUUUAAAUUGCAAGUUAUGGCAAUUAAAUCUUACCAUAAUAAAGUCUGAGUUGCUCAGUUGUCGAUAAAUACAUGGAAAAAGAUUAACAGAAAGCAUUACCUUGCAAAAUGAAGAAAGCUUCAAGCACUAUACCACUCUCAGGAUUUUUUAUACUAUUGUGUUCAGUUUCUUUGGCAAGUUCCGAGUCAGCCCUGGAAAACUUUCUUCAAUGCUUACCUAAUCACGUUAGUUCCUCUUACCCAAUUUCUGAAGCCAUUUUUUUGCCUACUAAUUCCUUAUUCAACUCCACGUUACAAGCCUACAUAAAAAACCUUCGGUUUCUGACCCCUACUACCCCAAGACCCCUCGCUAUUGUUGCUGCAAAACAUGAAUCUCAUGUCCAAGCAACUGUUAUUUGCGCCAAGUCUAAUGGCAUGCAAAUCAGGAUUCGAAGUGGUGGACAUGAUUAUGAGGCUAUUUCUUAUACAUCUAAAGUGCCAUACAUCGUUCUUGAUAUGUUCAAUCUUCGAGCUAUCAGUAUUCAAGCAAAUAUAGGCUCUGCUUGGGUUGAAGCAGGGGCGACAACUGGUGAACUUUACUAUCAGAUUGCCAAUCAGAGCAGCACACUUGCUUUUCCUGCCGGGGUUUGCACUACUCUUGGCGCUGGAGGUCACUUCAGUGGAGGAGGAUAUGGAAACUUGAUGAGAAAAUUUGGACUGUCGGUUGAUAAUAUCGCUGAUGCAAAAAUAGUUGAUGUCAAUGGUAAAAUCCUAGAUAGAGCAUCAAUGGGGGAAGAUCUGUUUUGGGCAAUAAGAGGUGGUGAUGGUGCAAGCUUUGGAGUUAUUCUUGCAUGGAAGAUCAACUUGGUUCAAAUUCCUAGCACAGUUACUGUGUUCAGGGUAGGAAAAACAUUGGAUCAAGGCGCAACUGAUAUCCUCUAUCGGUGGCAAGAAAUUGCUCCUAAUCUAGAUACUGAUCUUUUCAUACGAGCAAUGCCAAAAGCCGAUAACGGUAGCAUUGAAGUUUUUUUCAUUGGACAGUUUCUUGGACAAACUGAUAGGCUUCUUCCGUUGAUCAACAGGAGCUUUCCUGAAUUGGGUUUACAGCGACAAGAUUGUCACGAAAUGAGUUGGAUAGAGUCAAUACUUUUCUGGGUCGAGUUCCCUAAUGGAACAUCCACUGAAGUGUUGCUAGAUAGGCCUCCAAAGCCCAUUGUCUUCAGCAAACUUAAGUCUGAUUAUGCGAAAGAUGUUAUUCCAAAAUCAGGAAUAGAAGAGAUAUGGAAGAUGAUGCUUAAAGUAGGGAAAAUGUGGAUGCAAUGGAACCCUUAUGGAGGAAGAAUGAGUGAGAUUCCAGAGACCGACACGCCAUUCCCUCAUAGAGCAGGAUACCGAUUCUUGAUUCAGUAUACUUUAGUGUGGCAAGAUGAAGGGAUUAUAGAAAAGCAAGUAAAUAUGUUAAGAGAAAUGCACCAAUCGAUGACUCCAUAUGUCAGUAAGGAUCCAAGGGAAGCAUUCCUGAACUAUAGAGAUCUCGACAUUGGUAGCAACCCAAGCAAUUCGACAAACUUUCAGGUAGCUGAAGUUUAUGGGUCCAAGUAUUUCAAGGACAACUUCUUAAGGCUGACAAAGGUGAAGGCUAGGGUUGAUCCUGAUAAUUUCUUCAAGCAUGAACAAAGCAUUCCACCUUUUGUUUAUAUUAAUAAAUAAGAUAUGCUAUAUGAUGUUAUAUGUUAAUAUUUCCCAUAAUUAAGUUAUUGAAAUGGGAUGUAACGUUUCUGCUAGAUAUUUCAUAAGAUGACCUCACAUAUAAAACAUGUUUAAUGGAAUCGAUUUCUUAAAUAUUCUUCUUGGAAAUGCAUGUCAUAGAAAGAAGUUUAUAAAUAUCUCUUUUAAUUUAUUUAAAAUCUUAAAGUUGAUUUUCAAAAAUAACGUUAAGUUUUUUGAAAUAAUAUUUUACUACUUGUAAAGAUAUACUAUCCAAUACAGUUCAAAUUAGUUAAAUAAAUUCAUUACUUAAAUAAAUUAUAUAUGUACAGGCUUAUGAUGAACAAGCAAUUUUCAAAGACAUGAGCUACAACAAUGAAAGUAUUUUAGUAGGGUUUAGGGCCUGCAUUCAGUGUGUCUCUCACUAUCCAAAAUUGGAAAACAUAGAAUUAGAGAUAUUCCAGGCAUCAAUACAUAUGUGGAUCACUUGUAUUGACGCUUAUUUAAAUGCGUUUCUGAUCUUUGUAACUUGCAGAUAUUUUUUUACAACUGUUAUUAAUUUUUUAUUUUUAGUGAUACUUUUUAAUAAUGUUGUUAAAUUAUUAUUAUAAUACACUCGUUUUGUUUUGUGAAACUAACAGUGAACAUAAAAUUAUAUAACAAAUUAUUUAUAUAAUUCAUAACUAAUAAAUAGAUGAUAUGUAUAUAUAAAUAUUUUUUUAAAAUAUUAAAGAGAAGAGGAAUCUAAAUAUAUAUAUAUAUAAGUGUUUUAUAAUAAUUAAUAUAAUUAUUUAUCUAAAAUUAAUAAUUAUAUGUUAUUUAUUUAUUAAUUUAAUAUAUCAAUAGGAAUUUAUAUCGAAUAGAAAAUAUAUAUUUUUGUGUCAUAUGAUAUGAAAGUGUAGAAAGAUGGCUGAAAUUGCAGUGCAAGAGAGCGGCGCUUAAUUCUUCACUUCAACUGCAUUUCAUCGCCACCUUUAUUUUCUUUUGAUAUGAUCUCUUUAAUAUAUUCUUUUUAACUAACUUUAGAGAGAUUAAAUAAUUAUUAUUAUUAUUAUUAUUAUUAUUAAGAAAUAAUAUGUUCUUUUUCCUGAUUAAUAUUUUUUUGUACCAUAAUGUCAGAUAAAAAAUUUUAAAACAAAUUUACUAAACAGUUUUGACAAAUUAGGAAAAUAGAGAAAAAAAAAGACCACAUCAGAGAAGUUAGAAAACCACCAAUAAUAAACCUUUCGACCUUUUUGUUGAAUUAUUAAGAGGUCUUACUACUAAAGUUUGUGAUAUUAUACUUCUUUUUUUUUUUUAAAUAUGGAUAUUUCAUUAAUGAAAAUUGAUAAGUACAUAUUAAAAUAAAUAAAUAAAUAAAUAUAAAUACCAAAUAUCAAGAAACACAUAUAAAGAAAUUUACUUCAAAGAAUUAUCAAUUGUGUUAAUAGAGUAGUAGAUUGCAAUUUCACCGGAAGUACGCUGCACUCGGUGGUAUUAAGCCACAUAUUGACUUUAUAGAUAACAUUUACGAAUUCAAUUAUAUAAAUGUCAGAUUUAAUCUUUUUUUUUUUUUCGCCAUUUCUAUAAAUAGAGAAUUCAAUACUUUUGUAUGGAAAACCAUAAAAAUCCUUAUAAAACGAGAACUCAAAACUCUCAUAACGGAGAACCAUAAAACUCUUUAAGAAAAAUACAAAUAGUUAUUUAUAAACUAAUUAAUAACAAAAAGAAUUUGGACUACCGCCCAUCUAAAGUUGAUGAUGGGUAGAGGGCCAAAAGAUGAAAAUUUUAUAAAUAAAAUAAAAAAAUAAGAGAGAAAGAGAAAAGAUAGUUAGGAUUUUUNNNNNNNNNNNNNNNNNNNNNNNNNNNNNNNNNNNNNNNNNNNNNNNNNNNNNNNNNNNNNNNNNNNNNNNNNNNNNNNNNNNNNNNNNNNNNNNNNNNNNNNNAAAUUAAAAAAAAAAAAAAAAGACAAACUAUUAUAUGAUCUGGUGGAAAAAAGUUUAUAUAAUUAGAUUUUCAAAUUUAGAAAAUUCUACUUCUACAAACUUAGCUUUAUACUCUAAAAAGAAUUUAUGUUGGAGUAUUUUUCUUUUUAUUUAUAAUUAAAAAUAAAAAGUAAUAAUCUUCUAUGGAUCCAUAACCAUAUAAUCUCUCUUUUUCUAUUUUUUUGCAGGAUAGUCUCAUCGCUGGAAUAUGAUAUUAAUAAAUUACCUCAAUUUAGGAAAGAAAAUUUGCUGUCAUUUAAACAUUUCCAUGUAUUCAACGAAAUGACAAGAAUACCUUAUAAACUUAUAAUCCUACAACUUGAUUUCAGCAAUUGUUUUUUCUAUUAAUGGCAUUCUGACUUCAUAAUUCAAUCAAAAUCUGUAAGGUUAAAUUUGAAUUUAUGAUAGAAAGUUUCCUUCAAAAAGAAAACAAAAAAGACCAUCAAAAGAUAAAUUGCAGUGCCUCAGUUUUCCUAUAAAUACAUACACAAACAUUAAUCAGAAAAACCCGCACACGGAAUAAAAUAAAAUAAAAUGAAGCUUUCAUCUUUCGCUCGAUUUUCCAUUGUUAUAAUCUCAAUUUCUUUAGCAAAAGCAGUUACCUAUGAUCAUCAAGACUUUCUCCAAUGCCUAUCCGACAAUUCUCAGAAAUCAAAUCCAAUUUCUGAUGCCAUCUUCACUCCUAACAAUUCUUCAUUUACUUCAGUUUUACAAUCUUAUGUAAGAAACCUGAGAUUCUCAGCCCCUUCAACACCAAAACCUAUAGCUAUUAUUGCAGCAAAGCAUGAUUCCCAUGUCCAAGCUGCAGUUAUAUGUUCUAAAACUCUUGGUUUGCAGAUCAGAAUCCGAAGUGGCGGUCACGAUUAUGAUGGGCUUUCCUAUGUAUCAGAAGUGCCUUUUGUAGUUCUGGACAUGUUUAAUCUUCGAUCUAUCAAUAUAAAUAUAACAGAUGAGACUGCUUGGGUUCAGGCAGGAGCCACUCUCGGUGAACUUUACUAUAACAUUGCAGACAAAAGUAAUGUUCAUGCGUUUCCUGCUGGGGUCUGUCCUUCACUAGGCGUUGGAGGACACUUUUCAGGAGGUGGCUAUGGAAACUUGAUGAGAAAAUAUGGUCUUUCUGUAGACAAUAUUGUUGAUGCCCAAAUUGUUGAUGCCAAGGGUAGAAUUCUCGACAGGAAAUCUAUGGGAGAAGAUCUCUUUUGGGCUAUAACAGGAGGAGGUGCAGCAAGUUUUGGAGUCAUUCUUUCCUGGAAAAUAAAUUUAGUUCAGGUUCCUGAACAAGUCACUGUUUUUCAAGUUGUGAGAAGUGUAGAGCAGGGUGCCACUGACCUCGUUUGGAAGUGGCAACAAAUUGCAGACAAGCUAGAUCAUGACUUGUUCAUCAGACUGAUCCUAACACCAGUAAAUGGAACUGAGCCAGGCAAGAAGACUGUAAAUGUAACGUUUGUUGCCAUGUUCCUCGGGGGAACUAAAAGACUCCUGUCAUUGAUGAAUGAAAGCUUUCCUCAACUGGGUUUACAAAAGAAAGACUGCACUGAAAUGAGAUGGAUUGAAUCCACAGUAAUUUGGGUUGGAAUGCCCAAAGGAACUCCCAUUGAAGCUUUACUCAAUAGGCCUACAAAUGCAUCUGUUUACUUAAAAAGGAAAUCUGACUAUGUGAAAGAACCCAUUUCAAAGAAAAAUUUGGAAUCAAUUUGGAAAAUUAUGGCAGAAGUAGGAGUAUCAAUGCAAUGGAAUCCUUAUGGUGGUAAAAUGAGCGAGAUUUCAGAGACAGAAACUCCAUUCCCGCAUAGAGCUGGAAACUUAUUCAAGAUUCAGUAUUCAGCUAACUGGCUACAAGAUCAAACAACAGAACUUUUUCUGAAUUCAACAAGAACCCUUUUCGAAGCCAUGACUCCUUAUGUCUCAAAGAAUCCAAGAGAAGCAUUUCUAAACUAUCGGGACAUUGAUAUUGGCAGCAUCGGUAGCAGCGGAAACGGCACAUUCCAGGAAGCAAGUGUUUAUGGUGUUAAAUACUUCAAGGAUAAUUUUGAUAGACUGGUGCGCGUGAAAACAGCAGUUGAUCCUGAUAAUUUCUUCAGGUAUGAACAGAGUAUUCCAACUCAAUUUGUACUUUCCAGGAAGACUAUAAUGUGAAGAUUACUUCAGUGAGUAAUUGGAUUGACCAUUGAGAUUAGCAGCUUAUACUGCUCUGAACAAUUGAAGAUUAGCAGCUUAUACUGAACAAGUACUGUAAUUUUUAAUAUAAUUAAUUGGCUUGAUGGGAUAUUUCUUUCCCACAUAUUAUUGCCUGUAUUGCUUCCUUUUCCUAAUUGUCUACUGAAUUUUGAGUAAUAUUAUGCAGAAUUUAUGUUAGUUUAAUUCAUACCACCAAUUAUAUUCUUCAAAACAAGAAUGCAACAACUCUGCAGUUACUUGAAAAUGUUAUCUAUAUGAAAAAAUAUAUAUAAUUUUUCUUGUUAUUCUUGUUCUUAGCAUGAAGAAAAGGCAUAGGACAGGAUAAACUCUGAAAAACUUUUGCAAUUAUCUGUUCCAAGUGUUGCUAAAUUGAACCAUAAACCAAUAUUUUUCUUUUUAUGAAAAAAGAUUAAAAGGAAAAAAAAGCUUGGUGCCUGGAACUUGCUCAUUUGUUAUUUUUCCUUAUUUUCUAAAAGAAUAAUCUCCUUUUCAUUUAUAAUUCGCUCUUUAUUAUAGUUAAUUUUUUAAAAUAUUAUACUUAAUAAAUAAUAUUUCAGUCCACUGUAUAAUUAAAUUUAUUUUUAAAUAACAUAAUAAAUUAUAAAAGAAUCAAUGUAUGCCGUAUUAAUAAGACAUGCAUCGAUCUUAGAUAUAUUUAUAUCAAAAAUAAAUUUUUAUUUACGUUUCAUUUAUACAUAAAUAAAAUUCAAAAUAAUCCGAAAAUUAAAACUCAAAGGCACAAAAGCCUCCUUAUAUUAUAACCUAUAUUCCCUUCUCCUUCCUUUUAGAUUCUCUCUCUCUCUCUCUCUCUCUCUCUCUCUCUCUCUCUCUCUCUCUCUCCAUCUUUACAUAAACAUAUACCCAUGUUUUCCCUAUUUCCUGUACCACAAAUCCAAGAUUUCUUGUUUAAUAGAACAACCUAUUCAAAUUAUGAAUUUGGUACACCAUCCACGGAUUUCAUGGAGGAAUUUACUUUUCUAUUAUUCUCUCUUCUAGUUCUAGUCUUUCUUUCUCUAGUGUUCAUGAAUUUAGUGCUUAGAUUGAGGAAGAUCUUUGUUCACUUGGUUCAAAAUAUUUAUCUUCCUCGUUCCUUUUAUGAUGUAUAAUUUCAUUUAAAGUGGUUAAAUAAUGAUAAUUUCAUAUUUAAAUAAAUUUGGAUAUUUUGAUAUUUUCUAAAUGUAAAUUAUUUUAAUUAUUAUCGAACAAGACCAACCUUAUCGAGUUUAUAUUAUUUUAAUUUUUUUAUUGAUAAAUAUUCUUAUAUUUAGUUUUUAUAUAUUAAUUAUUUAAAAUAGGAAAAUCCUGACUCCGUUGAUACUUGCCAAGCAGGUAGUUUGAUGGGAUAUGAAAGUACACUCAAUGCCAUAACUUUCCUUCAAAUCUUUGCCUGUAUAUAUUGUUGCUUUUCCUUAUUGUCUACGGAAAUCUGAGUAAUUGGCUGAUCCUAUCAGACCAAGAAGCUUGAUAGAAUAUGAAUUAUACCUAUUAUAUGCCAUUUCUUUCUCUCAAAAGCUUUCCUGUAUUGUUUGCUUUUCUAAUUGUCUACUGAAAUCUGAUGCAAUCAAACUAUAUAAGGAGACUUGUGCAAAAUUUAUUCCAGUUUUCUAGAUUAAUUCAUACCAAGAAAUCUUAUUCUGCAACAAUUCUGCAUUUACUUUAAAUAUAUAUUAUGCGAAUUCAAUUGUUCUAGUUGCAGCCAAUUCCAACUAAAAGAAAUUAAUUUAUUCACUAAAUUUAAGGAUAAAUAUAAAAAAGAAAGUACGGUGUGAUUUCACUAUUUGAUAAAUUUCAAUAUAUGUAGUUUUUAUCAUAUAAAAUAGAUAUGUGAUUAAAAAUCGUGAUAAAAACAAUAUUUCAUUGUUAAAUAAUAUCGAUUAGUAAAACUAUUUUCAUUUUGAUCAGUUAUCAUUAUCAUAUUUUUUAUGUUUAGUAAUAUGGGUGUAUAGCUUAAUAACUAAAAAUGUCAUUAUUUGAUCGUUAAAUUGAUUUCAACAGAUCAAUAACUUUUUAAACGGCAAUUUAACGAUCAAACAAUGGAAUUAAGAGUUAUUAAGUUCAAAACUCGUAUUUUUUAAAAUAGGCAACAUGAUAAUGAUAACUGAUCGAAGUAAAAAUGGUGAAAUCCUUACAAAUCGAGACAUUUUGACAGUGAAAUAUAUUUUUACUUAUAUAACUAUAUGUCUCUCGUCUAAAUAAAAUAACUUACUAAAAUUUAUAAAAUAAUAAAAUUACAUAGCACUUUUUUAUAUUAUUUCUUAAAUUUAUAUCAAUUUGUUUUCUUUUUGAAUUGGAAGUAGAACUCAUUGUACCUUUUCAAAUAAUAUAUUUGAUUCAGAUUAGUUUGAACCUGAUUCUAAAUCUGAUAAUUUUUAAUCCAAUUUUAUUCAGUUUGAUUCCGAAUCCAAACCUGUAAGAUCUAAUCUAAACAAAUAUAUAUAUAUAUGAAUUUUUUUUUCUUUUUCUUCCUUGCAUGAGCAAAAGAGAUAGGAAAGAUUAAACUCCUAAUCCCUUAUAAUUAUUUAUUUCCAUUGUUGUUAUAUCAAUACCAUAAAAUCUUUUUUUUUCUUUUUCUUUUUUUGUUUCUAGAAAACGAAAAGCUCGGUGGCUGGCUGUCCAAGUAAGUUACUUAACUUGGCACCACUUCCCACAACAUAGAGUGGAGACCAAGGUGACUUUGGCACCAAGUUCUUGUAACAUAGACAAAAAGUUUAAUUAGGUGUACAACAUGUAAAACACAUGCGAACUUUGGUUUAACAAAAAGAAAUUUACAAUAAAAGUUUAUGCUUGAAUAAGGAUGUUUGGAAUUAUUGUUGGGUGUUUAAAAAAAUAUAUUUAAAUUUUUUUAUUUAAUGUAUUAAUUUUCUUAAAAUUAUUUUCUUGAGCCUGUUUUUUUAGAAAAGCAUUGAUUCAUCUAUUCUUUAUAAAAAUGAUUUUUAAAACUAAAAAAUAAUAAAAUUAAAAUUAAAAUUAGAAAAUCACUUUUCCUACCUCAAUACUAAUGGCAACUUAAGUUUCACAUUAAGACUCUAUUAGUACGAAGAAGCUAAUAAUAUGAAUUUUAAUAAUAACAAAACCUUGCAUAGUUCUAUAUUGUGUAUAGGCAUAUCUAAUAGUGCAGGAAUAGAGUGGAUUAUAUCAAAUUAUUGACAAAGUAGAAGAGCGUCGUCAGACAUCUACUUUAAUAAAAAAAAACAACAAAAUGCCCCGAGUAUAAAUCUAUGUAUCAACAACCUCUAUUUAAGAAAGUGUAUUAAAGGUCUAUUUUAGAACUUUGUAAGGCUUGAUCUCUAGCCGUUAGUAGAGUCAUAUAGUGGAGAUAAUCUUAAAGUGAAAUCCUUAAGGACUAGAUGUAGGUUUUAGUACUGAACCAGAAUAAAUCCUUGUGUUAAUUCUAUUAACUUGCAGUUCAUAAAAUAUUUGUUUUUGAUACAUGCUCAAUUAGUUGUCUAUUACAUCUUAAAUACGAAGACAAUUUAUUUAGACAUUUAACUGUUUUUUAAAAGAAACAUCAGACAGCAUUCACUUCGCAUGCUCUCACUCAUAUAAUCUACAUGAGUUUACAAGUUACUGCAAUUGAUAUAUUAAUUAAAAUUACUAACUUAUUGUUGUAGGUAUCUAAUAGUGAGCUCUCUAAGUUUAAUUAGAUAUUUAUGCAGCGAGCUUCAAGCUCUUGAUAGAAACUCUUGCAAAUCUAUCUCAUAAAUAGUUGAUUAGCAAGUAAAUCACUUAAGCUAGAAGAUUUUUGAGAAUUCUAAUUCACUCCUCUCUUUGACGUCUAUUAUGCACUUUCGGACUCUUAUUAGAAUCGUUUCUAAAUACUAUUUUCGUUUAAGCACGUCAUAUUAAUACCGUUAUUGAUUUUUUUCAAGUUUAAGAGUUUCAUGAGAAUAUUAUUAUAGUCAUUUUUUAAAAGUUUAAAUGGGCACAUAGAUGCCAUAUAUUAAUAAAACUACCUGGGUUAAGUAUUUUUUUAUAGAAAAAAAUUGUCCAAAGUGUUAAAGUAACGUUGAAGAACCAGUAAAAGCUUGAGGUAUAAAUAUAGUAUAAUUUGAAUCAAUUUUCUUUAUUUAUGGGAUGUCUAACAAUAUGUGGACUAUAUAACUAUUUACAUUCUCCAUAAAUGUAAAAAUUCAAUUGAAAACACUUACUCUCGAGUACAAACACUCUUGCCAAAUAUUAUAAUUUGAAUAAAUUUGAAUAUGUAUAAUAAGUUAAUAUUAUUUAAAUUAAAUUAUAUAUUACAUUUAUUAUAGUCUUUCUAUAUUAUUAUAUAACUAAUUAAUGAAGAAAUCUCAAAUGCUCAAAUAAUAAAUAUACCACUAAGUUAAUCUAAAAUAUAUGAGAAAUAUAUAAUAACCAACUCAAAAUCUUGUCUAAAUAAGAAUUCUAAGGCAGAUUGCACAAUGAUGCCCAAAAUUUUGUAACAAAGUUUAGAAUGGAACCACAUUUUCAAUUUUUUUUAUUUUUAUUAUAGACAUUUAUUUUUGUUUCUGGUGAAAAGUAUUGAAGACACUUUUAACUUAAAAUGACUGAUUUGGCAAUGAAAUAGAGAAUAUUCAUAACAUUUAUACCAUAUCUUUGGUUGCCACGUCAGAUUGUCUUCACUUAAAAUAUAAAAUAGAUUAUUUGGAUACUGAAAAAUAAAAAAUAAGGAAUUGGUAUCAAUAGUGAUAUUUAUGAAAAACUUUGGGUACCACUUGUGCAAAAUAUCCAAGAACACUAAAGUACAGUACAGAAGAUGGUGGCCUGGCCUGUAAUAAUUUAUGAGAGAGAAUUAGCAUUAAGUUAAGCCCAUUGAAAUCCCCCAAAAUUAGAAUAUGGCAUAAGGAAGGAGAACCUCUUUUAAACUUCCCACUUUUUCGUUCUUCUUAAGUUUCCUGUCCAGAAGGGGAAUUCUUGAGUGCAAGAUUUUGAAGCAUUUCUAUAAAAACUAGUCUUGCUUCAACACAGAAUCAAUCAUCUAUGUCAAUGUCCAGGGCACUAACUGUAUUCUCAAUUCUUUCAAGUCUACAAGUUUUAUUGUUUCAUAUGUCAAUGGCAGCUUUAGAUUUAACCCAAGAAAAAACCAUUCUCCAAUGCCUUUCUACUCAUUCCAUAACCAAUCCACCAAUCUCUGAAGUCACUUACUUUCCUUCCAAUCCUAAAUACACAUCUAUCUUACAAUCAUACAUAAGAAACCUCAGAUUCAACUCCUCUGCAUCCCCAAAGCCUUUUUUCAUUGUAACACCUACCCAUUCAUCUCAUAUCCAAGCAUCCAUUAUCUGCUCCAAGAUUCAUGGCUUAGAGCUUAGAAUUCGAAGUGGUGGCCAUGAUUUUGAUGGACUUUCUUAUAUAUCAAAUUUACCCUUUAUCAUUCUUGACAUGUUUAAUAUGCGAUCUGUAAGUAUAGACAUGGAAGAUGAAAGUGCCUGGAUCGAGUCUGGUGCUACUCUUGGCGAAGUUUAUUACUGGAUUGCUAAAAGGAGUGGAGUUCAUGGAUACCCAGCUGGGGUUUGUCCUACUGUUGGUGUUGGAGGGCAUUUGAGUGGAGGUGGAUAUGGUAACUUAAUGAGGAAGUAUGGGUUGUCUGUUGAUAAUGUUGUUGAUGCAGUAGUAAUUGAUGCUGAUGGGAGGGUUCUGGAUAGAGAAGCAAUGGGGGAAGAUCUUUUCUGGGCUAUUAGAGGUGGUGGUGGAGCUAGCUUUGGAGUUAUUGUUUCUUGGAAAAUUAAGUUAGUUCUUGUUCCAGAAAUUGUUACUGUUUUUAGAGUUGAAAAAACACUGGAAGAAGGUGCUUCAGAUAUUGUUUAUCAAUGGCAACAGGUUGCUGAUAAAAUUCAUAAAGAUCUGUUUAUAAGGGUGGUUUUGAAUCGUGCUGUAAGACAUGGACAAGAGACUGUCAAGGCUAAAUUCAAUGCCUUAUUUCUAGGAAAUGCAGAAAGACUUGUUGGUCUAAUGGAUGAGAAGUUUCCUGAAUUGGGUUUACUGCAUAAAGAUUGCAAGGAAAUGAGCUGGAUUGAAUCAGUGUUGUUUUGGUCAAAUUACCCAAUUGGAACUUCUGUGGAUGUUUUGCUUGAGAGACAUUCUCAAGCAGAGAAGUUCCUGAAGAGGAAGUCAGAUUAUGUACAAGAGCCUAUAUCAAAGCAAGAUCUUGAAGGUAUUUGGAAAAAGAUGAUUGAACUAAAACAAGCCGCAUUGACACUUAAUCCAUAUGGAGGAAGAAUGAGUGAGAUCCCAGAAUGUGAAACUCCAUUUCCACAUAGAGCAGGGAACAUAUACAAAAUCCAAUAUGCAGUGAGUUGGAAAGAUGCCAGUGUUGAAGCAGAAGAGCAAAACUUGGAUAUCAUAAGGAAAAUGUAUGAUUAUAUGACACCAUUUGUGUCAAAAUCACCAAGAUGUUCGUAUCUGAAUUACAGAGAUGUUGAUUUGGGCGUGAAUGAAGUUGGAAAUGAAAGUUAUGAAGAAGCCAGUAGAUGGGGAUACAAGUACUUCAAAGGCAAUUUUGACAGAUUGGUGGAAGUAAAGACAAAGGUGGAUCCUUGUAAUUUCUUUAGAUAUGAACAAAGCAUCCCAUCUCUUGAAGCUUCUUAGAAGAGUAGUUCCCUUGAAGAUUUGAAACACCAAAAUUCAAUUUCUGGGUGAAGCUUUUAUUUGACAUUGGUCCACAGAUUCAUCAAUUUCAAGUGCAUUAGCUCAAAUCAAAGGAAUUUGUAACCAUGAACAGGAACUUAAAUCAAUAAUCACUUUUAGGUGGAGUUACUGUAAUUCUAUAUGUAAUAUGAACUUGCUCUUUAGCAAUUACUUCUUCUUCUUUUUUAAUUCAAUUCUAGUUCACAAAAGAAGAUACCUAUGUGUCCCUUCCAAUGUGAUUAGUAAUAUAAUACUUUAUUAUUAUUUUAUUGAGGAAAGGAAGUCAUUUGUUAUAGACAGUAGAAAAUUGGUAAACUCUAAAGUGCAUUAGUUUAUAACUUUUUGGUAAACUCUAAAGUGAAUAAUAAAUUCUGCAUCCCAGCAUUCCUUCAACAGGCCAGGUAUACUGUCCUGAAAGCUAUUCUCCAGAGUUAACAUUCUUCAUAAUUUAUUAGCCAAGAAGAUUGCAUCACAUGGAAUCAUAGAAGUAAAGAACAGGGCACUUUGAUAAUUCAAAGCUGCAGAAUAUUCAAAUAAAAUGAUAUUUCAAUUGCUUUGUUGUAAUGGCAAAUGGCCUUUCUUUAUUGCACAAGCUGGUUAGUUUGGUCUGAAGUUGAUAAUUUAAUGGUGCAAGUAUCAUCUUCUACAAUUAAUUAAAUGAUGAUGUAGACUAGACAUGCAAGAUUUUACUCUUACUUACAUUUCUAUACCCAAAAAUUAACUUAAGGGGAAGUUGACAUUUAGAAAAAUAAUGAGAAUGAAAUGUCUCUCAUCUUCAAAGGUUUGUAAAAUAGAAAAGUAUAUUAAAUUAAGUGAUCUAUCAACAUUGACAACAACAAAUAAAUUUUACAUUAAGGAUACGUAUAAAUAUUUUAAAAAAAAUUGAAAGAUAUGCUUUUUUUUUUUCUAGUCAUAGAAGGUCAGUGGACCGUAAAUUACAAAAUAGAAAGUAAUCAGUUUUUUUUUUAUUUAUCGUAAAAAUUAUAAUUCACCUAUUAAAGAAUUAACAACUUAAAUUCAAAAUAUAUAAUCUUUCGAAUUAAAUUCUAUUUUUAAAAAUAAAAUUAAUUAUAAAAAAUUAAAAAAAGAGUUUCUAAAGAAAAAUUAAUGUUCAAUUUCUAUAUCAAUAAAAAAAGAGAAAUUGACAUGAAAAAUGAACAGUUAUGAAAGAACUGCAGCAAUAGAUUUGAGAAAAAGAAAGAAAGAAUGAGGGACGAAAGAAGAAAGGUGUUCAAUGUGUGGUACUAGAGGCCGCAUAAUGGGGUAGACCAUUAAAAGCAACCACUUAAAAGUCUCUCAAUUGCAAAAGUUUUUGGAAUUAUAAAGGCUUUUUUUAUAUUAUAGUCUAAAACUAGCAAAUAUAUUUACUAAAUUAAAGUUGGGGCAAAAUUUAAAAAUUUAGAAAAUAUAACUUAAUAAAACGCCUAUAAAAUAAGAAUAUUUUAAAUUAAAAAUAAAAUAUGUCAGAACACUAGAAAUUUAGUGAUAAUAAUAUUCUAAUUAAUUUUAUUAGCUUUAUUUUUUUUUUCUCUAAUGGUACCAUUUUAGAGUUGUUUGUUUUUCUAUAAGAAAGAAAAGACUUCUCAUAAUUGCCUAAUUUAUUAGUAAUCAAUUCAAAUUUUUUCAAGAAAAAAUCUUAAAUGUUCUAAAGAAAUAAGACGCUUAAUUUUUUCUUCAUUAGAAAUUAACAUAAGAAUAAUAUAUAUAUAUAUUGAUUUCUGAGACUUAAAUUUUUUGUAUAUGUAUAUUUAAUUUUUGAACACAAAAGAUUUUAUUUUGACAUGUAUAUUUAUUUUUAACACAUGAGAUUCAAAUUUAUAUGUAAUUUUAUAUAAUUUUUUAAUUAAUUUAUUGAUUCAUAAGUCACAUUCCUAAUUAAUCACUCUAAUCCUAAAAAAUAGUAUAUGUAUUAUAAUUAUAAUUUUAUAUUAACUAAUAAAUAAUUUUUUAAUUAAAUAAUAAUACUAAUUCUAUCCUAAAAAAUAACAUAAUAAUUAUAUUUUUAGAUUCUAUUAACUGAUAAAUUAAUUUUAUAAUCAGAUAAUAAUUUUAAUUUAAAAAUAAUAUUUAAUUUUUUUAUAAGAUGUUUUUUUAUUAAGUAUAUCUUUUAGUUUAUAAUUAACAAAUUUUAUCAAUUCUAAAAGGUGUUAUUAUAUGUUUUUCAUUAAAAAGCGUCGAUUAGUAUAAUUGAGUAUAUUAUAGUGAUAUUCAAGUAUAAAAAAAUAGCAUGUGGUUGCAAAUUUUUUUUUUAUAUAUAUAUAAAAUAGAGCAAUUAUCUCUUUAUAUUCGCUAUAAAAAUAAAAACUCAGUUAGUGCAGAAAAGAUAAUUCAAAUUUAAAAUUCUUUACUUCUAAAAGCAAAUGCUCUUACCAUUUAAAUUAGAUCCUGUAAUAUAAUAAUUGCACUUUUUUUACAUAUGAUAUAUAUAUAUAUAUAUAUAUAUAUAUAUAUAUGUUGUCUUCUUUUUUCUUUUUUUGACAUUUAGAUACCUUGUGAACUUUUUUCUUUAAUGAAGAUGAAGCCAAAAGGGGUGAGUCCACUUUUGAAGCUGGUUUCACAAGUAAUGGGUGGAGACAGGGAAAGCAAUAGAAAAGCUGACUUAGUAAAAUAAGAGAAGUGCAAGUAGCAGUAGUGGUGGUNNNNNNNNNNNNNNNNNNNNNNNNNNNNNNNNNNNNNNNNNNNNNNNNNNNNNNNNNNNNNNNNNNNNNNNNNNNNNNNNNNNNNNNNNNNNNNNNNNNNNNNNNNNNNNNNNNNNNNNNNNNNNNNNNNNNNNNNNNNNNNNNNNNNNNNNNNNNNNNNNNNNNNNNNNNNNNNNNNNNNNCUGCUUAGACCUAUUUUUCUACUUUUGACUUGGUCAUCCUCUUUCAUUAUCUCUACAUGUGGAUUAAACUAUCUACUUGGGAAAUUUUUAGGUGAACUAUUUACUAUGUAGGAUUGUAAAUUCUAAAUUGACAAAGAUGUAUUAUUAUAUUUUAGUUUGGACAAUAUAUAAUUAUCAUUGAUAACCAUAAUUAAAAUCGACGGAUAUAAAUGCAAUACGUUAUAAAUACAUCAUGCAUUUGUAUUUUCAGUAAAAGUUUAUAAUUUUUAUGGUAAAUGCUAUUUUUUUUUUUAAAAAAAUUAUCCCUUGAUCUAGUAAUACAAUUAGAUUUUACAAGCGAAAUAAUAAGUUGAAAUUAUCCAGCGAGAGAGCGUAUAAAAAAUUAGACUAUAUUAAUCAAUUUAAUCAAAAAUCGCUGGCUAGUCCAAUUUAAUUGGUCUAAGAAAUUGAAUUAUUUAAUCAAAUUAAACCGGUUAAAAAAAGAAAAAAAAUCAAAUCAAAUUAUAAAAGUUAUUUUAAAUAAAUUAAAUGAUAAUGGAUAGAACAUGCUUAUGCAUGUUUAAUUCUUUAUAUAUUAUAUUUAUAUAUAAUAUUUAGUGGUUCUCUAUGAUAGUUUACAUUACGUAAGGACUAAUUUAAACAAGAUUCGCAAGCAUAUUUGUUUUGUUCUCUCGAACGGCAAUUGAACAAUUGUGCGUGGCACUAUCUUGUUUGUCGGAUUAUGUGUUUCAAAUCUUUUUUUUAUUUCUAUUUUGAAACCAUUAAUGCUUUUAUUAUAUUAGAGUUGAGUUAUACUACGUUUAAACUUUGUUUUUUUCAAUGAAAUUUGAAAUGACCAUAGUUUUAAGAAAUGCCCAUACUCAUGUCCAGUUGAGUUUUACCUAACUUUCAGGAAAAAAAAAAUGUUAAUAAUUGUAAUCUCAGAAUGUUAUAAAUAUGUAGUUUAAUUCGAUUAAAAUUCUAAAUUUAAAUUUUAUUUUUAUGUUUCUUAUUAUUAAAAAAAUUGACGAACUCUAAAUUAUAAAUCAAAAGAUAAUUACUUUUUAAAAAUUUCUUUAUAAAAAUAAAAAUUCUCGCUUUUAAAAUAAACACUCUUAUGAGUUAAAAAUAUCUUAUAUUUUUUCUCGGAUAUAUUCAUUCUAUGAAAGGGAAAGUCAGAAUCAAUGUGAUUUAAUUCUAUUUUUCUUAGUUUAUUCAUUUCUAUUAUUCUCCCAAAUGCCUCAAAGAUAUAUAUUUGUUCAUUUAUAAAUUGUCUGUGUCAUCGAUGGAAGUCAAACUUAACAUGCAAAGACAAUUUUAUGGCUACCAGAAUGGCCACAUAUGCAAAUUUUAAGAUAGGGUAUCAAAUGAUUUCACAUUUUUAUAUUUUGACUCUCUCUCUCUCUCUCUAUAUAUAUAUAUAGUCACAACAACUUACUGCUGACCUUGCCAAACGGCAGCGUCUGAUGCCUCUUCCCUUCUCUUGUCUCCAAGAAUUGUAUUUUAUUUUUCAUUUGAACUUUUCUAUUCUCACUUAAAUAAUAGAAAAUAAAAAUUCAAACUUAACUUUUCAUGCUUUUAAUAAUAAGAUAGCUAUUCCACCUCAAUCUCCUCCUUAAUCUAUUCUCCAACAAGAAAAGUUCUUCCAUUGAAAUUUCUCCAUCCCAUGAAGAUAAUUAAAAUUAGAAAAUAAAAUAAAAGAAAAUACGGACGUAUAAAAUUAUUUUUAAUAUUUUGAGAUAAUAUUUUAUUAGCAAAAUAAUUUUAUAAAAAUAUCAUAAUGUCACCCCAUAUGGGCAAAGAAUCGAAACAAAUCAAAAUAGAGGUUAAAAAUUUAAAUGAAUUCUUAAUAUAUAUUCGGUUUGGAGCUUUUCUUAAAAGAAUUCAAUUGGGGUUUCAUAUUAUCUAGAAAUAGCUAAUUUUUUAGUUGGGGUAGCAAAGAAAAGGAGCCAAUCGAAUUGAUAGAAAUCGAACCAUAAAGAUGGAUUAACGGAACUGGUAGCUUUGUUUUCCAUUUUUUCUUUUUAAAAAGUUUCAGUUAGGCUUUUAGUUUCUUGUGAUUUAAAAACAGACAAUUAAUUAAAAUGACUAUUUUUUUAUUCGAUAUUUCUAUAAUCUUUUAUAUUAUAUUUUUAUAUAAAUUUAAAUUUUAUAUGAUUUUUAUAUUAAUUCUUACUAUUUAACCAAGAAAUUCGUCAACCAAACCCAUUUUUUGUUUAUCUUUUAUUCAAAAUAAUAAUUAAAAAAAAAAAAGCUAUAUACUCGGUUUUCUUUGCGGUGAAAAACAGGGAAAAAGAAAAGAAAAACACAGAGAAGAGAAACCCUGAAAGUAGAAAAUAAAAGUCAAAUUUCCAAAAUUAAGGACAUAAUCGUGUCUAAAUAUAAUGCUACAGAUUUUUCUGGGUGUGACUUUCUAUAUUUAUCUCUCCCCCUCAAUCAGUAAGUUACCUUCAUGAACCCUAUAAAUACCAGUCCCUGCACCAAACCCAAUUCAUCAACUACACAAAUCAAGAGGCAAACACACAAACUAUUGGCUUACAAUGGCAAAACCAAAAGAUCUUUCUGCUUAUGUUUGUGUUUUUGUCUUCUUGACCCUUUCCUUAUCUUCUUCUUCUUCUUUUGCUGCAACAACAGAUGAUGCAUCAGUUUAUACGUCUUUCCUUCAAUGCUUACAGAACAACACAACCCCACAAGACCAAAUCUCCAGCCUUGUCUACACCAAGGCAAACGCAUCCUACACUUCGGUUCUUCGAGCCUACAUUAGAAAUGCUCGGAUGAACACCACAGCAACCCCAAAACCGACAAUCAUUGUGACCCCAAAACAGAUAUCCCAUGUCCAAGCAGCGGUUAUCUGCGCAAAGAAAGUGGGUUACCAGCUUAAAGUUCGAAGCGGUGGCCACGACUAUGAAGGGAUUUCUUAUGUUUCAGAUGUUCCAUUCUUCGUUCUUGAUAUGUUUAAUCUUCGAUCCGUCCAGGUUGACAUGAAGAAUGAGUCUGCUUGGAUUCAGGCUGGUGCUACACUCGGUGAGGUGUAUCAUGGAAUUUGGGAGAACAGCAAAGUUCAUGGUUUCCCUGCUGGUAUUUGCCCUACAGUUGGUGUUGGUGGUCAUAUUAGUGGCGGUGGAUAUGGUAACAUGUUGAGGAAAUAUGGUUUGGCUGUGGAUAAUAUUCUUGAUGCUCAAAUUGUUGAUGUUAAUGGAAAGCUUAUGGAUAGAAAAGCAAUGGGUGAGGAUCUAUUUUGGGCUAUUAGAGGUGGUGGCGGUGGAAGUUUUGGUGUUGUUAUUUCAUACAAGAUUAAACUUGUUCCUGUUCCUGAAACAGUUACUAUAUUUAGGGCAGAAAGAGUUAUUGAAGAGAAUGCUACUGAUAUUGCUUAUAAGUGGCAAUUGGUUGCUCCGAAAACAGAUAAUGGUCUUUUUAUGAGGAUGUUGAUGCAACCUGUGACAAGGAAUAAGCAGCAGACACUUAGGGUAUCUAUUGUGAGUUUGUAUUUGGGGAAUGCUGAUAGUCUUGUGGCUUUGUUGGGGAAAGAAUUCCCUGAAUUGGGGUUGAAGAAGGAGAAUUGCACAGAGAUGAACUGGAUACAGUCUGUACUUUGGUGGGCAAAUUUUGAUAAUGGAACAUCACCUGAUGUUUUGCUUGAUAGAAAUGUCGACUCUGCCAAUUUCUUGAAGAGGAAAUCAGAUUAUGUGCAGAAACCUAUUCCUAAAAAUGCAUUGACUUUGAUUUUCAAGAGGAUGAUGGAAUUGGGAAAAAUCGGAUUGGUUUUCAAUCCUUACGGUGGAAGAAUGGAUGAGAUUCCUUCAACAGAAGUUCCUUUUCCUCACAGGGCUGGGAAUUUGUUCAAGAUGCAGUACUCAAUCAACUGGAACGAACCAGGAAGUGAUCUACAGAGCAACUACUUGUCUCAGGCGAGGAACCUGUACAGCUACAUGACCCCAUUUGUGUCCAAGAACCCAAGAAGCGCAUUCUUGAAUUACAGGGAUCUCGACAUUGGUGUCAUGACACCCGGUAAAAACAGCUACGAAGAAGGUAGCAUUUAUGGGUACAAGUACUUCAAUGGCAACUUUGACAGAUUGGUGAAAGUGAAGACUGCUGUUGAUCCGGAGAAUUUCUUCAGGAAUGAGCAGAGCAUCCCUACUCUUUCAAGUAAGGCAUAGGAGAUGAGAUGAUUUUCUUGGUGUAUUAUUAUUAUUAUUAUUAUUAUUAUUCAUUAAGUAGGAUACGUUAUCAUUUUGUAAUAAAUAUAUUUUCUGAAAACCAAUUAAUCCAAAAUAUACUUUUGCUAUCAUUUAUGUUCUUUAUCCUUUCAUUUCUUCUAAAUAGAAUCACUGUAAUAAUACAAUGAAACACCAAAGCUUCACGAGGAACAGUGCGAUGUGUCUACUUCUUAUGUUACCGCAAUCCCUGACGUAAAUAAACGUGUUGAAAAAUGUGGAUGUCUGUUUGUUUUAUCCGUCCCUACAGGCAAAAGAGACUUGUGGUUGGGCCAUACAAACAUUGAACCUCCACAUGGGUUUGACCCUUGCAUUAAAACAUUUGCACCAGAAAAGUUGACUCAUUCCUAAACUUUUGUUUCUUAAUUUUUAGAGGUUAUCAGAAACUGUGAGCUCUGUUUCGCUGCAAUAUUUAGAAAGUUUAUAAUUAAAGUUUUUAACAGAUAAGUAAACCGAUUAAGUUGAGAAAGUAUAUACUAAUUUUAUUAUAAAAAUGAGUUUAUAAUUUUAUUAAUGUAUUGAUGGAAUAAUUGUAUACAACAUUUUGACUGUAUUUGGCACAGCAGCAAAACAUGCAUUCCCCUUUAUAGUCAUAUGGAGCCACAAAUUGACUUCAUCGUCAUUUGACAAGUCUUUAAAUGAAUCUGAUUUUUUAAAUAACAAAAUUAAACUCAUAUUAACUCCCGUGAUAAACCACAAACAAGCACUCAUAAAGAAAAACAAAACAAAGUAUUCAUAAUAUUUAAUUAUCAAAUAAUUAAGAAAAGUAAAUAUAAAAUAAAAUCAUAAACGAGCUUUUAAUUAAAUAAAUUUAUUUUUAUGAAACGCUUUGAUUUAUCUUUAAAUAUUAAAAUUUUAGAUCUUUCAUACAUUUUUAAUUUAUCAUAUCUUUACCCAAACGACUCAUAAGAAAUUUUGCAAUCAAAAUCUAUAAAAUUUUAUCAACUCAUAUAAAUAAAUAAAAAUAUGAUUUGAUAAUUUUAUUAAAAUUGGAAAAAAAUUACUAAAAGAAAAAAGAAAACAAUAAAAAAAUUGAAAUUUGCUACUGUGGACGGCAGAAAAAAGCUGUUGCCUCACAAGUGUUGAUUAGAACUACUAACCUAACCUCUCACACAAUGUUAAAAAAUAGGACCAAAACUUAUCAAUGUGGUUCUUCCUUGACAUUGUAAAUAAUUGAUAAAAACAAAGUACAUGGUGAGGUCCUUGACAGGCAAAACUGAUCAAUCUCCAAUGUUACUGUGGAAGGUGUUUGAUAAAAAAUAAAAAAACAAGUUAAUGCUGUGUUUUAAAUGGCAGAGGCAAACUUGUUUUAGCUCCUUGUCUCAAGUGACCCUUUUCCUUUGGUCAUCUUAAAGGUUAGUUUUUGGUCGGUUAAACAAUUUCCUCUUGUUUGGUGUACAUAAAUCUAGAUUUAAUUUAGAGCAUAUGUCCGGUAAGAUAUUUACGGGUAGCAAAAUAAUUUCUCGAGAGUUCUAACGCAAUUCUAUAUUUAAGGUUCGAACUUGAGACAAAGAAAAUUAAUCUCUUUUAAUUUGGUGUUCACGGUGAUACUUAAUUUGUCUGCUUUGUUUCAGGAGAAUACUAAGGCGUGAUUAGAUAUCCAAAGUCAAGAGCUAAUAGGAAUGCUGAUAAAUGUACUAAGCUUUUCUUGAAGAUAUCAAGGUCUAAUGUGCUCAUGUAUAAACUAGGGAUAAACCUUUUGGUUGAAAUAGAAUAAGAAAUAUAACCAAUUUACAAGUGCUAAAAGAUUUUAAUUUUAGUCAUUUUAAAUUAAUUAGACUGAAACUGAUUUUAUUAUUGAAUUCUAAAUCUCACAUGUUUAUAUUAUUUUUACCAUAAUUAGUUAAAUUUAUAAUAUGGUAUCACAACAAGUUUGAUACAAUUUUUUAAUUUUUUAAUAUUUCAUUUAAAUGUUGAGUCCCCAUGAUCUAUAUACAUUAAAUAAAUGGGCUUUUAUUUUAUAUAUAUAUUUAUAUAUAUAUAUAUAUAUAUAUAUAUAUAUAUAUAUAUAUAUAGUUGGCUUUUACUUAGUGUUGAUUUUGCCAAAAGGCAGUUUUAGAUGCCCCUCCCCUUUAGUUGUCUUUAGGGAUUUUUGUUUUAUUUUCUUAUUUGGACUUUUCUUUUUCUCACUUAAAUAAAAAAUAUUCAAAACCCCCUUUUUUUUAUAUAGUAUUUUAGGUGUAGAAAAAAUAGAACUUAACUUUCAAUGGCUUUAAUAAUAAGAUAGCUAUCAACCCUCAAUCUCCUCCUUGAUUUAUUCCUCCAACCGGAAAAGUUCUUCCAUUGAAUUUUCUCCAUCCCACAAUGAAAUUUGAAACAAAAAAGUAAGAAAAAACAAACUCAGGGGUGUUUGUUAUUGCUUCAUGAUCUUCAUUUACUUUUUAAAUUAAAAAAAAAUAUAUGUUUUUUUAAAAUUGUUUUUAUUUUUUCUUUUCAAAACUUUUUAUAUAUUGUUUAAUAAAAAAAUUUAUUUUCAAUAAAUCACUAAUUUUUUUAAUAAUUUUUGUUUCCCUUUUUUAUAUUUUUUCUACUUUCUCUCCUCAUAAUUUAUCUCUUUUUUAUUAUUUUUUCUUUCAUUAUAUUCUUACAUAAAAUUAAGUUAAAAAAAUUUAUUUUAAAAAAACAACAAUGUUUUUAAAAUUUUUAUAAAUAAAAAACAAAAAGUAUACCAAACUAACCCAAUUUACACUCUGCAUAAUUAUUUGGCUAUAGCCAUAAAAAUGAACCCAAUUUACAGACUAGUUAAUUAAUUCAUAAGAUAAUCUUUAUCCAAUUUAUUAUAUUAAUAAACUUUCAAUAUUCAACUACCAAAAUAACUCAACAGAAACAUGUUUGGUUUGUUUAUAUUUGGGCUUCUUUUAGAAAAGAAUAAAUUCAAGUUAUAUUUAUAUUAUCUAGAAAUAGCUAAAAAGGAAAUAAAAAGAAACACAACAAUUAUAUAUAUAUAUACUGACAGCUAAAUAUUUUUGAGAUGUAUGCUUAAUUUUUGAUAUAUAAGAUUUUUUUUUUAACAUGUAUAUUUACUUUUGACACAUGAGAUUCAAGUUUAAGUGUAAUUUUAUCAUUCUUUUAUUAAUUUAUAAGUUACAUUUCUAAUUAAACACUCACUCUAAACCUAAAAAAUAAUAUAUUAAUUAUAUUUUAAUAUUAUAUUAACUAAUAAAUAAUUUUCUAAUAAGAUAAUGAUACUAAUUCUAUCCUAACAAAUAACAUAUUAAUUAUAUAUUAAUAUUAUAUUAACUAAUAAAUUAAUUUUAUAAUUAAAUAAUAAUUUUAAUUCUAGAGAAUAAUAUCUUAAAUUAUAUUUCUAAUAUUAUAUUUCAUAAUAAAUUUUUAAUUUGAUAUAUUAAUUUAUAUAAUAUUAAAAUCAAUUAAUAAAUAAUUUUCAAAUUAUAUAUUAUUACAUUAAUAAAAUUCUAAAAUAUUUAAAAAAUUAAGGAUAUUUAAAAAUAGUUAGUAUGCUAUUAUAUUUUAAAAAUCUAUAAAUUAAUAUUAAAUAUUAAAAAAUUUAUUAAACUAUAUCUAUCAAUUUAAUUUUAUAAUUAAAUAAUAAUAACGGUCUUGCAAUGCAUGAUUAAAUAAUUAAUUUUUAGUAGUGAUGAGCAAAAAAAAAAGUUAAAACUAAUUAAUCGAUAUUGAAAGAAGAAAAAAUCGAUUAAAAUAGCUAAUUGAUUUGGUUUUGAUUUCUUUUGUAAUACCCAAAAAUGUUCUUUAAUAACGAAUUUUAUUAAUAAUAAUUAAUAAAUGAGUUUUGAUUUAAAUUAAUUUUACUUUAUUUUUAUUUNNNNNNNNNNNNNNNNNNNNNNNNNNNNNNNNNNNNNNNNNNNNNNNNNNNNNNNNNNNNNNNNNNNNNNNNNNNNNNNNNNNNNNNNNNNNNNNNNNNNNNNNNNNNNNNNNNNNNNNNNNNNNNNNNNNNNNNNNNNNNNNNNNNNNNNNNNNNNNNNNNNNNNNNNNNNNNAUCUUAGAUUAUAAGUAAAUAUUGAAAUAAAUAUAUUUGGUAUCAAAUUUUCUCAAAUGUAUAUAUAAUAUUAUAAAUAAAUAUAUAUUGGAGAAUUAUGGAAGAAUUUGUAAAGGGUGUUUUUAUAAAAGAAUUUUAGAGAAAUUGGUAUUUUAAUUAGCUAGUGUAUUAAAUUUUAAGUUGGAAAAUAUUUAGCAAAUUGAUUAUUUAAUUUAAUUUAAUUGUGUGUUAGGACUAAAUUGAAAAUAUAUUUUGGGAUGAGGACUAAAAAGUAUAAUUUUAUUAUUGUGGGGUUUAAUGAAAAUUUGUAAGUUUGGUAUUUUUAUAAAUAAAUAUGUCGGCCAGGGGUAUAUAUGUAAUUGUGUAUUUUCAAUAAUUCUAAUUUGGCCCAAAUUAAAUAGUUAGGGGCUUAAUUGAAAGGCUAAAAAGAAGUUUAAGGGUUAAUUAGAAAUUUUACUUUACGAAUUGUAAGUUAUUAAAAAAGUUGAGGGGCCUAAUUGUAAGGAAGGAAAUUUUGGAGGCCAAAUGUCGAUAUUGGAAAGAAAGAAAGAAGAAAAGGAAGAGAAGGAGAUCAGGAGGAGAGAGAGUGGCGUCGGGGAAGAAGACCAGGCGGCAUGCGUUUUCUGUGGCGGCUUCAGAAGUGCGCGGGGUGGCCGUCGGAGCAGCAGGCGGUGGGCGCGAGUGUGCGGCAAAGAACAGCAGCGUCAGGCACCGGGAGUCGCACGAAGGGGCAGCGGCUUUCGAAGGCCAUUCCGGCGGCUUUAUUGGCUGUUUCUGGUGGCGAUCGACUCCCUUCGACGAGAGCUUAGUUUUGGCGGCAGUGGCGGCGUUAAUGGUGGCCGAAGAAGGAAGUUCGCGAUGGAGAGAGAAAGUAGGUGGCAGCCGCGUUUUCUGGCUUUUCCGGCGAGCUCCGGCGGAGGAUGGAUGAUCGGAGGACGUAUCCUAACUCUCCUCAGCUCAAGCUUCGCAAUGGCACCUGUUUCGUGGCGAUCAUACUUCAUUUGCAAAUCGACGACCGAGAUCGUCCGUAAAUCUCUCCAGAUGAUCGAGGGUCGGAUCAGAAAAUUGGAAGCGGGGAUCGUCAUCAACACGUCUUUUCGAGUCCGAUGGUGUGUUCGGAUCGUCGAUCGAACUUCGGCGGCUGGAGGCGAGUCGACCGAGCAAUCAAGCGUCUCGGUAAUUUUCUCUGGCCCAUUGAUCUUGGAAUUCUUUGGGUUAAUUUAUGCUUAUUGAUUUGUGUUGAGCAUUAGAUGAUAUUCGUGAGUCAAAAAUAAUAGUUUGUCGGACUGCCUGCCGUAGUCGUGAUUUUUGUGCUGUGUGGCGGAGUCGGGAGAUUAGUGAAGUUUUGAGGACCGGACUCCCAUUGUAUUAAAUUGUUGGAUAUUUGAAGUAUUUUUCUCGCAGGUCCUGGACCCGUUUUACGGGGAUAAGCGUCUAUGUUUUAGGGGAAGUUCUGCCGAAUUUUGGGUAGAAUUUACCCGAGUCAUAAUUCUUAGACAGUCAGUCCUAGGAAUCUAGACCUAGCGUUAAUUGUCAAUUGUUUCAGUAUUAUUAAUAAAUUAUUUUCCGUGAUUAGAUAAUCCGUCUGUUCGGCUCGCUCUAACCGAGGCACCGGAGCAGAGCUAGGAGGUUGCCAAAGGUGUGAGUUAAAGUCAUAUAUUUGUUUACAUGUGUCAUGCAUAAAUUCUUUAUUUGCUAUCGUGGUUAUUUUAUUGCAAGUUCAAAUUAUUCAUUUAACUAUUAUUCAUUUGUAUCAUGCUUUUCAUUACUAUUCAUUUAUAUAUCAUUAUAUUAUUGAUUUUAUUAUUGCAUGAUGACACGGGAUUGGACGAUACUAGAACAUAUUAGUUUGAUGAGUGCACCGCUGUAAGUCCGAGAGGGAUGAAAAAAGGAUAAAUGGAUAAAUUUAAAAAGGAAGGUUUAGGAUUUGCCCUGGUCGAGCAUCGCUCUCUAGGCUUCGUAGAGUGUGGUUGCCGGAGUAAAGGUCCCUGGUCGAGCAUUGCUCUCUGGGAGCCGGCUUAUUUGGAAACCUAAGUGACCAAAUUGGAGGUAAGGUCCCUAGUUGAGCUUCGCUCUAAGGGCGCCAGUCUUAUUGGAAUAAGAGAGCUGAAAGGCUAAGGCUGAUAGUGAACAUUAAGUGACCGGACUGGAGUUAAGGACCAUGGUCGAACUUUGCUCUCCGGGCGCCAGUACUAUUGGAAUGAGAUUAAUCGGGAUGUUAGAGUUGAGAUUAGUCGAGAUGUCAGUAUGGAAAUUGAUCGAGAUGUUUGUGUUGGGAUUAGGGUUCUACUCCGUCCCGUAGCGUGUGAAAAUUAUUUUAUUUAAUUUAAGUAUGGCAGUACACGUAUGUUUUUACAUGACUUAUGUUUAUUUCAAAUUAAAUAAAUGUAUGAUUGAAGUAUAUGCAAAUGUUUUUGGAUAUAUGAUUUUAACUCACUCUCGAGACUGACAGUCUCAAUUUUGCUGUUUUUCAGAUCCGUAACUGUUAGUCUUCCCAUGACUCUUUUCUAGUAACCCGACUUCUUCAUCAUCGGGUAGUGUAUUUGACUUGGUAUGUUAAUUUGUAAAAUCUUAGAUUUUCCGCAGUUGAAAUAGUAGAUGUAUAAGUUGUAAUGCUUUGUAGUUUCGGGUCUAGCCUAACUCUUCUGGCAGACCGAAUUAAUUGUAAAUUUAAUGGUUACGAAAUUGUGGAAUCAAUAGUAUUAAAUGAGAUAAGAUUUAUUUAAGUCAGUGAGUGUCAGGUUUACUACGAGAUUCGAUGGCCUUACACCUACCCAUUCCCUAGUGUCCUUACACCUACCCAUUCCCUAGUGUCGAUCAUGGACCCACAUAUGGGGUCGUGACAUCUUUUCUCAAAAGAAUUCAGUUAAAUGAUAAGUAUUUAGUUAUUUUGUCCACCAUAUUAACUAAACUGGAUGAUUCUCUUUUAUUUAUACUUUUAUAAUAUUACAUAUAGAUUUUUAUUAUAUUAUAUAUACAUUUUGAUACCAUUUAAAUAUUGAAUCUCUAUGGUCCUGUAAGAUGUUAUUGGUAUAUAUAUAUAUUAGUUUUUAAAAGUAAUUUUUUUAAUAUAUAUAUUUAAUUUUUGAUAUAUAAUAUUUUAUUUUAAUAUGCAUAUUUACUUUUAACGCAUGACAUUUAAGCUUAUGUGUAAUUUUAUAAUUUUUUUCUAAUAAUUUAUUGAUUCGUAAAUACUAAUUAAAUACUGAAUUUAAUUCUAAAAAUAGAACUUUAAUUAUUUUUUAGUAUUAUUUAAUUAAUAUAUAAUUUUCUAAUCAGAUAAUUAUACUACUUCUAUUAUAAAAAAUAGCACAUUAAUUAUAUUUUAAUAUUAUAUGAACUAAUAAAUUAAUUUAUAAUUACAAAAUAAUUCUAAUCUAGAAAAUAGUAUUUUAAAUAAUAUUUUUAGUAUUAUAUUUAAUAAUAAAUUAAAUCUUUUAACUAUAUAAUAAAUUUUUAAUUUUAAAAAUUGUAAUAUCAAUUAUAUUGAUAUGUUAAUUUAUAUAAUACUAAAAUUAAUUAAUAAAUAAUGUUUAUAUUAUUAUAUUAAUAAAAUUUUAAAAAAUUAAAAAAAUUUAAAAAUAGUUAAUUUGUUAUUAUUUUUUAAAAUUCUAUAAAUAAAUAUCUAAUAUUAAAAAUAUUAUUAAAUUGUAUCCAUCAAGUUAAUUUUAUAAUUAAAAUAAUAUCAACGUCUGUGCAACGCACGAGUAAAUAACUAGUUUCGAUAUAAUUUUAAAAUUCAGUAAAAAAUAUUAACUAGUUUCAUAUAUUUUGGAGUUAAUUAAAUAUUUUUUAUAUUUUACUUGUUACUUAAUCUUAUAUUCAUAUAUUUUGUUCAUUUUGAAAAGAUUUUUUUAUCCUUAUUAUUUUCUACAUUUAUCUUUAAUUGAUAGUUAUAGUUUCUAGAAUGCCAUUACAAUUAGAAUCCUAUAGAAACAAGAAUGGACCGAACCUUAUUUUUUAAUAAAAUCACCAUUCGUUGUUAUCAACAUAUUGGACCACCCAUGUUUGGCUUUUCGUUAAGGGGCUAAAAUAAUAAGAAAAAUUUAUUAUUUAUCUAACUACGACAAACAAUUAUAAAAAUAUUUUUUUUUAUUUUUCUAAAAAUAAUCAUGGCUAUUUUUAAAAGGAUAUAUUCUUCACCUUUUUCAUCUUUCUCAUUUUUUUUAAAUAAGAUUCAAAUACUUUACAGAUAUAUAAUGUAUACUAUAUUUUAGUAAAUAUAUAUCAUUUGCUAAUUUUAUUUUAUUUUAAAAAAUUUUAGAUAUCCAAAAUAUGUUAUUAUUAAUGUAAUACCUGGUAAGUUUUCUUUUUAAUAAUAAUAUUAGUAAUAAUUAAUAACGNNNNNNNNNNNNNNNNNNNNNNNNNNNNNNNNNNNNNNNNNNNNNNNNNNNNNNNNNNUUUACAUUUAAGAGUUAUGAAAGAAUUAGUAAAUAAUAUUUUAUAAAAGAAUUUAUUUAGAAAUGAUAAAUUUUAAUUAACUAAUGGUGUUGAUUUUAAUUAGGAAAUAGUUAAAAAAAAAUUGAUUAAUUAAGUUAAUUAAGUGUUAGGGUUAAAUUGACAAUUAAUUUUGGAAUAAGGAUUAAAAUACAAUUGUUUUAAGUUGGGGUUUUAAAUGAAAAUUUGUAUGGUUGGUAUUUUUGUAAUUAAAUGUGUCGGUAAGGGUAUUUUGAUAAUUUUACUUUUAAAAGCAAGAGUAAAUGAGUAAUUUUAUAUUUUCAAUAAUUUAAUUUGGCCCAAAUUAAAUAGUUAGGGACUUAAUUGAAAAGUUAAAAAAAAGUUAAAGGGUUAAUUAGACAUUUUGCAGGGCAAAAUUGUUAGUAAUUAAAGAAGUUGAGGGACUAAAUGGUAAAUAAGAAAAGUUUAGGGACCAAAUAUGAAUAAAGAAGGAAAGAAAAGAAAAGAAAGAAAAAAAGGAGAAGAAGAUGGCAUCGGGGAAGGGAAGAGAGUGAGAGUGGAGGAAGGAGAGGAAGCUUCGGUUGCCGGGGCUGACCGUCGAGGCAUGGCAAAGCUGGCUGGCGGUAGAGCUAGCGGCGGCGAGCUCAGCAGCGACAGAAGCAGCAGGCAGCAGAAAGAAAAUGGGAAAGAAGAGGCAGUUGUUCAGCACCAUUCAUGGCAUAUCCGGCGGCGCCAAGGGAGGCGAUCGGCUAGCCGGAGAGUGGGCUUCCUUUUGGGAGCAGCGACGACGCAAUUUGUGGCCGGAAUUGAAAGAUCCGGCGAGGUGAGAAGAGUAGGGGCAGUUCGGACAUUUCAAUUUUUCGGCGAGUUCUGUCAAGGUUUGGCCAAUCAGAGGACAUAUCCGGACUCUCUUUAGCUAAAACUUUCCAAUGACACUAAUUUUGUAGCGAUCGGACUCCGUAUGAAAAUCGAUAGACGAUACUAUCUGUGAUUUUCUCUGGAUGAUCAGGGACUGGGUCGGAGAAUCGGGUGCUAGAAUCAUCGUUUACUCAUUGUCUUGAGUCUGUAGGCGCGCUCGGAUCGUUGAUCGGACUCCGGCGGCUAAAGGCGAGUCAACCAUUUAUCAAGCGUCUCAGUAAUUCUCUAGUCAUUGAUUUUAGAAUUCAUUGAUAAAAUUAUGUGUGUUAUUUAAUUGUGUUGAGCAUUAGAAAAAUAUUGUGAGUUAAAAUAAUUAAUUGUCGGACCGUCUGUAAAUAGUCGUGAUUUGUGAUAUGUGGCAGAGUCGGAAAAAAUAGUGAAAUCUUGGGGAUCCAACUCCUGCUAAAUAAAUUGUUGAAAUAUCUGAAGUAUUUUCUGGCAGGUCCUGGACCCGUUUCACGGGGGGGUAAACAUUCGUAUUUAGGGGAGGUUCUGCCGAAAUUUCGGUAGAAUUUACCCGGGUCGAAAUUCUUAGAUAGUAAAUUCUAGGAGUCUAGGCCUAGGGUUAUUUAUUAAAUGUUUUGCUUUUUCUGAUUUAAUUGUUUCCGUGAUUAAAUUAAUCCGUCAGUUCGGCUCGCUCCACCUUAGGCAUCGGAACAGAGCUAAGAGGUCGUCAAAACUGUGAGUUAAAGUCAUAUAUAUGUUGUACUUGUGCGACAUGCUAAGUUCUGAUUAAAUAUUGUUCAUUUAAUUAGUAUUUAUAUAUGUUUCAUUUUCUGCAUUAUGGCUAUUGUGAUUGCAUGUUGAUUUGGGAAGAGACGGCAGUAAAAUAUGUCACCUGAUGGGUUGCGUCAGGACCGCGUGCGCACCAGUAUGAAUUUGAGUUAGGUAAUAGAAGAAUGGUUUAGGACUUGUCCUGAUCGAGUUUAAUUCUCUGGGCUGAGUAGAAUGAGUUUGCCGGAAUAAAGCUUCCUGGUUGAGCAUUGCUCUCUGGAUGCCUGCUUUAUUGGAAAUUUAAGUGACCAGACUUGAUUUAAGGAUCCUGGUCAAGCUUCGCUCUCUGGGCGCCAAUUUUGUUGGAACGAGAGAGCCGAAAGGCUAAGACUGUUUAGUAAUGGAGAUUAAGGUUCUACUGAUGUACUCUAUCUUAUAGUAUGUGAAAUUUAUUUUAUACAAGUAUGGUAUAACACGUAUAUUUUUGCAUGACUUAAUUUUUUAUUUUAAAUUAAAUAAAUAUGUUAUUGAAGUAUUUGUAAUUUCUCUUUUUUUUGAUAUAUGAUUUUAACUCACUCCCGAUACUAACAGUCUCAAUUUAACUGUUUUUCAGGUGUGGUUAGUUUUUCCACAAUUCUUUUCAUCUAGCAGCCUGAUUUUUCAUCUUCGGGUUUAGUGCAACUGAUUUUAUUGGUAUGUUGACUUUUAAAAUUCUAGAAUCUCCACAGUAGAAAUUUCAGAUUUAUCAUUUUAUAAUUUCAUGUAAAUUAUGGUCUUGCCUAUUCAUAUUGGCAGUCCAAAUUCUAAAUAUGUAGAACCUUAUGGUUAAGGUUAAUUGUGGAUCAUUACUUUUGGGUUGAAAUUUGAUUAAGUUAGUGAACGGUCAGACUUACUACAUUAUUUGAUAGCUUUAAACCUAGCAAUUCCCUAAUGCCGGUCACGAGCCAACAGAUUGGGUCAUUGACAAUUUGAUAAACGUGUAUCUUUACCGUUUAACUGUUCUUGAAUUUACAUUUUUAUUUUAUUUAAAAAAAGUUAAAAUACUUAACGAACACUUAAUAUAAUUAUUUUUUAUUAAAAAUAAACCUUUUGCUAUUAUUUACUUUGUUUUAUUAAUAUUUCACAUUCUUUUUAGCUUUUUAAAAUACUUAUAAAUAUUAAUUAAAUUAUUCAUUUAAAUUUUAAUAUUGAAAAAAAUUAAUAUUUCAUAUUAUUAGUAUUUAAACAUAAAUAUAAUUAAAAAUUAAUAUAUAUUUUAUUUAGUUUAUGUCAAAAAUAUACCAAAUAUAUAUUUUUUUCUUCAAUAUACACUCAAUAUAUACUUUUUUUACCUUGUAGUAAUUUAUUUCAAAUAUGAUAUUUUCAAUGCAUCUUUAAAUUUUUAAAUCAGAAAAAUACCUGUUAGAUGUGUCAAAAUAUAAUAACACAUAUUAAACAAAUUUAUAUCUCAAAAUUUAAUAUAUAUAUAUAUAUAUAUAUAUAUAUAUAUAUAUAUAUAUAUAUAUAUAUAUAUAUAUAUAUAUAUAUAUAUAUUUCCAUUCAUAGACGGAGGAGGCAUUGAAUCUAGACUAGGUUAGGAUGUUGUUCCUAUUUUCAAUUCCUAGAUCUGGAGCAGUACUCCUAGGAGUAUGCCAGGUUAAUCUAGGAGCUUGUAAUCCCAAUCUGUUGAUGUUGGAGGGUUUUUCAAGCUCUGAAUCAUUAGAUUCAUCGCUUUGGGCUUGAUCUAGGGCACUGAUAUUCCUAGGAGUAUCUGGCACUAGAUUUUUGGAAGACUCAGAGGUUGCUAAUUUGCUUAGUUGUUCUCUAACUGCUUUAGAAAACUCAGUUUGCUUUUGGAAAUGGUCUUGGAUGGGCUUUGAGAUCUGGUAUGGUUUGAAAACUGGAUUCUUAAGCUUUUCUGAUUGGUUUGACUCUUUUGGAUGACCAGUGCUGGGGAUUGGAGAGGUCAAGACUACAAGAGGCUUUUGGAUAUGGUUUUCUAACCUGACCAACUAUUUUCCUAUAGUGUGAAGACAUGUGUUCGAGAAAUUGUUCUGCUGAACAAUGUUCUUGACAUUCUUUUCUAGGUCUUCUCCUACCAGUUUGUAAGGUGUGGCUUCUAUCUCAUUCUCUCCAUAGGGAAUGGUUAUCUUCCUAAGGGGAGGAUGAUCAGACUGGACGGUUAGGUUUUCUCCUACCUUCCACUCAGGGGCUUUGUUCCUUACUGUGACAGGACUAAUGAGCUUUUCUUUGAAAGGAUAAAGGAUAGCAUUUUCUUUNNNNNNNNNNNNNNNNNNNNNNNNNNNNNNNNNNNNNNNNNNNNNNNNNNNNNNNNNNNNNNNNNNNNNNNNNNNNNNNNNNNNNNNNNNNNNNNNNNNNNNNNNNNNNNNNNNNNNNNNNNNNNNNNNNNNNNNNNNNNNNNNNNNNNNNNNNNNNNNNNNNNNNNNNNNNNNNNNNNNNNNNNNNNNNNNNNNNNNNNNNNNNNNNNNNNNNNNNNNNNNNNNNNNNNNNNNNNNNNNNNNNNNNNNNNNNNNNNNNNNNNNNNNNNNNNNNNNNNNNNNNNNNNNNNNNNNNNNNNNNNNNNNNNNNNNNNNNNNNNNNNNNNNNNNNNNNNNNNNNNNNNNNNNNNNNNNNNNNNNNNNNNNNNNNNNNNNNNNNNNNNNNNNNNNNNNNNNNNNNNNNNNNNNNNNNNNNNNNNNNNNNNNNNNNNNNNNNNNNNNNNNNNNNNNNNNNNNNNNNNNNNNNNNNNNNNNNNNNNNNNNNNNNNNNNNNNNNNNNNNNNNNNNNNNNNNNNNNNNNNNNNNNNNNNNNNNNNNNNNNNNNNNNNNNNNNNNNNNNNNNNNNNNNNNNNNNNNNNNNNNNNNNNNNNNNNNNNNNNNNNNNNNNNNNNNNNNNNNNNNNNNNNNNNNNNNNNNNNNNNNNNNNNNNNNNNNNNNNNNNNNNNNNNNNNNNNNNNNNNNNNNNNNNNNNNNNNNNNNNNNNNNNNNNNNNNNNNNNNNNNNNNNNNNNNNNNNNNNNNNNNNNNNNNNNNNNNNNNNNNNNNNNNNNNNNNNNNNNNNNNNNNNCCUUAGCAACCUAACCUGCAAAAAGCUUAGCAAUUUCCAAACCUACAAAGACACCUUCCUAACCAGAGUCAUGCUUAGGGAAGAUUCUAGCCAACCUUUCUGAAAAGAGAAAUUCUUAGCCGGUUUACCUAAGAUUCUAGGUGAAAGAGUUAGGAAUACCAUAAGAGAAGCACAUAAUGGUCAGAUCCCUUAUGAUUUCUAUACUUAUGGUGAGCUAGUUAGCCUUACCCAGAAAGAAGGUUUAAAGAUAUGCCAUGACCUUAAGCUCCAAAGACAGCUGAAAUGGGAGAUGAAAAAGACUAGGCAAGAACUAGGUAGUUUUUGCAACCAGUUUGAGUACAACCCCAUAGAGCCCUCUUCUACUUGCAAAGGGAAAUGCAAAGAAGAUUUUUCAAAGUCUUUUAAGAAAAAACGAUUUUUCAAAAACAGAAAGACUCCUAAAAGUAAGGAGAAUUUCUACAAAAAAUCAUUUUCUUCCAAAUUUUCAAAGCAAAAUUCUAAAAGAGAUUUUAGCAACGUUACAUGCUUCAAAUGUGGCAAGAAAGACCAUACUUCAAAAUAUUGUAAGUUUUGCAAAAAACUCCAUGAGCUUCAAAUAGAAGAAGAAGUUUUAGCAAAAAUUUCUGCCCUUCUAGUUGAUUCCUCUGAAUCAGAAUUUUCAAAUAGUGAGGAAGAAUUUCAAAUUGAUGAAAUCAAAACCUCAUCUGAUUAUUCUGAAACAGAUUCUGAAAAUUUUUCAAAGAAAAUUAAUAUGCUCACUAGGCAACAAGAAGCCCUUCUUGAAGCUGUCAAGCAUAUUAAUGAUCCUCAAAUUCAAAAACAGGUUUUGAAAGAGAUUUUAAAAACUGAAGCCCUUAUCCCUUCUUCUAGUAGGAAUACUUAUGAUCUUACUAUGAUUUUGGAUAAAGGGAAGAAGUUGAAAAACCCUCUUCCUACUAUUCAAGAACUUCAAAAAGAUAUUAAAGUCAUCAAAACAGAACUCAAAGAGUUGAAAGAAAAAUAACAAAAUAAUUCUGUUUUGCUUCAAAGCCUGAUCCUCAAGUAGAAUAGUGAUUCCGAUUCUGAUGAGGAAAAUGAUUUUUAAAAUCUUGAAGUUUCUAAAAAUGUUCCUGAAAACUUCAAUGUUUUAAAGGAUUACUUCAAGAAAGUAUUUGAUUCAGAUAAAGCUUGUUUUCCCUGGUGAUUUCCAGAUAGAAACCAUCGCCUUGUUUGAUACAGGAGCAGAUCUCAAUUGUAUCAACUGUGAGCUGGUUCCUAAAAAGUAUCAUCAAGAGACCAAAGAGAGACUGAAAAAUACGAAGAAGAGUCUCUUCUAUUCUUCAAGUCGCACAAAGAAGAAGAAAUAUAGUGAAAAAAGAGAGAGAGAGAGAGAUAGUGAGAGAAACACUUUCCUCUUGUAUUCUUAUCUUCCUCUUGUAAGUUAUAUUUUUUCAGUUCAAAGCUUUCAAAGUUUGUUUAAAUUUUGUAUAUUUGUUUCAAAGUUUAUGUUCAAAGUUUGUAAUCAUCAAUAAAGUUUAAAGUUCAUCUUCUUCAUCUUCCUCUAUCUUCUUUAUCAUCAAGCGUAUGCUCUGUGCUUGCAUCGUCUGAGGAUCCUGCACACCAGAAACUUGUUGAUCUUCUGAGUUGUUUCUGAUUUUUGUUCUAAUAUAUAUAUAUAUAUAUAAUUUGUCAAAAAUAUAUUGAUUUUUAAUUUUUCAAAGUAUGACUAACUGAAAAAUAAAACAUAUGUUAUUAAUUAAGUUAAUUUUUAAAUUAUAUAUAUAUAUUAAAAAUCAAUAUAUUUUUGACAAAUGAUAAAAUAAAUUAUCUAUUAAAACUAAUAUAUUAUAAUUUUUUAGGAACUCUUUAUAUAUUAAAAUUCUAUAUUAUUUUCAAAUGAAAAUGAUAUUUAUUCUUUAUGAAAGUUAGAUUCAUUAUUUUUGUAAUAUGCAUAUUGAAAUAAUUUUGUAAUUGAUAUAAGUAUUCAUCAUUUAUAAGUAUAAUAUUUAUUAUUUUAUUAAUUAAUAUUUAUUAUUAAUAAAUAUUAUAUUUAUUAAUUUAUUUAGACAUAUAUAUAAUAUAGACUUAAUAUAAAUCGUCUUUACAUGUAGUAAAUUAAAAAGAAAUCCAACUAAAAUUAUCCUACAAAUAUUUAUAUUAUAGUAUAAAUAUCUUGUUAGCAAAAUAAAGUUCAUAAACAAUGAAUAUUUAAUAUUUAAAUAAUAAAUAUUUAGUAUAUGUUCAAUGAACAUAAAUUUAAAAAGCAUAUAUCAUAACUCUAAUAUGUAUACACGUUUUUGUACUUGACCGGACCACAUUAGAGUAAGGUCCACCGAUUCAAUUCGGUCUCCGCUAAUUGAUUCAAUUUCUAAUUAGCAUUGUUAGCAUCAUUAAUAGGAUAAAUUGUUAUUUCAACAAAAAGAAAAGAUAAAUUAUAACUAAUAUGAUCAGUAAGGUUGGAUUAGUAAUUUUUAUGUACAAAUAGAAGCUGUGACCGCGCAUAAAUUAGAAAGACCUUUUAAUAAUAUAAUUUGUUCAUCUUUAAUUUGUCAAUUUUAUCUCCGAUUUAUUCCUUUUCCUUUUCAAAACUCAGCAUUAGAGAUAAAUAUAUAUAUGAUUUUUAACACUUUAAACAAAUAUUAUGUUAACCAACAAGUUGGUUUCUAAUUAAAAUAAUAAUUUUAAUUCAAAAAUAUUAUAUUUUCAAUAUCAUAUUAAUUAUCUAAUAGUUUCUAAUUUAGUAACUAGUAAUAUCAAUUAUAUUUAUAUUAUUAAUUUUAGUAUAAUACUAAGAAAUUUUAGAAUAUUCUCAUUCAUUUGUACUAAUAGAAAACUUUGCAAUAUAAAAUUCUUUUAAGAAGACAAUUAAAAUAUUUAAUUUACUCAUUUUAUAAAAUAUUAGAAUAAUUAAAAAUAUUUUUAAUAUUUUAUUAAUUUUUAUCUAUAAAUUUAAUUUAUAGUAUCGGAUUUAUAUUUUAUUUUUUGGUAAAAAAUUAAAUUGUGAAAUCUUUUUCUAUUUCUAAAAUACUCAAUAUAUGUUUUACAUCGUUUAUACGAAAAUAUUUAAUUUUUAUAAAAUUUUUUUGACUCUUAUUCAAAAAGUCUGAUAAUGUAUGUAUAUUGGAUCUUUUGAGGCAAUUAUAGAUUUUAGGAGUUAAUUCUGAUUGGUAAAUAAAAACGUAUUUCAAUAUUAUUUCGUCUUAAAUUUUAAUUUAGUCAAUCUAUUAUAAAAAAAUUAAAAUAAUUAAAUAAAUAUAUAAUACAUAUAAAUAAAUAAAUAUAUUUUAUUAAUUAAAUUAGUUAUUUUUUAUUUUGAUUUUUAUAUUAACAAAAUUACGAAACAUCUAAACCAAUAUAGUCGGUUUCUUUUUCUUUUAAUUUAUUGUGCCAACGACAAAAACUAAAAAGGAAAAACAGGGAAAAGGAAAAGAGAAAAAAAGAAAAAAGAAAAAAGAAAAAAGAAGAAAAAACAGAAGAGAAACCUUGAAAAUUAGCAAAUAAAAGUCAAACUUCCAAAAUUAGGGAUAUAAUCGUGUCUAAAAUUAAUACUUCAUGAACCCUAUAAAUAACACGAAACCCAAUUCUCCAACACAGAAUAAUUAUUUUUAUUUUUAUUUUCUUAAGAAGCCAACACACAAAUUAUUAGCUUUAGCAACAAUGGCAAAACCAAAAGAUCUUUUUGCCUAUGUUUGUGUGUUUGUCUUCUUGACCCUUUCUUUAUCUUCUUCUUCUUCUUUUGCUGCAACAACAGAUGAUGCAUCAGUUUAUUCAUCUUUCCUUGAAUGCUUACAGAACAACACGACCCCACAAGACCAAAUCUCCAGCCUUGUCUACACCAAGACAAAUGCAUCCUACACUUCGGUUCUUCGAGCCUACAUUAGAAAUGCUCGGAUGAACACCACAGCAACCCCAAAACCGACAAUCAUUGUGACCCCAAAACAGAUAUCCCAUGUCCAAGCAGCGGUUAUCUGCGCAAAGAAAGUGGGUUACCAGCUUAAAGUCCGAAGCGGUGGCCACGACUAUGAAGGGAUUUCUUAUGUUUCAGAUGUUCCAUUCUUCGUUCUUGAUAUGUUUAAUCUUCGAUCCGUCCAGGUUGACAUGAAGAAUGAGUCUGCUUGGAUUCAGGCUGGUGCUACACUCGGUGAGGUGUAUCAUGGAAUUUGGGAGAACAGCAAAGUUCAUGGUUUCCCUGCUGGUGUUUGCCCUACAGUUGGUGUUGGUGGUCAUUUUAGUGGUGGUGGAUAUGGUAACAUGUUGAGGAAAUACGGCUUGGCUGUUGAUAAUGUUCUUGAUGCCCAAAUUGUUGAUGUUAAUGGAAAGCUUAUGGAUAGAAAAGCAAUGGGUGAAGAUCUAUUUUGGGCUAUUAGAGGUGGUGGUGGUGGAAGUUUUGGUGUUGUUAUAUCAUACAAGAUUAAGCUUGUUCCUGUUCCCGAAACAGUUACUGUAUUUAGGGCAGAAAGACUUAUUGAAGAGAAUGCUACUGAUAUUGCUUAUAAGUGGCAAUUGGUUGCUCCGAAAACAGAUAAUGGUCUUUUUAUGAGGCUGUUGAUUCAACCUGUGACAAGGAAUAAGCAGCAGACACUUAGGGUAACUAUUAUGAGCUUGUAUUUGGGGAAAGCUGAUAGUCUUGUGGCUUUAUUGGGGAAAGAAUUUCCUGAAUUGGGGUUGAAGAAGGAGAAUUGCACAGAGAUGAACUGGAUUCAGUCUGUACUUUGGUGGGCAAAUUUUGAUAAUGGAACAUCACCUGAUGUUUUGCUUGAUAGACAUGUCGACUCUGCCAAUUUCUUGAAGAGGAAAUCAGAUUAUGUGCAGAAACCUAUUCCCAGAAAUGCAUUGACUUUGAUUUUCAAGAGGAUGGUGGAAUUGGGAAAAAUUGGAUUAGUUUUCAAUCCUUAUGGUGGAAGAAUGGAUGAGAUUCCUUCCACAGAAGUUCCUUUUCCUCACAGGGCUGGGAAUUUGUUCAAGAUGCAGUACUCAAUCAACUGGAACGAACCAGGAAGUGAUCUACAGAGCAACUACUUGUCUCAGGCGAGGAACCUGUACAGCUACAUGACCCCAUUUGUGUCCAAGAACCCAAGAAGCGCAUUCUUGAACUACAGGGAUCUCGACAUUGGUGUCAUGACACCUAGUAAAAACAGCUAUGAAGAAGGUAGCAUUUAUGGGCACAAGUACUUCAAUGGAAACUUUGACAGAUUGGUGAAAGUGAAGACUGCUGUUGAUCCCGAGAAUUUCUUCAGGAAUGAGCAGAGCAUCCCUACUCUUUCAAGUAAGGCAUAGGAGAUGAGAUGAUUUUGUUGGUGUAUUAUUGGUAUUUACUGAGUAGGACACAUUAUCAUUCUGUAAUUAAGAUACUUCCUGAUAACCCUAUUACCAAUUAAUCCAAAGUAUCCUUUAUCCUUUCAUUUCUUUUUUGUGUUGUUCAAUGAUUCCAAAGUUCUUUUAAAUAGAAUCACUGUAAUAAUACCAAAGCUUCCUGACCUUUCUCCCGAGGAACAAUGCAAAUGUGUCCACUUCUUAUGUUUGUUCUUUUAGGUUGAAAAAGUGUAGAUGUCUGUUUGUUUUGUCCGUCCCUACAGGCAAAAGAGUCUUGGAGUUGGGCCAUACAAACAUUAAACCUCCACAUGGGUGUUACCCUUAAAUUAAAACAUUUUGCACCAGAAAAGUUGACUCAUUCCUAAGCUUUUGUUUCUCAAUUUUUUGGUAUCAUAAACUGGGAGCUCUGAUUAACGGUAAUAUAGAAUGUGUCUCUUUUUUUCUUUUAAAAUUUGUAUUUCCAUUCAGAUGGAUGUAACGAAACAAACCACGUAUGUAUAAAUAUUUUAUAUUUUGACAUUAAAAUUUAUUUAAUUAUCUACAUUUAAUAAAUAUAGUAAUUUAAUGUAUGAAUAUAUCUAGACUAAAAAAAAUUCUUUCAGUCCUAACAAAAAGAAUUAUUAGUUUAAUAAAACACUCGAAAUGUUUCAUGGUCAGGUUUAUCUAAGUCAUUUUGUUUAAAAAAGAAAUUCAAAAAGAAAAGGACAUUGUUUUUUGUGAAUUCCCUCUUCUCUCACAAAGUGUUGAAUUAGAACUAUUAACCUAACCUUUCACACAAUAUUAAAAAAAUUGGACCAAAGACAACCUACACUAUGAGUUGAAUUAUCAAAACUUCCAAACUCAUAUAGAUGUCCUUUUAUCUAAUAAAUAUGGUUCUUCCCUGACACUAUACAUGGUGAGGUCCUUGAGAGGCAAAACUUAUCAACCUCUAAGUUAAUACUGUGUUUUAAAUGGCAGAGAGGCAAACUUUAUUAGCUCCCUGCCUCAAGUGCCCCUUUCCUUUGGUCAUCUUGGAGGUUAGUUUUUGGUAGGUUAAACAAUUUCCUCUUUUAAUUUGGUCUUUGUGGUGAUAUUUAAUUUGUUUGCUUUGUUUCAGGAGAAAACUCAGGGGUGAUUAUAUAUUCAAAGUCAGCAGCAGUAGCAUCCACUGUGAAGCUAAUAGGAAUGCUGAUAUAUGUACUAAGCUUUUCUUGAAGGAUAUCAAGAGGUAAUGUGCUCAUGUAUAAACUAGGGAUAAACCUUUUGGUGGAAAUGAAAUAAGAAAUAUAAUCAAUAAAGUUUUAGUGUUAUUCAUUUUAAUAUUGAUUGGUCUCAAAUUUAAUUCUACUAGUGCAUGCUAUACUUAUUCAUUUUAAUCUCACUUUAAUUAAUUUAAUUUUUAAUAUGAUAUUAAAAAGAUUUUGGUCCAAUUUCUAAUUUCUUUGACUUUUUAUCAAAAUGUAAAUAAAAAUGUCCAGUGUUAGCAGUUUCGUCUAACAAUAGCAAUGGGUAGGGUAUUUGCUCAUUGAAGGAUAUCCGAACUCGAAUCCAAUUCAUAUAUAUAUCCAAACCCGUUUGAAAUCCGUUUAAAAUCUAUUUUUAUUAUUCGAACUAAUUCCAAAUUCGAAUAGAAAUACUUGUAUACUAUAUGAACCCGAUAAAAAUUCAUUUAAUAUUUACAGUCAUUAAAUAAAUUAUAUAUAUAUAUAUAUAUAUAUAUAUAUAUAUAUAUAUUCAGGUAAUUAAACGACUAUCCGUUUAUAAUAAGUAAAUAUAAAAAUAUAUUAACAAAAAUAAAAAAUUAUAAAAUCUAAAUCAUGUAAUUUUAAAUAAAAAAUUUUAAUUUUAAUUUUUCUUACUAUUUUAUUUCUUAUACAUAAUAUAUAUAUAUAUAUGGAGACAACUCCGACACAGGAACACUAUCUAGGACACCACCACGAACUAAAGUACUCAAACGAUCACGAGACAGAUGACCAAGCCGACGAUGUGCGUUACUCAGGCCGAAUCCUCGCUUCCGCUUCGUCCACCCCCGCUCACGCGAGUGCUUCCCUCUAAGGCGGAACGCUCCCCUACCGAUGCAUUUUUACAUCCUACAGCUUCGGCAGAUCGCUUAGCCCCGUUCAUCUUCGGCACAAGAGCGCUCGAUCAGUGAGCUAUUACACACUCUUUCAAGGGUGGCUGUUUCUAGGCAAACCUCAUGGCUGUCUCUGCACUCCUACCUCCUUUAUCACUAAGUGGUCAUUUAAGGGCCUUAGCUGGUGAUCCGGGCUGUUUCCCUCUCAAUGAUAAAUAUAUAUAUAUAUAUAUAUAUAUAUAUAUAUAUAUAUAUAUAUAUUCGGGUAAUUAAACGACUAUCCAUUUAUAAUAAGUAAAUAUAAAAAUAUAUUAACAAAAAUAAAAAAUUAUAAAAUCUAAAUCAUUUAAUUUUAAAUAAAAUUUUUUAAUUUUAAUUUUUCUUACUAUUUUAUUUCAUACACAUAACAUAUAUAUAUAUAUAUGUCAUUUAAAUGGAUAUCGAGUACUGGAUUCGAGUAAUCUAUUCAUAUUCAUUUAAAUAACCGGGUUCGAAUAGCGGGUAUCCAAAAGUUCAAAUUCAAAUCUGAUCAGAAUCCAACACGAGCAUUAAAAUUUAAUUUCAAACACAUUUAUAAUUACUCAUAUCGGUUAAACCACAUGGUCAAAUUUUGUAUUUUGUAUUUUAUUUUUUUAUUGUGUUUUGUCUAAAUAUCAAUAUAUAUUUUCUAAUUUAAAUAAUUUAGUGUAAAAAUUAAUAUUUUUGUUUUCAUUGUAUCCACUGUAGAGAGUGUGUAACUUACUCUUUUUUUUUGUAAAAAUAGAACUAAUAUAAGCUAAAUAUAUAAAAACAUUAGACUAAAAUAUCUAUAAAUUUAGAAAAAGAUUAAAUUGAACCCAAAAACUAAAUUUAUUCUAAUAAAUUUCAAUUUUGAACUUAACUCUCAAACUAUAGAAAAAUAUGAUGACAAAUUUAAUUAACAAAAUUAUGAGAAGUUAAUAAUAAAACCGUAAAUAUAGUAUUUAUAAAUGUAGUCUAAUUAAUGAUAAAAAGGUAAAUAAAAACAAAAAUCAAAAUAUCAAUUUGCAAAAAUACACUCCUGUCCACUUGUGGAUGCUGCAUCAAAUAGAACUCUGAAAUUUCAGUAGUCUAAUUAAUUGAGGGUUGCUAGUCAUUAAAUUAAGCCAUGCAAAGGUACCUUAAUCGUACAGUGUAAGAACCUGAUUUGUGGAAAUGCCACACUUUCUUAUCUUCUCUGUCAGUGAUGCUAUUAGGGAUUUUAAGAAUUUCUCUUCCUUUAAGAAAAGCUUGGUGAAAUGAAAUUCCAAGAUUUUCCAGGAUCUGGAUUGAUGGCCUACGAGAUCUGACACCACCAGAAGCUCUUCAGCAUUCCAAUUAUGUUUGAGUUUAGCUUUGUAAGGAAACUCCAAGCACCCUUUGAAGUGAGAAUUGAUUUGCCAUUACCAACCUGUCAUUUACAACUUUCCAGGAUAAUGGGUUCGACCGACAGAAGGCUUCUCUAAGCCCAAGAGGGGUUGGAACUAGUUGAGACUCAGAAAUUAGAGGCGGCACAGAAUUAUUUACCUGUGAGGGGUUCUUGCUAAUAAAGAAUUUGGCUGAAAUAAUGCUCCACAAUUUCUUCACUUACCUUUUUUUUUUCCCUUUUCAUGAAUGCCUCCAUACAUAUAUUUUAUCAGGAAAACCAGUUUAAUACCCUAAUAAAUAUUAAAUUUGGAAGUUUGUAAAUUAAAUCAAUUAUAUAAAAUGAAUAAUAACAUAGUACUAAUAGUGUAGAAAAUAGAAAUGAUGAAUUUAUUGAUUUUAUGAUUCUGAUCUUUUACAAUUGAUUGUGUUGAUAUAUAUACAUGUAUAUGUCAAACGGUAGCCUAUUCUACUCUGUUGCCUUGGCAUUUCUGUCCAACGACUCUUUCUUUUUCUGGGAAAGGUUGGAGCGGCCUUUCCCUGCCACAGGGAUGGUUGCUCCCUUUCUCAGGGCCUGUGAUGACCUGCCCUGCACAGGCUUUCUGCCUGUGCAGUGUCUGAGGCCAUGCUUUCUUUAUUUCCUCUUUCAACACUCCCCCUCAAGUUGGGUUCAUAGAGGUUGAUCGAACCCAUCUUGCUUAAAAUUGAGUGAUGCGUCUGUUUAUUGAGUGCCUUUGUAAGGAUGUCAGCUAGCUGGUCCUGGCUUUUGAUAUACGGAGUUUCAAUUUCUCCUUUUUGAACCUUUUCCUGAUGAAGUGGCAAUCCAUGUCACGACCCCGCCCGUGGGCCCGUGACCGGCACUAGGGAAUGGGUAGGCUUAAGGCCACCGAAACCCGUAGUAAGCCUGACACUCACUGAUUUAAACAAAUCUCAACUCAAAUUUAUAUUAUUAAAACCAUAAAUUAUCUUAAUAGUUACACUUUACAAAAUUACUUCGGUCUACCAGAAAAUACUAGGCGAGACCCGAAGCUCAGAAAAUUUACAACUGAUACAUAUACUAAUUACUACUGCGGAGAAUCUAAGAUUUACCAUUUUACAUACCAAAUCAAAUACUUCACCCGAUGAUGAAGGAGUCGGGUUACUGAAUAAGAGUCGCGAGAGAACUAACAGUCACGAAUCUGAAAAACAAUAAAUGGAGACUGUCAGUCUCGAGAGUGAGUUAAAAUCAUACAUCUAAAACAGUUUCAAAUAUCUCAAUGUCACAUUCAUUUAAUUUUAAAAUAAUUAAUAAAUCACGCGAACCAUACGUGUCAUGUAAAACAUAUGUGUCAUGCCAUGCUUAAACAAAAUUUAUUCCACAUGCAACGGGACAGAGUACUUCAGUAGAACUCUAAUCCCAACUCUAAAAUCUCGAUUAUUNNNNNNNNNNNNNNNNAACACUUAUGUCUCAACUAACCUCAACUCUAUCAUCUCAAACCUCUCAUUCCAACAGGACUGGCGCCCAGAGAGCAAAGCUCGACCAGGGACCUUACCUCCAGUCCGGUCACUUAACUCUCAGCCUUAGCCUUUUGGCUCUCUUAUCUAAUAAGACUGGCGCCCCGAGAGAAAAGCUCGACCAGGGACCUUACCUCCAGUCUGGUCACUUAAAUAUCCAAAUAAGAAAUCUAGUAGCCAUUCGGCUCUCUUAAUCCAAUAAGACUGGCGCCCCGAGAGCAAUGCUCGACCAGGGACCUUACCUCCAGUCUGGUCACUUAAAUUUCCAAAUAAGCCGGCGCCCCGAGAGCAAUGCUCGACCAGGGCAGGUCCUAAUCUUUCUUUCUCAAAAUUUUUACCUCUUUACCCUUUUCUUAUCUCUCUCAUAUUAUAUUGGACACUCAUCCAACUCCUAUGUUCUACUGCCGUCAUUGCCAGCGAGAUCGGCCGGAAAGGCCACCGGAAACGGCCGGAACGACGCUCGGAAGCCGCUGCCACUCGUCGCGCGAUUCCGCUGCCUGCCGACGCUGCCAGCUGCCUCCACCGCCACCAUCGGGCUCGCCGUUGAUGUGCGCUCCUUCCGACGCCAACGCCGCCCUCGGCCUGGCCUCCAGCGUCCGUCCACCAUGGACGCCGAUGCCUCUCUCUCUCCUCCCUUUCUUCCUCUUCCUCUUCCCCGAAUUUCUUUCCUUUCAAUAUCGACAUUAGGCCCCCGAACUUUUCUUUAUUACAAUUUGGUCCCUCAACUUCCUUAAUUACUUACAAUUUCAUCCUGCAGAAUUUAAAUUUGACCCCCAAACUUCUUUUUAGUCUAUCAAUUAAGCCCUUAACUAUUUAAUUUUGGCCAAAUUAGAAUUACUGAAAAUACACAAUUACAAAAAUACCCCUGACCGACAUAUUUAUUUACGAAAAUACCAAACUCACAAAUUUCCAUUAAAACCCCAUAAAAAUAAAAUUAUACUUUCAAUCCUUAUUCCAAAAUAAAUUUCCAAUUUAGUCCUAACACACAAUUAAAUUAAAUAAUCAAUUUUUCCAAAAUUCUUUUAUAAACACAUCCUUUACAAUUCUACCAUAAUUUUCCAAUAUAUAAUUUUACUUAUAUAAAUAUGCAUUUGGAAAAAUUUGAAUAACCAAAAUAUAAUCAUUUUAAAUUAAACCCAAUAAUAAUGAGGCUAAAAUUAACUUAAAUAAAAACUCAUUAUUAAAUAUAUAAAAAUUCCGGGUGUUACAAUCCACCUCAAUAUGUUUAGUUCGUUCAUGAAACACAGGGUUAGAUGCAAUGUGUCGGGCGGCUUGGUUAUCACAAUGCAUCGUCAUAGGUCCGUUGAUUUCAACCUUCAUAUCUUUGAGGACUUGCUUGAUCCAAAUGAGUUCGCUAGCUGUAGAUGCCAUUGCACGGUACUCAACUUCUGCGCUGGAUCUAGCAACCACAUUCUACUUCUUGCUUUUCCAUGUUACUAAGUUUCCUCCCACAAAGACACAAAAACCAGUGGUUGACUUUCUGUCACUGCUUCCUGCCCAAUCUGCAUCAGAGAAUCCAACUAUAGAGUUAGAAUUCUUAUUUUUCAUCCAUAUUCCCUGUCUUGGGGUUCCCUUUAGGUAUCUGAGAAUCCUAUCUAUAGCUUCUAGGUGACAAGUGUGAGGGGCAUGCAUAAAUUGGCUUACCAUACUUACUGCGAAUGAUAUGUCAGGUCUAGUGACAGUGAGGUAUAUUAACUUUCCUACCAAACGUUAAUAAUGUUCUAUGUUGGCUAGAGGUUUUCCAUCUUCAAGAUUGAGUUUGACUUUAGUUUCCAUAGGGGUGUAGGCUGGUUUAGCCCCUAAUUUUUCGGUUUCUUUCAAUAGAUCAAGAGUGUAUUUCCUUUGACAUAGGAAUAAACCUUUAGUGGACUUUGCCAUUUCUAUGCCUAGAAAAUAUGAGAGCUGCCCAAGAUUCUUAAUAUCAAACUCUUUCUUUAGACUUUGCUUGACAUCCUUAAUAUCUUGGUCAUCAUUUCCUGUUAUUAUGAUAUCGUCAACAUAGACAAGGAUAAUGACAGUGUGUGUGAGCUUGUGUUUAACAAACAUAGAGGAGUCGGAAUCACAUUUAGUAAAACCAAUUUUUAAUAGAAAGAGGCUUAGUUUGGCGUACCAUGCUCUUGGAGAUUGUUUAAGCCUAUAGAUGACCUUUUUUAGCUUACAUACCAGGGAAGCAUCUGUGGCUGAUUUGUGACCUAGAGGGAGAGUCAUAUAAACUUCUUCUUCUAGGUUUCCUUGUAAAAAGGCGUUCUUUACGUCCAUUUGGAAUAGGCUCUACCCUUGAUUAGUUGCAACUCAGAGAAGAAUUCUGACAGUGUUCAUCUUGGCGACUGGAGCAAACGUCUCUUGGUAAUCAACUCCAUAAGUUUGAGUGAAGCCUCUGGCGACGAGUCUGGCCUUAUAUCUCUCAAUGGUCCCAUCACUAUUAUACUUUAUUUUGUAGAUCCAUUUGCAUCCAACUGGUUUCUUAUUUGCAGGAAGAGGAACAAUAUCCCAAGUGUCAUUCUUUUCUAGCGCUUGAAGUUCAUCUUUCAUAGCCUUACACCAUUUUGGACUGGUGUUGGCUUCGUAGAAGUUGGUUGGCUCAGGAUGGGAUGAGAUCUAGCUUAAGUAGCUACGAUAUUGACUUGCUAUGGUAUCAUAGGAAAUAAAGUUUUGGAUAGGAUACGAUACCGAAUGAGAUACAUAAUCUCUUAAUUUCAGGGGGGGGGGGGGGGCGAGUUUGACGAGUGGACCUUCUCAAGGCGAUUGCUUCCUCCUGAGGUUGAGGUUGGCUGUCAGAGAUUUGGAUUGGCUUUCAGAAAUUGUAUAUCCAAUUGUAUUGUCUCCCCCUGAAGAAAUUAAUCUUGAGACAAUGGUCGGCUCCCCCUAUGGAAAAUCCUGAGUAGGGCUGCUAAGAGAAAAAUCCGAGUUAGGCGGAAAUACUAGCGGGCAAGGCCCAUAAGGAUUAUCAUGAGUUUGGGUGGUGUAAUAAGGGACUGUCUCAAGAAAAGAGACAUCACGAGAGAUGUAGGUUUUAUGAGUAUAAGGGUCAUAACAUUUAUAUCCUUUUUUAGUAGAGGAAUAUCCCAAAAACAGGGUCUUGACAGAACUCUUAUCGAGUUUGUGUUGGCGGUUUAUGUGAACAUAACAAACACAGCCAAAGACUCGGAGAUGACUCAAAUCAAUUUUCCUACCUUUGAGAACCUCUAGGGGACUCAAAUGCUUUAAAACGGCAGUGGGGAGUCUAUUGAUCAGGUAAGCAGCAGUUAAAAGGGCAUCAGACCAAAAAAUCGAUGGAACAUUAUUUUAAAAAAGGAGAGUCCGAACGACAUUGAGAAGGUGUCUAUUUUUUCGUUUGGAAAUACCAUUUUGUUCAGGAGUAUUAAUACAAGUGGUUUGAUGAACAAUCCCUUUUUGUUUAAAGAAUGUAGAAAAGUUUUGGUUUAUGUAUUCUGUGCCAUUGUCGGACCGAAAAUUUUUUAAAGUAGCAUUAUAUUGGUUUUGUAUGAAAUUAUAGAAUUCUUGGAAACGAGAAAAGACUUCAUUUUUUCCUUUUAGCAAAUACACCUAGGUAGUACGAGAAUAAUCGUCAAUGAAAGUGACAAAAUAUUUAAAGUGAUUAUAGAAAGUUACAGGGGCAGGUCCCCAAACAUCAGAGUGAAUUAAGUCAAAAGCUUUUUCAGAUACACUGGAGGAUAAGGAGAAAGGUAAUCGAGUGUGUUUAGAAAAUUUACACACAUCGCAAUUGUUGGAACUUAAGUUAUAAUGAAAUAAUUUAUUCAAAACAUUGUCGGAUGGAUGCCCUAACCGCUGAUGCAUUAGUAUGCCUUGGUUAGGGUUUGUUGACAAAAAACAUUUCUUGGGAGGUGGAUAAAGGUAGUAGAGGCCAUUUUCUAGUUUUCCCUCACCAAUCGUCUCCCGAAGAUUCGAUCCUGAAAAAUGACUGAAGUAGGUGAGAAAAUAACAUUGCAGUUUAAAUCACAAAUAAUUUUACCUACAGAUAAUAGAUUGGAUUUAAAUGCAGGUAAGUAUAAAAUAUUUUCAAUAUGUGAGUUAAAUAAAUUUGAAGUGUCAUAUCCCUGAAUUUUGACUUUCUCUCCAUUGGCAACAGUCACAUGGUGAGAUGGAGAAACCAAAUUGAGGUUGGUUAGGUUUUUUGGAUCCCAGGUCAUGUGAUCUGUUGCCCCUGAGUCAAUAAUCCAGAAAUUUUGACAGGGUUCUGAAGAAUUUUGUAAGAAAUUUAAAGUAGUGUGAACCGAACCUGACCCGUCGGGUUGAGUUAACCCAAGCCUGUUGGGUUGGAGAAGCAAGGCCUGCAAUUGGGCUAACAUUUCGGCCAUUUGGGCCUGAUGUUUCUGCUGGGCUUGUAGUGCCUGGUGGGCCGCGUGGGCUGGUUGGGCCUGGAAGGCCUGUUGAGCCUGCUGGGCCUGCUGGGCCUGGUGCCUCGGGCCGGAGAAGUCGGGUCGGGUCCAAGGUUGGCCCGGGUCGGGUUGUUGUAACCCUAGGGAGUCGGGUCGGGGCGUCAUAUAACUAUCUGCAUAUGACGCCCAGCCCCCGAAUUCCAUUUUCUCCCUAGGGUUUCCUUCGGGUCUUCUUCUUCUUUCUCUUCGCACCCCUUUGCCGUUCCCCCCUUCCCAACCUCGGGUUGGCUUGAGCUCGGGGUGUCGGUGCUAGCAACGAGCGCGGCUGUGACCCUGCUUCUUGCAGUGGUCGCACCGCUCGCCUCUCCCCCUGUUCUGUUUCUUGCGGUGAGAUCGGGGCGACGCGAUGCAAAGGUUUGGUUUUCCGCGAGUUCAGUAGAGGCCGAGGGAUUCAUAAGAUUCCUUCGUGUCUCCUCGCGCUGGACUGUUGCAAUGACAGUGUCGAUGCUCGGUAGUUCCGGGGACAGGAGGAUUUGGGAUCUCAAGCUCUCGUAGCUUGAGUCCAAUCCUCCCAGGUAAGUGAAUACUAUAUCAUUGUCGGCUCAUUUUUGAAUUUCUGCUGUGUCUGUUGAAUGUGGUAAGUAAGUCUGGAGUUCUUCCCAUCUUGUUAAUAUUUUUGUGGCAUAUUGUGAGCUUAUUUUUGUGCCUUGUGUGAUUCUGGCCAAUUCCUGUUUGAGAUUGAAUAUGUGAGCAAAAUUUUGUUGAUGGCCAUAUAGGCCUUUUACCUUGUCCCAUAUUGCUUUUGACGAUUCUAGCAACAUGCAGAGCCUGGAAAUUUGGGGCUCCAUAGUGCUGGUAAGCAGUGACAUGACCAAGUGGUCUGUCGUCUGCCAUUCUUCAAUUUUUUCUGCUUCUUCUUCUGUCGGGUCUUCUGGUCUAGUAGGUUUGGGUUUGGGUUUAGUCCGAGUGAUGAACCCCAAUUUCCUUCUGCCACUAAGCCCUAUGUAGACAGCUUUGACCACUCGAAGUAAUUUUGAUUACCUCUGAGGAUUGUAUUGGUCAAUCUGUUAUCGGUUUGAGACAUGAUGAAUUUUCAAAAAGGAAUUCUGAGAAUUUGAUUUUUGUUUGCUUGAUUGAUAUCUCACAGGUUUGAAUCCUGCUCUGAUACCAUGUAGAAAAUAGAAAUGAUGAAUUUAUUGAUUUUAUGAUUCUGAUCUUUUUCAAUUGAUUGUGUUGAUAUAUAUAUAUGUAUAUGUCCAACGGUAGCCUAUUCUACUUUGUUGCCUUGGCAUUUUUGUCCAACGACUCUUUCUUUUUCUGGGAAAGGUUGGAGCGGCCUUUCCCUGCCACAGGGAUGGUUGCUCCCUUUCUCAGGGCCUGUGAUGACCUGCCCUGCACAGGCUUUCUGCCUGUGCAGUGUCUGAGGCCAUGCUUUCUUUAUUUCCUCUUUCAACAAAUAGACACCAAAAACAUGGAACUUUUUCCUGGAGGCACAAUAACUUUGUGGUUGAAGCGCCCCCAAAUAAGUAAAUGAAGGGCAAAAUUUACAUUAAAUUUGGAGUUCUUUACAAGAAGAAACCCUAAAUAUAUUUCUAUAGUUUAUAUUUUUUUGAUAGGGUUCCUCUCCAAUCUUAAAUUUUUUAAUACGUAAUUAAUUUUUUAAUUAAAUCGUAAAAUUAGACUGUUUUAAGAGUGGACUGACAUCAAAAUUCAAACUAUAUCAUUCUCAAUAAAAAAGUCAUAGAAAAAUAAAAAUGUAGUAUACAUUUGUUCAAUUUUAUUAUCAAGUCGUUUAUGUUCAUUUACUGGUUAUCAAUGAGAGAGAACAACUUGAAAGAGGCUGAGAAAAUUAAAAUUCCUUUUAUCAAACAAUUAAAUUUCAGGAUGGAACAAUUGAUAAACCAUCUAAUAACUAUAUAUAUAGCCUUCAUUUUCCUUAUCUGUUUUUGACACGGCAGUUGAUUCUCUGAGCGGCAAAAGGACCAAAUUCUGAAAGAUAAAUGUUGAUUCCUGACAGAAUGGCUAUAGUUGGAAAUUGUAGACUAGCAUGAUAGUCUUGUUUGCUGAUGCAUUCAAGAAAAAAGAUGUGUCAUUUCCCAAUUGUUUUCCAAGAAUCUUCUUCAUUUCCAGCUUUGAACUUUCCUAAUUUCUAUCAGCCAAUGGAUAGAGGACGUGUUUCAGACGAAAACUGGUUAGCUAUAAGUAUAUGGUGCAAGUUCACCAUUAAUCACUUAGAAUUAUGAUUAAUUAAGUAGAGAGGAAACAAAGAUCAAAGUAAAAAAAGAAUGGAAAUAUCAAAAAUUGUUAGUAUCUCAUUGCUUGUUAUCCUUUUAGCCUUAGUUUGCUCUGCGACUUCAAAUUCUGUUGAUGUGAAGUUCUUGCAAUGUUUUUCCUCUCAUUUGCGGAAUUCCAAGCCAAUUUCGCAGGUUAUCCUCCCCAGAAACAGCUCCCGCUACUCAUCUGUCUUGCAAUCUUCCAUUAGAAACCUGAGGUUCUCGAGCACUUCAGCUCUGAAACCUGAAUUUAUUAUCACCCCGUUUAAUGAAUCUCACAUUCAAGCAGCCGUAGUCUGUGCUAAGGCAUACAAUAUGCUGAUAAGAACACGAAGUGGAGGUCAUGAUUAUGAGGGUCUUUCUUAUGUUUCUGAUGAGAAAUUUGUACUAGUUGAUCUUGCCAGUUUGAGAUCCAUCAGUGUUGAUAUAGAAAGUGAGAGUGCAUGGGUUGAGUCUGGUGCAACUCUAGGAGAGUUGUAUUACAAAAUUGCAGAGAAAAGUAAUGUCUAUGGCUUCCCUGCCGGGAGCUGUCCUACUGUUGGUGUUGGAGGACAUAUUAGUGGAGGUGGAUUUGGAACCAUAUUUCGAAAAUAUGGGUUGGCUUCUGAUGCUGUUAUUGAUGCCAAAUUAGUUAAUGUUAAUGGAGAAAUUCUUGACAGAGAAUCAAUGGGAGAAGAUCUCUUCUGGGCUAUUAGAGGGGGAGGAGGUGCGAGCUUUGGAAUCAUCUUGUCAUGGAAAGUAAGGCUGGUUUCAGUUCCUCCAACAGUAACUGUUUUCAGCGCUGCAAGAACCUUAGAACAAGGUGGAAGCAAGCUUCUCCAUAAGUGGCAAACUGUUGGUAAUCAGCUUCCUGAAGACCUAUUCCUCCACGCAGUAACAGGAGUUGUGGUCUCUAGCCCGAACAGCAACCGAACCAUUCAAAUCUCAUUUGAUGCAUUAUAUCUUGGAACAGCUGAGCAGGUUAUCCCUCUGAUGCAAUCUAAAUUUCCUGAACUUGGCAUCACAAGGGAAAACUGCACCGAAAUGAGUUGGAUCCAAUCUGUACUCUACUUUGCUGGUUUCCCCAAAAAUGAAUCCUUAGACGUUCUGCUUAAUCGGAAAACACAACCCAAGGAAUUCUCCAAAGCAAAAGCAGAUUAUGUGCAAGAACCCAUUUCAGAGACCGGACUGGAAGGACUAUACAAAAGACUUCUUGAAUCAGAAACAUCAAUGCUAAUCCUGACACCGUAUGGAGGAAGAAUGAGUGAGAUAUCAGAAUCAGAAAUACCUUUCCCUCACAGAAAUGGAAACUUAUACAAAAUCCAAUACUUGGUCACUUGGGAUGUGGAAGAGGAAACGAAGCAGCAUAUAGAGUGGAUCAGAAGUCUGUAUUCUUACAUGGCAGCUUAUGUUUCAAAGCUCCCUCGAGCAGCAUACUUGAACUACAGGGAUCUUGAUUUAGGAAGGAACAAGAAGAAGGGCAACACUAGUUUUGCACAAGCUAGUGUUUGGGGGCUGAAAUACUUCAAGAAUAAUUUUAAGAGGCUAGUAAAUGUAAAGACUGCAAUAGAUCCUUCCAACUUCUUUAGAAAUGAACAAAGCAUCCCAC
RNAcentral lists this long non-coding RNA (103716 nucleotides) under Ricinus communis (castor bean). RNAcentral's name for it is "long non-coding RNA (RCOM_LNC001577)". Lineage: Eukaryota; Viridiplantae; Streptophyta; Magnoliopsida; Malpighiales; Euphorbiaceae. The record is from RNAcentral.